Molecule: long non-coding RNA, 98462 nt
Filed under: Prunus persica (peach)
Lineage: Eukaryota; Viridiplantae; Streptophyta; Magnoliopsida; Rosales; Rosaceae
Description: long non-coding RNA (PPER_LNC000569)
Source: RNAcentral
AAAUAUAGAGCUUUUGAACCAAAAAGAAGUACAAAGCUUAUUAUUCUUUAUUUGCUACUUUUCUUCUUUUUGUCUUUUUGUUUCUUUUCAUCUUCCUUGCUUUUGCUGGUCUCUCCUUGGCCUUCCCAACUCUGUUUUUUUUUUUUUUUUUUUUUUUUUUUUUUGGUUCUGACACAAUAACAUAACCUCAACCCUCUUUUAUUUUAGAGUAGGUCCUGUAAGCCAUUUCUUCUUUCUUUUCCUUAUGUGCAACACGAAUUGGGUUUCUUUGCCUAACACAACAUGCACAUGCCAAAGAGCUAUUUUUUGUAUUUUGUUCAGUUUGGCAGUACCAACUUCAUAGCUGAAGCUUCUCCCAUUUUUUAAUCUCAAAGUUCAACCACGAAUCCAUGCUUGACCUUUUUUUUGGCUUUUGUUGUUUCCUAUGUGGCACACUUCCACCAAAAUGGGUUUGGUCUUCACCCAUUAUGUGUUUAGAGUCCUUCGGAUAAUUAAAAAUAAUACUCAUCUUUGGUUUUGUAUUGACUUGACAGGAAGGCUUUCUUUGUUCUUGGCUUAUGUUGCUUUUGGGUUCUUCAACAGCCGCAACACAGGAGGCUUCUUGGUGCGCCAUUUUUUCUUUUGCUGUUUUUUUUUGCUUGCUGAUGCUUUGUGCCUGCUUUUCUUUCCAAUUUGAUUGGAAUUUCUAAGGCUUUGCAUAUUUCCCUUUGCAGACUCACAUCAUUUGAGAGGGCCAUCAUACUGCCAAUUGAGGUGUUGGCUUUGCUUUGUCUCAGUUGCUUCAUGUUUUUCUAGCAAUAAAGUGAGAAGCUUUUAUGAUAUUUGCAAUUUGCUACAGAGGAGUGCUGGCUUAAUAAUUUUCUUGGGCUGUCUGGCUGGGGAUUUUUUCUUUGUUGGCAAAUUUUGAAGCACAGAAUGUGGGUGUGAAUCAUCAGCUUUUGUAAACUUUCUGGCACUCAGUAAUUUCUGCAUCUCCUUUAAUAUAUUUUCUUCUGUUUAUUCCAAUGGGUGAGACUAAAACAGAGUUAUUGAUUUUCUCCAUUUGCAGCACGUUUUGCUACCUGUUCUUUCUCCAAUCUGCAGAUUUGGAAUUUUGCUCUGCUGAAGGUGGGUUGAGCAUGUAACAAAGCGUCGGAACUGUUGAUGUUUUCUAUUUUUGGUACUCAAGAACACUCGCAAGGUCUUCUCUAAGUACCACAAUGUGCCUAUGGACACUCACAAGGUGUUCACAGCACUUGUACAGUGGGGUUCUUGCAGAAGCCCAUCUGUAAUUCACAACAGAAAGGUCCUUGUGAGAGCUCUCUUUGUGUAAGUAGCAUAAUUAUUGCCAAUUUGGGAGGAUUUGUUCACAUUUUUCCACUGCUGAGGUCUCUAUUGAUAUGAUACAUUUCUUGAUAUCAAACAUGGAGGAAGUUCAGGCUUCUGUACAAUGGCCUCACAUACAUAUUUUUUUACCUGCAAGUCAGUUGUUCAUAAAGGAUACUUAAAUGAAUUUGUUUAUACCUUCUUAGUGGUAUUGUGAUAGAGCUUCGUAUCUCUUUUGCUUGCUUAUAUUCUUUGGAUUUCUGCAGCAAUUCGGUGUUUUCUUUUUUUCUUUUGUGUAUUUCUACAGCAGUUGGGUGCUUUUUUCUUUCUGUGUUCUUUGCAUCCUUUAGUCCCUUUUUAUAGACUUAGAGGAACUGACAGAGUGGAGCCAGUUAUGGCCUCACGUACUGUGUGGGUGGAAGUAACUUCUCAUUACAGUCACCCCCUCAACGUACAUGUUCUGAUACUGCCUUCAGUACGUUAAUAUUUUCUUUGUAAAAAUAUUAAUAUUAAUUCAUUUGGGCCUAAAACAAUUUAGCAACAAGUCCACAAAACCAUUUUAGCUAUGAGCCCAACUUCUUUAAACUUGGGCCAAUAUUUAAUUUGUUGUCAAUGAAUUUUUUUAUUUCAACACUUCUGAUGCUUAUUAUUCUGAUUCCCAGUGACUUUAGCUGCUUUGGAAUCUACACUCAAACUACCAAAAGCCUUCUCAGUCUUGUUCUCAUGAUGUCUCUCCAAUCUUUGUGCAAAGCUCUUCAAUGAGGCAACCACCUCUUGAACUUCAAUUGCAUCUAGAUCCCUCGAAUGCUCAAUUACAGAACAUAUAGGAUCAUACAUAGGCAGCAUACUAAUUAACAUUUUCUGCACAAUUCUUUCUCUAGGCAACUCUUCUCCAUAGCCUCUCAUUUGAUUUAUCAGAUCAAAUAACUUUGUAAGAUAAGCAGAUAAGGAUUCAUCCUUUCUCAUUCUAGUAUAUUCAAAUUCUCUACGGAGACUUUGUAACUUUACACUCCUUACCUGCUUAUCACCGUGAAAUUCCUGCUUCAGGAUACUCCAAGCUCCUUGAGACGAUUCUUCAUGAGAAAUCCUAGGGAAGAUCUCAUCAAAAACUGCUCCCUGAAUCAGCCUCAAAGCCUUAGCAUCUUUCAUCAGGAUCUCAGUGAGAACCAUCUUCCCAGUACCAAUUGAUUCCUCUUUUUCCUUCUUCUUCGCAUCAAAUUCAUCAGCUCCCUUCGAAUUUGAGCUUUCUAUCCCUUUCUCAACAAGUUCUCGUAACGCAUGACAUUUGAAAAUAGUUUUCAUUCUUAUGCUCCAGAACUCAUAGUUCUCACCAUUGAAGAUCGGAGCUCGUAGUUCACCACCUCCAUACCCUGCCAUGUUAGACAAAGAUCUUCACGAAAGCAAGUUUUUCAAAUCGCAGCUCACUUUCUUCACAAAUUCAAUUGCCCAGCUAAACAAUCGAACCUGGCUCUAAGUCCAUGUUAGAAUACUCAGACUAUAAUCUGAUUAAUUUGGAUUAUUGGUAGACGGAGCUCAGGUAAGAAGAGAAAACAGAGAGAGAGCUUGGAGAGGAAGAUGAGAAAAUUGAGUCUAUUCUCUCACUUAGUCACGCACAAGCUGUACAGCAAAAUAUAUCUGUUGGGAAUAGAAUAUUCCCAUUUACAUCAUUCAAAUCUAGCCAUCAAUUUCACUAUCCUAUGAGAUAGCUACACCUGGCGCAAUUCAUUACUACAACUAAGGGUACAUCUUGGAUGUCCAUUGGACUGUGAUCCAAUGGUUCACAAUUAAUUCAAUACAAAUACUUAGCUAACACACUUAUACUUUAACAAGGAAUGGGUGAAGGCUAGUUCAGCUAUUCGUACAGACCUCAAUUUUUCUUGUUUUGGAUCCUCCUGAUACUAGUCAGUUCAAGCUUAAUGUUGAUGGGUAGUGCAAAUUUGCGUCUGGAGUCAUUGGUGUUGGAAUAUUAAUCCGUGAUGAUAGAGGGAAUUGGAUUGGUAGUUUUGUGACUAAUCUGGGAGUGGUGACAUCCUAGCAGCUGAAAUAUGGGGGUUGUUCUUUGGUUUAAAACUUGCAAUCCAAAGGGGCAUCUCAAAUUUGCGUAUUAAAAUGGACUCUGCGACUGCAGUCCUACUUCUCCAAAAAUCUUCUCUCUUUGUUCUACAGUCGAUGGCAUCUUUGUUGUCCAGUUGCUACACUCUUAUGUGACAAGUGGGUGAUUGUGUGAUUAACCACAUCUAUAUGGAGAAAAACAAGGUGGCUAAUUGUUUAGCGAAGGGGAGCUAUAAUUUUGAUUUGGAGCUUGAUGAGAUUCCUAGCUAGGUUGAGGCUACCUUUGAUGAUGAUUUGUUAAGAGUUCCUAGAACUCGUACUGUCCCCGUCAUUUAGAGGGGUGUAUUCAAUUAGGAUUAUAAAACGUUUAAAAAGAUUUUAAAAAUCCGGGUGUAUUCAAUUUGGAUUUAUACAAACUUUAAAAGAGGUUUUACAAGUUUGGGUGUAUUCAAUUCGAACUUGUAUGAACUUUUAAAAAGUCCAUUCAAAUAUGGGUGUAUUCAAUUAGGAUUAUAAAAAAGUUGAAUCAAAUCUAGGUGUAUUCGAAUGGUCAUAUAUUUGGAAGGAUUUCAUUAAGUGAUAAAUUUUCGUAGGUUUUAAGCGAAGAGGUAUAAAUAAAUAACAAAGACCAUAAUAAAUCCAACUUCCCCCCCAAAUAUUUUCAUCAGACGUUUUUCUCUCUGCAACAGAAGACAAACAGCUUCCUUCCUUCAUCUGUGAAGGUAUGCUCCCUAUUUUUUCUUUGAUCAAUACCUCGUUGGGUUUUCUUUUUCCAUAAUUUUUCUUCAUUGUGUUUUUCUUGUUAUUAUAUUAUAGUUUGGGGUUAGGGUUUAUGCUUGUUACUAGGGUUUAUGCUUGUUUACUAGAGUUUAUGCUUGUUACUACUUGUUUUUCUUCUGAAAUAUCUAUAUGCGACUAGAUAGAAAAUUGAAAUAAUUGACAGCCUUUCUAUAAUCGUACAAAAAAAUUGAGACAAAUAUAGAUGAACAUUAUAAAAACGAAAAUCCAAAAAUUUCCACUUUUAAAUACUGCUUUGGAAGCCUAAACGACCUCAAAAGCCCAAAAUUCACCAUACGUCACUGCGAAGCUGUGAGUUUGAUGCUACAAGAUUAUAAUGCUUGGAGUGUGGAAGGGAGUAGAAUGUUGUUGCAACUCAUGGUUGAUGCUGCAAGCCGAGGAUGACGUGAUGAUAAUGGAAUGCUAACCAAGGCAACUGUAGAAACCAAAAUACUCCCCAAGAUUAAUGAAAAACUUAGGUGUCACAAAACCUAUUCUCAAUACCAGAGUCAGUUGAAGUACUUUAAAAGAGAAUACCAAAAAUAUUCACAGCUUCUCCAUCACAGCUCUGGGUUUAAGUGGGAUCCAACCACAAAGAAAUUCACUGCUCCUGAAUAAGUUUGGAAAGACUACUUUAAGGUUAGAUUAUUAAAUUUUCUUUAAAUAAUUCCGUUUGGUAACUUGAAUACAUAAUUCUGUUAAAUAAAUGUUUUAUUUAGUUUGUUUAUGUUUAAUAAGAUCUUUUAAACUUUUGGGUUUAUUUCAGGAUUGUAUCGGAGCUAUUGACGGCACACAUAUUCCAGCAAUGGUAAUGGAACGCGACGUAAGCAGCUAUCGUAAUCGUCACGGUGCAAUACCACAAAAUGUAUUAGCAACUUGUAACUUUGAUUUGGAAUUCAUAUAUGUUCUUAGUUGGUGGGAGGGCUCAGCUCACGAUUCAAGAAUACUACAAGAUGCUUUAAUAAGGAGGAAUGGACUUAAAGUGCCACAAGGUAUUUUUAAAUUUUAAAUUUUUUCUUAUUGUUUACAUUAGCUCAUACAUUGGAUAUAUACUAACAUAUGUUUACAUUAGCUCAUACAUUGGAUAUAUACUAACAUAUGUGUAAUCUAUUAUCAGGGAAAUUUUUCUUAGUGCGUGGAUUCUGGAUUUCCAAAUCGAUGCCAAUUUUUGGCUCCAUUUCGAGGUGUUCGAUAUCAUCUCCAAGAGUUUGGUGGUCAAGGUCGUGCACCUGCAAAUGAAAUUGAGUUGUUCAAUCUUCGUCAUUCGUCCUUGAGGAAUGUCAUUGAGAGGAUAUUUGGUAUAUUUAAGUUACGAUUUAUAAUUUUCAAGUUUGCACCUCCAUUCCCAUAUGCGACACGAAUACAGAUCGUGUUAGCUUGUGUAGGACUACACAAUUUUCUUCGAAAAGAGUGUAGAUCUGACUAAUUUUCUGUUGAAUUGGAGGACGAAUCUUCUUCAUCUUCAUCGUUACCGGUUAAUGAAUGGAAUCCUGAACUAGUUUUCCAAACACAAGAAUAGCAACAACAGAAUGCUAAUGAAUGGAGAGUUGGUAUAGCUUUGGAUAUGUGGAGAGAUGCUGGGUACAAUGACAACAAUGAGAACCAAGGAUAAUGAAUGAACGUUAAAUUUUUCUUAAACUUUUCUUUCAAAUUUGUAAUACAUUUGUCACUAUAUUUCUUAUGAAUUUUGCUUUUCAUUAAACAUAAUUUUAUUUCAUGUUGUUGAAGGAAAAGAUGUUAUGAAUUUGGUUUUUUAUUUCAUGUUGUUUAAAAUUUUAUUUUAUCUUUUUUAUAUACAGCAAUGUUACUAUAUACAUUGACAGCAUUGAUAGGGAGAAGUUUAAUAAAGUCAUGGUUUUGAUGAGAUCUCAAAGCAAAUAAAACAAGGAUGGCCACAUACUCAAAAUUUCUGUAGAAGACAGAGGCCUACUUGAGCACGUCUUUUGUUUUGUUUUGUUUUUUUUUUUUUUUUCAGGUUUGAUAGUUAAAAGGUUCUGUUUAAUUUAGCAGACAAGCAUGACAUAUAUUUUCGAUAAGCAACAAAGCUUUUACUCUCAUCCGUCGGCUAGUCUAACCUUAUUAUUCAAGCUAGACCAGUUCAGAAUUUAUAUGGUCUUUGCCUGCAAUUGCCAUUAUUCAAAAUAUUUUUUAUUGCAAUUUGGACAACCAAUGCUUGGAUUUGAAUAGAUGUGUAAAAACAAUGAUUGGAUUCUCGUUUCUGUGGGCAGGUUUGUUUUUUAUUUGGACAAACUUAGAUUAGAAAUAGCAUCGUGCAUUGCCUGCAGCACUAGCUUUGACAGCCGAUCCAAUUGCUUCUCUAGUUGACACAGCAUUCAUUGGUCAAAUAGGUACUUUGCUUCUUGUUUUUUUCAUUUUGAACUGUGAAUAUGUUCUUCCAUCUGAAACAAGUACUUUUUGUUUUGAGAAAAUUAUUAUUCUGAAACAUCAUUUUUCAUACUUAGCCAAUAUUUUUAUAUAAAAUAAUUUUUCGUGUAUGAUAUGAAUGCAUGAAGGGACCUAAAGUCAAUCUAGGUACAAAGCCUUAUAUGUUCAAUCCACAAAAAGUUUUAUAAGAAUAACCUAACUCUUACGUAUUAAAGAAAUAAAAGCCGCAACUGACUGUUGCAUAGCAGGCUUUUUUAUAAAUUAUUUAUAAAUAAAUUAUGGCCAAACUUACACCUCUGUUAAAAAAUUCUUAGGUCCGCUAGUGAAUGUCAUUGAUAUUUUUUUGAAUCAUUAUAUAUAUAUGUUUGCUAUCUAAUCACCCUUUAGGUGUCUCCAUUGGAGAAUAUGGGCUAGUACCAGAAUCGAAUUUGCCAAUACUACCCCUUAGACCCCACAAAACCCCCCAAUCACUCCAUGCUCUUCCCUUUUCAUGGAAUCUUGUCCACGUUCUACCCUCAGUUCCCCUCCUAUACACACCCAACCAAUUAUUAUUUAAACCCCUCCUUGCUUCUUAACAAUUUAUCUCAUCACACAUUGUCCUUGCAACUCUCUCUCUCUCUCUCUUUCUCUCUCUCUCUCUCCAAUAUAUCUUCUUUAUUAUCCUUUGCUUUUCUACUUCUCAUCAAGUGGACAAAAACCAGUCGCGUAGGCAGGUUCGUCUCAUGAGGCAGUCCAUCUUUGAUCAGGUUUUUCUUUUUCUUUUUCAUCUCUUUACCUUUUCUUUUUCCCUUUUUCUCUUCAAAUUUAAAUUCCUCACUUUAUUAAUCUUCAAACUCGUAAUAUAUAUUUUACAAGGUACUAAUGCAGGGACACAUUGUUCAUAUCAUACAUGUAAUGCAUAUGACACCAUUAAGUGUUAGAAGUAUGUCCUAAAAGCUAAUCAUUAGAUUAAAUCAUUAGUGCUGUUAAACGAAUCCUAAAAUUAACUGAGUACACCUUAUGAUCUAAGUACAUCCUAAUAUUUUAAUUAAAAUGUAAAUUUAACUAAGUACACUCUAUUAAACUACCAAAAAUACCCCUGGUACAUCCUAAUAUUUGUAGCAUUAUUUUAUAGUUGAUUUUCAGCUUGAUUUUUUUAAUAGUGUUUAUAAAUCUUUGACUUUUAAUAUAGAUUUAUGCUUCUACUAAAACUGUUGACACUUUUUUUGCAAUUCCAACUUCUUGCAAUCACCACCUCUUUCGUUAAAAACACAAUAGGACAAGCAAUCUCUUAAUUAGGGUUGAAUAUGGUUAGUAAGGUGUACUUAUUAAAAUUAUAUUUGUUUCACAAUUUCAUAUAUCCUUUUUGGUCAUUUUAUAUUAGGGUAAAUCAGUAAUUCAAUAUAUACUUUUAUAGUAGGGUGUACUCAGUUAAUUUUAGGGUUCGUUUAGCAGUACUCUAAAUCUUUCAUAGAAACUUCAUUUAAACUAAUCAGUUGGGUUAACAUAAAAGGACAAAUAUGUCAACACAGGUAACGAUUCAUGUGUAACCAUCAACCUACUUGACAAGUCCAUGGAUUUAUGAGAUAAGGAAAGUGAUCUAAAGAGGUUAGAUGCAAAGGGACCUUUCCCUAUAACUCAAACAAAAAGUGUUCCUGGUCAUAGAAUCGAUCAAUUGGGCAUUGAAGAAACUGCAAAGACUGGUACACACUUUAUCUGCUCAAUUAUGAGGAUCACUAGUCUCGAGUCAUUAUUAUAUGGACACUAAGAUAAGUGCGUAGGUGCUUGCUAGGGAGUAAGUUCAUUGAACGCGAUCAAGUUAAGGAAUCUUGUAUGGAAGUUCUACUAGCAUGUUAAACAAGAUUUCUUUGGUUGCAAAAACGCAAGGUUAAUCCUUAGACUUGAGGCACCAUGGUUGUCUUAUGAAUGCAUAGUUAGUCUCUGAUUGUAUCAUAAGGUUGAGCUCAUCUUUGGGCUCGAUUCAAGGUAACGUCAAAAUCCUCGACAAGUUCAUAGAAGCAAGUGAGUGUAUGACAAGGGAUCUCAACUUUUAGUAAGAGGGAGAGAAUGUAUGAGAUAUGAUUUAGGAAUCUUCAGCUAGAGUCGGAGCACAAUUGAGAAAUAGUCUUCUAAUUGUGCUCAUAUUGAAUCAUAUAGCCAAGAGCGAUCACGUUGGGGAUUUGACAUGGAUUAUGUAUCCUAUUAAUGAGAUCAAGAACAUUAUGAAAUAGAGAGGGAUUGAAUUACAUUGUAAUUCCAACUAAAUGGGUUCUCCUAAUAUAGAAAACAAAGACUUUUACAAAGAUUUGUAUGGAUGAUAUCACUGAAGGGAGGAGACUGUGAAAAUUAAAAAUGAAAUUAAUUAAAAUCCCUUAAUUAAUAAAAUACAUCCAUAUGUGUGUCAAUUUUAAUUGGGUUAGGUGAGUUAAGGUUUUUAACCUAUGUCUUUAGAAGUCAUUUUACAAAGGGAUAAAUUUAUCUUAAAAUUUUUGAAGAUAAGUUUGGUGGGGAAAUAGAACAUGUGAUGGAAAUAGCAGCACUCUUUAACAAGUGAGAUAGUGUUGCCCUAGCCACUAGGUAAAAGGCAUUUAUGUAUUAUGAGAAAACAAUGUAAGAGUAGUUUUGGUAUGAAAAUGUUAAUUCCGACUUACCGUUUCCCAAUCCCACCUAAGCCUUACGACUAGAGGUCGUUACCUCAUAAUUACAAGAGACAAUUAUCAAAUUUCCCAAAAUUGGAAUAAAAUUUUCCCUUACCAUUUUCAGCAUAAAUCCCAUCUUUGGGUAUGACAAUCCUUACCCAUUGCUACCACCACAUUGCUACCAAAUGCAUAUUUAUUGUUUUUCCAUUUUCAAAUACGGGUAUCAAAAACGUUUUUGAUGUUUUUGUUGGUAGAAAAUUGUUCUCUGUUUAAACUACCAAACACAUUCUCAAAUCUUGAAAAUUGUAAGACGUUAUGAGACAAGCCUUAAAUAUCUCUCCUCUCUGCUUUUGCCUCUCUCUCUCUCUCUCUCUCUCUCAAGCAAAUAUUAGAAAGAGACUAGUUAUCUGGUAAGGGUGAAUUUGAUUUAAAUUUAGCGGGCAUUGAUUUGGGCCUCAAGACCAAGGGUGUGUUGAUCCAACCCCAGAAAUUUUGAAGCAUUCUCAUUGUAUAUAAUAAAGCCCAUUUCAUAUUCUAGCAAGGAACAUGAUAAUCAUGAAGAAAAAAAACUUAAUUGCAUAGCUUACAGGGAAAAUUUUUUUUUUUUUUUUUUUUUUUUUGAGAAAAGCUUACAGGGAUAUUAGAAUCCAAAAGCACCUAAUUAAGUCUCCUAAUACAAUCUAACAGAGGUUGGAACACAUACAUAGUACAAAAUCCACCAACCACUCAAAUUAAUUGUAGCCUCUGCCUCUCUCUCUGGCUGUCAAUAAUUUUCUCUUCACUUGGGGCGACGUGCUGUCUCAAUAGGUCCAGCUUGCCUUGCCAACUGAAAGACAAAAAAAAAAAUCAAAAAAUAAAAUAAAAUCAAAACACAUUUUAAUAUAUAUAUAUACACACACACACAUGCUGGUGUAAUUUGGAGAGUUUACCUGAAAAUAAGCCUCAAGCCUCUUCUUCAGUGUUGCAUGUUCUCUCUUCAAUGCUUGGAAAGUCCUCAUGCAUCUGGAUUUACCGUCAAAACUUUGAAGUGACUUACCAACUUUAUUUACACAUUUUUUCCCUUUUUAAAUUUAUUCUCUAUAUUAUCAUUUUAUUAUAUGUUUUGUACGAUUGUAAAAAGGGAAGACUCAAAUUCGAGUUAAGAGAAUAUAAUUAUGAUGAGAGUUUUUUAGAGAUUGAUGCUAGAAUUGCGUAAGUACCCUUCUCCAUUUCCUGCCUUGCAAUAUUCCCUAAACUGUUGGCACUCAGCUUUUACCUUUUUGGCUCCGAUGCUGCGCACCAAUUAAGAGAAAUGUUUAGUUGGGAUUAAAUCUUGUCAUCUCAAAAGCCAACAUAGAAUAUACUUACAGAUUCCUUGCUAAUAUUUCUUAAAAUUAAUAACAAAUUGAGGACGUUUUAUUUUUUUACCUUGAGCUACUUCCCUUGAACUGAUGCAUGUAGCCGUCCAAUUUAUUAAAAUCAUGAGGGGUCUUCUCUCUGCAUAUACAUACUAUACAUUAUUAUAUGUCCCUGACAUAAAUAUUGUCAUUAAAAAGAAGUGAAAAUUAUAAUUUGACCCACAGCGCCAGCUCUAUGGUUUGGAGUGAUCUAGAUGAAUCUUGGUAGUAGGAUGUAGCAAUUUCCUCCACAAAAUUUGGGUUAGCAUCAUCUUGCAGCUCCUCCAACUGAAUAAACUGCUCGUCCAGAAAUCCCUGAAAUUCCCAAAAGUUUUGAAAAUGAAGAGUGCUAAAAUAGCUACAAGUGCACAUUAGUUUUUCUUUUUUUGAAUUACUGUUCUGGGAUUAUUGUGUUGUGCUAUACUUUUUGAGAACUUAUGUCCAAUGCAUGUUGCACGUAUGAUAAACAAGGGAAAGGGAAAAGGUAAAAAGAGAUGAAAAAGAAAAAGAAGAACCUGAUCAAAGAGGGACUGCCUCAUGAGACGAACCUGCCUCUGGUUCUUGUCCAUUGAACAGCAAAGGAUAUAAAGAAGAUAUAUUGGGGAGAGAGAGAGAAGAGAAGACAGUGGGAAGAAGAAAGUGUGAUGAGAUAAUUAAAUUGUUAAGGAGCAAGAGGGGUUUAUAUAAUACUUUGGGGGUGUGCAGGAGGAGGGAAACUGAGGGUAGAACCAUGAAAAGGAAGAAGAGCAUGGAGUGAUUGGGGGUUUUGUGGGGCAAAUUCGAUUCUGGUACUAAGUGAAAUAAAUAAAUAAGUGAUUGGUAUUGUUUAUGAAUUAUGUUAAAUCUGGAAUGAUCUGCUUCUACAUGUAGAUAGAUACCUUAUUCUAAAUAGUAAAUACCCCCUCAUUUAGAUAUUAUCAUUUUUUUUAAAAUUGAAUUGGGUUAAAUUAAAAUGCCUAAUGCACUCAAAUCCAUCCCAUAUUCUCCACCUAAAGGUUGAUUAGAUAGCAACAUAUAAUGAUUCAAAAAAAUAUCUAUGACAUUACAUGUACAGUUUUUAUGUGUAAAGGUUUUGGUGACUUUGCAUUUAUAUAUAUAUAUAUAUAUAUAUAUAUAUACUUUUCUGAGUUUUUUUUUUAAUAAUCACUCACCAAUUGGUUAAAUUCUAUUCCCCUUUAUAAUUAACAAACACAUGAACAAUUAAUCAAAAGGUACAUAUUUCCAAUAGGAGUGAGAUUUAGGUUUAAAAAGCAAAUCCAUGGUUUGAUGCCGCCCCUUUACGUAUUUUUAGUGGCCACCUCAAGCAUGCAUAUACGUGACAAACAAUUCAUCCUGAAACUGAAAGAACCCAAAAGCUAGCAUGAAACUAAAGCCAAAAGAAGGCAUUAUAUAAGUUCAUAACAAAUGCAUGCGGUGGCCGAUCAUGAAUUUUUUUUGCGGAGGUAUAAUUUUAAAAGAUUAAAAGCUUUAUAAUAAUUUAUUAUUUUUUUGGAACCACAUAUUUGAAAGGCCAAAUAUUAUUACAAGAAAAACGAAAUUAACGCAGUAGUUGCUGAAGAUGAAAAACAAACCGCAGCAUGUUUGAUGAACUUACUUCGGAAGCUUGAUCGAUACAAUUUUUUAUUUCUUGACACAAGACUUAAUCUAUGAAUCCAUUUUUAUAAAAGACUAGAGUUCUCUCAAAAUAAAAAAUAAAAAAGAAAAGAAGAAAAAAAACAGACUUGGUGGUGGAGACGUAAAUAAAAUGUAUCAAUUUGAUGAUAUGUUUAUAAGGACUUGGAUUGUAUUGGUGGGUGGGGACGUAAUCAAAAAGGGAAUUUUUUAAAAAAGGCAAAAUCUCCUUAAGAAGGCUUCAUUUAAAAUAAAAAAUAAAAAAUCUCCUUAAGGAGAUUCCCUCCUUUUCCGUCUACAGCACGCAGAGUUUCCUUCUUCUUCUUCUUCUUUUUUUUUUUUUCCUAGUCCAAAACUACGUGAUUUUAUCCAGACAUUAAAAAAAAAAAAAAAAUACAAGCGCACAGCGCAGCUGCACAACAAAGGGCGCAAGAAAAGCAGGUAUUUUGUCGAACAGGUAAAGUACACAAUCAGACUAAGCGAAGGGGCAACUUUCCGGCACCUUCAACCUUUUAUCCGUCAAGAGGAUGUGUAAUUACAUCUCUUGCAAUCACAUGUGAAGAAUCACUCCCAAACUAACCCUACAUUUUGUUUAAGACUUUAUGAUGUAAUAUACUCUCUUAUUAUCACCCAUUCACAUGUGAAGAUCAAGACAUAAUAGUUAAACAUGAGUGCAACUUAGGGGCGUUUAGUAACGUUUUCAAGGCCCUGUUUUCAUUUUCUACCAAAAACACGUUCGGUAUGUUGUUUUCAUUUUUUGAAAACAAAUUCAAACUCAUGUAUAAAAACUGAAAACACCAAAUUAUCGUUUUCAUUUUCUACCUAGUGUAUUGGUCCGAUUGAUUUCUUUUUUGUUUGAUUUUUUUUUUUGUCUUUUUUUAAUUUGUCAUUUUUUCUUCAAUUUUUAGUUUUUUCGUUCCGCUUCAUUAUUUUAUUUUGCUACACCAGUGUAUAUUAAUUUUAUGAUAAAACCAUCAUAUAUUAUUCAAUUUCAUAUUUAUUUUAAACUAAAGAUAAUAUAAUUUUAUUAUCUGGGUUUUUCUAAAAUUAGAAAUUUUAUUAUUAUUUUAAUUAUACAUUAUUAUUCUCAAUUAUACAUUUUUCAUUGUUUGUAAUAAUUUUAUCCUUUAAAAUAUCACUAUUUUUAAUUUCUGAAUAUGUUUUCCAAUUAAUCUACCAGACCCAUUUUCGAAUCCUGAAAAUGCAAAUUCUUUUUCUUAUUUUCAUUCUCAGAAAACAUUACCAAACAGACCCUUAUAUUCCCGGGCAUAAGAGUAUAUAUGUAUAGUAGUCGUUUUGCUGCUAAUAUCUGCUUUUGAUACUAUAAUAAAGUUAGAGCAUAUCUAAUGCAAAACCAAUUGACCCAUUGGUGAAGAGGUUUAAGAUCUUACACUAUUAUGCAGGGCUUAAAUCCCCGAUAUAAUAUUUUCUUUCUACAAAUUUGUAAGUAUACCUACUUAUAUAUAGACAUAUAUAAAUUUUUAUUAUUUUUUUAAAACUUAGAAGUAUUUUCUUGUAUAUAUAGUUUUAGAAAAUUAGAUUAUCAUGAUUAGAUAUUUCGUUUGUAUAGGUGACAUUUUUUAAUUUGUUGCAGAAAGAAUCGUAUCAUAUAUACAUAGGUCCAUUUGUAAUACUGUUAAGUUAUGCCUUUCAAUUCUAGCUAUACCAUGAUGGAGGAAGCCACAGAUUACGAUAGGUUAAAGUGACUUCACACCACAGCUUGUGUUUUACACAAGUUAACCCCUAUCAAUUUUCACUACAGCUUUUAGGGCCCUAAACAGAACUGAUUAUGAGUUCGUUCUCAAAUGCCUUCCAUUAUGUAUAUCUCUCUCAUAUGACAAAUCAAAUUUUUCCCUAGUUAAUUGUAUCCUUCUUACUAGUCUGAACAAAAUAGCUCCUCAGCUUCAUUUUCUUCUUUUCUUUUCAUUAGGUUAAAAGAUAGGGAUGCAACCCGAAAACGUUUUAAGAGAUUAUAUAUUUUAUGUGCGAUCGCCUAAUUACAUUUGAAUGUAAAAUUUAAUGCUGGUAUAGCAAUCGUUAUUCAGAAUGAGUUUAGGCCAAAGAAAAAUAAAACUUGAACCUUUUCAUGUAGCUUCUUGUUUGUUUUUAUUUUAUUUUAUAUUUAUAUAUAGUGAAGUCUAAGCUUCCUGUGGAAAAAAUUGUUAAUAGAUAGAAUAAUUUUUUUGCUGUUUUUGAGUUCUAGAAUAAUCCUUGUUACAGUGGUAAAUAUAAGAUUUGGUGGGUAGAGAAUAUUGGUAGAGAAUCAUCAAGCGACCAAAUUAAUGAUUGACACAGCAACUUCACCUAGCAGUGGUCCUUGUCAUUUCUGCCUCUAAAUCUCACUCUCACUCUACCUGCAAUUUCUUUCAGCAAGAUAUUAAAAGGAGAAAUAAGUGUUUAAGAAGAGAUUCUCCCUUUAUUCCUCUGCCACACCCAAGUGAGAGCAGAAAGCAGGAGAUGUAUUUAUACGCAAGGUCUAAAAUAUCUAUGGUUUUAAAAAUAUUCGUCGUCUGAAAAUAUAAAUUUUUUUAAUUGAAAUAUCGGGAAAUUAUCGAUAUCGAUAAAAAUUGAGUAAAAAUCAUAGAAAUUGUAUAAAAAAAACUUGAAAUUUUUUAUUGAAACUUUGGAGGAUGUUUAUUGAGUCAAUUAUCUAAUACUUUAUUACAAAAAAUUGGAAGUAAAUGUAUUGCAUGAUGAGUUUAACUGAUUUAAGUUGAUUAUAUAGCGAGCUGACAAAAUACUAUGAGUGUAGAAAAUAUGUAGUAAUUAAUGAAAGAAGAUUAAAUACACCAUAAUCAUUGAUUUAUAAUAAUUUACUACAAUUAUGUUACACUUUAUAUAUUGUAUGGUAAGAUACAUAAGUGAUUUAAUACCCACAUAGAGUUCCUAUAAGGUUCAAAUUUGAGUUAUUUACACUAACAUCCCUUGAGGUUUUCGACUUUGUCACAAAAGUCCUUGAGGUUUUAGAAAUUAUAAAACCACCCCCUGAGGUUUUAAAAUUGUUUUCACAAAACUCAUUUUCAUUGAUUUUUCAUCCUAAGAUUGAUGAUUUUAUAUAUAUAAAAAAUCUCUAAAUUACAAAGUUGGCCUUUGAGAUUAGAUUGCAUAUACUUCAUUGAGGUUGAUUUUGUCAUUUGCAUAAGUACUUUUUUCACUGAAAUCAUCAAUGUUUGGAUAAACAAUCAACGAAAAGGGGUUUUGUGAAAACAAAUUGAAACCUCUUGGGGUGUGUGUAAUUUUUGAGACAUGAGGGGAUUUUGUGAAAACACAAGAAAUCUCAGGAGUGUUAGUGUAAAUAACUCUUCAAAAUUUUCAUUGUCUUCAUCAUCUCAAUGUUAUCAAUAUUAUCGAUAUUAUAGCGAUAUUUUUUCCAAAUAUUGCUGAAGUGUGAGAGAAAUUAUCAACAUUGAUAUUUUUUGAUAUUAUCAAUACUUAUACGAUAUGUGUAUGAAUAUGUUCCAAAAUAUCUUAAAUCCAAAAAAACAAUAAUAUCCUCGAUAUUUUAGUCCUUAAUUUAUACAGUUCCUCUCAAUCUGUUCAACUUUUUUUUUCCUGCAAAAUGUGUGGUCACAUCUGCUCCUUUGUGUCCGCUUUGUUAAAAGAGUGGAGUGGGAUCGGAAUAUGAUUAUAAUGUGUUAUUUUUUGCUGGCAUAGAUUGAGAUUCUUUUUCAAUCACUUUCUUCUAUGUCGACAAGAAUCCCACCUUGGAACAAGACAAUGCCUGCUCAUGCAUGAUAUAUUUGUUUUAUUUGUUUUAUUUUUUUUAAUUCUAUCAAAUCACAUAAAAAGAACUUACAUCAGCAAAAUGACAUAAUAAUUUAGUCCCUCUUACUUCUAAUCGGCCUCUUUUAGGAGAUUAAAGGAUGUGAUAGUUCAGGAGAAAGUUUGUAAGUUAAAAUCUAAUUUUCGAAGAAAGUAGAAGUUUAUCAAGUAUAGAUUUGUUCUUGGAUUUUGUGUUUAUAUUGUAUCACAGUAUUCCCUAAAUGCAAUGGGUUUGGGAUGAGAGAAUUAGCUGCUACAGGACAAGACCAUAUGGGGAAAUAUACCUUUUCUUCAAUAGUCCUGAAAAGGAAUGCGCUUCUGGGAAUAAUCCAAAUUUGUGGGCAUUGAUGCAAUCAUACACAAGUUAAGCUUUAAGGUUGCUUUCUUGAUGACCUUUCUCCAGAUAUUUUAUUGCAGCAUCAAUUCUGCACAUCUUUAUCACAAGAAUCCAUUAUUUGGUAUAACACGUUAUUCAAUCCAUUAUUUGGUAUAACACAUCUUCAUCAUGAUUUUUGUCUCUUCUGCCAAAUUUUUAUCCAAAUAAAACUGAAUGAGACAUGAUCCUGGUUGCAUAUCUGAAAAAGAAAUAACUUAGUUGGUAAUAAUGGAACCACCAAAUUUAUUGAUGGCAGAAGAUUGUGAACAAAAUAAUAAUAAAGGGAAAAAGGAAAAGCCAAUAAUCCUUCCAACCUUUGGCUCCACCCGUGUAGAAGUGUAAUACAAAUUAGGAAAAAAUAUGGGCUUACAUGUGAAUUCACAAAUUAUGGGCUUACAUGUGAAAAACCUAACUAAAAGAUAAAUUUAUAAUAAAACUUAUUUCUUGCAUUGAAUUUAUAUAUAAACCCUAAAACUUAUAAAUUGAAGAACAAAACCCAAUAAGGGCUAGUUGUAAUUUAUUUUAAAAAAAUUUGAAUGAUGUGAGAAAUGCUAUUAUUAUCAUUGCAUUAUGAUUUUUAGAAGAAAAAAAAACAUUGAUGACAUUGUUGUAAUAUUAAGGUUUUUCAAGGGGGCAUGGUAUAUUUAGUCAAUUUGAAAAGUCAAAAAAAUUAAUUUUUAAGAUUUCGGUAUUGUAGGGUUUUUCUAUAUUUGGGCUAUAUUUAUGGGCUUACAUGUGAAAAGCCCAAACUAAAAAAGAGAACAAUUUUGUGAAUUCACAGUCAUUCAUAUUCAUUGUAAUCUCCAAAUCUUUAGACACUUCAUACUUCAAUAUUGCACACCUUCAAGACAAUUGAGUUUACAUAGCUAACUAAUACCACUAUACCAAAAUUGUAGCAACGGAUAAUAUCCGUUGCCAAUGUGCCCUCCUUACCGUGGUACUGGUAACCGAUGCCUAUUACAUAAAAGGCAUCAGAUAUUAUCCAUUGCCUAUUCCGUUAUCAAUUUUUUCAUAAAUAACGAUGUCUAAGGAGUACCAAGUGCCAAAAAAACCUUGACCCCCGACGCCUAAACCUCCAAUGGCAUCGGUCAUUUGUGUAAGACUGAUGCUAAAUAUUAUUUACAGCAUCACUAAUCUCAAAUAUAUUGAUGCUUAUGACUUAACACAACCCAAAAACCCAAAAACCAUACGGCUGUUGAGACUUAUGUUGUAUGUCAUCAAUUUUUUUCCUUCUAUCUUAAUGCUGCUUUUAGUUAUAGGCAUUAGUUUUCAUUGAAUUGCUGAUAUUGUUUAACUUCAGUUUAUUGUGAAAAACUGCGGUUGUGAUAAGCAAUAGAAUCUAUUUGAAAGUGUAGGCAUCACACUACAAUAGGAUAUCAAUUGCUUUCUCAUAUGUAGAAGCACAUACAAUAGAAUAUCAAGAGUACAAUAUAACAAAAUAAAAUUUAAAAAAUAAAAGUACUCUAGGGCCGCUAGCCGGUAGCUGCAAGAUAGGAUUUAGAGCCACCACCAAUAUAUAUAUAUAUAUAUAUAUAUAUAUAUAUAUAUAGAGCUUCCAUUGAGGGAUCUCUCAAAUAAGCUUAUUUGAAGGAUACCCUUGUAAGACCAAUUCUGCAUUGUAUUUCACAAAUCCAAACUAUCUAUUUUGUAGAUAUUCAUUCAAAGAUCAUCUCUACAAAAAAUCACUUGAAUCCGAUAUCAUUUGACCACUCGAUUAAAAUAUUGAAAUUUUAGUACAUUUUUGAAGCACCUUGUUCAUUGAUUUUGUAGAACACAAUUAGAUGUCUAAACGGUUUUUGAUUUAUCUAAUUUUUUUUUGUAAAGAUAAUCUAUGAAUGAAGACUUAAAAAAAGGAUGGUUUGGAUUGUUGAAAUACAAUUAGUAGGGUACCCUAAAUGGCAUCCCUCAAUAGAAGGGGACUAUAUAUAUAUAUAUAUAGAUCAGGAUCGAAGGACACACAUUUUUGACACUUGACACAUAUUUUAAAUCAUUAGAUAACUAUUCAUUCAAUGGUUGAGUUUAUAUAUCUCACAUGACAAAUUAGUUUCUUUAAUAAUUUUCUCAGGAAUAUAAUAAUUCUAUUAACCCUCUCUAUCUACAACCAAAUAAUAAUAAUAAGCCUAGCCGGUGACUCUGCUGUUUGUUCUUAGAUUUGUUUGUUGUUUGCGGGAUCUUUGGUGGCUGUCGUGUUGUUCUAUGCUGACGCAGCAGUUUCAACAAUGAUGUGGGUAGCUUCGGUUGCUAUGCUGGUGUAUUUAGAGUCUUUUCAGGAGAUUUUGCAUCUUUGUUUGGGUUAGUCUUGCUUGUCAGUUAUUGUAAUAACAGCUUCAACUCUUUCGGGAUUGAUGCGUGUUUUUUUUGUUUCUCUGCGGGACGAAGGAGAACCUGGGUUAGUAGUUUGCAAUACGAAGGCUAUCCUUGUCUUUUUCAUAUAUGUGUUUAUGCCGGACUGUUUUAUGCCCUGCUUGGCUUUAAAUGGAGGUAUACUGUAUAAGAUUAGUGUUUUCGAUGGAUCCCUCUCUGGUUUGUUACCCCUUUGUGGGUAGUGUUUGUAACUCCAUUGUGGGUCAUAUUGGCCUUUGUGUUUGUAUUGCCCUCUGUGGGGUGAAUUAUUAAGGGCGGUUAUCUAUUGAGAACACCUAUAUAAGAACACUACAUGAGAACACCGUUAGAUAUAAUCUAACGGCUGCAUGAAAAACAAUUGUAAGUGAAACUGUUGCAUUAGAAUAAGGCCUUCUUCUCUAUCCUCCCUCCAAAACGUCCCCUCCAAAUAGACGUCCCCUGUAAACCAACUGUUCGCUUUGUUCAAUUAGGAGGUCAAUUUUUUUAUCAGCUUUGAUUGAGGAAGAAUAAUAACACUGAAGAGAGAGCGCCCCUGUAAUUCCUUAUUAGCUUUGAAGAAGAACACUGAAGAGCGCCCUCAUUUUUCUGGCUUUCUCAUUUAGGCGAAACAAAGCAAUCUUGGAUUUUAUAUUUUCAUCUUUGUGGUUUGGUCAUUCUGGUCUAAACAUUCAUUAAUCCUUGAGCAAUGUUGAAACUGGCUUUGAGUUGGAAACUAGUGACCGCGACCGUUAUGGUUCUGUUCUCUUGGUUUUGAAAUCCUUGAGCAUGGUCGAAAUAGGGGUUGAGGAAGAUGAAAAGUUUUUGGGGUUGACAUUUAGAUCUAAAAGGGCGACAUUGUGAUAUUUGUUGAAAUUUUGAAGUUGGAAAUCACUUACGGGGUAAGUGAUAUAUUGUAUUUGUCAACUUUAUUAGUAGGCCUCAACAUGAGUUACGUUAGUUUGUAUGUAGGUCUUUAAUGUUUCAUCAGAGAUUCAUUUUCAUAUCAUAUGCUAGUUAAGAUAUAUUUGAAAGAUCUUUGAAAGCAUGUGCCAAUAUUGGUAUGAUGGUGGUGAUGUGAUAUUCAGGGUUAAAUUGCAAGAAUUGUGAAAUGAAGUGUGAAGGACAGGUGACACCGGAAGUAAGUUCGGAGUUCAAACCAAAAUUGGAACUUGAAUUUGACUGCUGUAAGGAUGUGUUCAAUUUCUAUAACAUGUAUGCCGUGAAAGCCGGAUUCGGCAUUCGGUGUGCUACAAUGAAAACAUGCACAUUGACAGGAGAGGUAACAAGGAAAGAAUAUGUAUGUUGUAAACAAGGGUAUUCUUUGAUAAGCACUGUUAGUCGUAAGAGAAGACAGCGAGGUUGUACUUGAACUGGUUGCAAGGCUGAACUUGCGAUUUUGUAGGUAAAAGACAAGAAUAAAUACAUUGUUGUAGGAUUCAAUGAGGUACACAACCAUGAAAUGACCACAAUUGAUCAAAUCCAUCUAUUGAGAUCUCACUGUAACUUAACAGAGUCUACAAAGGUCUAUAGUGCACAUAUGAGCAAAGUUAAUAUCCCUAUAUAUAAACAGGUAAGCCUUCUUGAGGUGCAAGUAGGGGAAUUGGAAAAUAUUGGGUUUGUUAAGAGAGAUGUCUAUAAUUAUGUAAGGGAUGUGCAUGGUGAGGUGAUUGGGCAUGAUGCAAGUUGCUUAAGGAGUAUUUCUUGGCUGAGUAAGAAAAUAAUGAAUCAUUUUAUUUCAAGAUGGAGGUAGAUUCGGAAGGAAGGAUGGGUAAUAUUUUCUGGUCAGAUGCAAGGUCAAGACGAGUUUAUGGUUUUUUUUUGGAGAUGCGGUGGUAUUUGAUACGACGUUUAACAUGAACCACUAUGGGAUGGUCUUUCCGCCUUUGUUAGGCGUUAAUAUCCAUCGACAGACAAUGUUGUUUGGUUGUGCGUUCAUAACUAGUGAAACCACUGAUUCAUUAGUAUGGUUAUUCGAGGAAUUCAAGAAAGCUAUGCCAGGUGAGCGACCCAAAAUUAUCAUCACUGAUCAAGAUGCAGCCAUAUCAAAGGCAAUUGCUAUAACUUUCCCAACAACAUUCCAUAGAUAUUACAUAUGGUAUAUCUUGAAUAAGUUUAUGGAGAAACCCAGCAUUGGAGAAUGUUUUUCGAAAAUGUGCAAAUGCAUAUGGGGUAUGGAUACGAAAGAAGAAUUUGAUGCGAAAUAGGACGAAAUCAUCACAAACAAUGGGCUGAAAGACCUUCCAUAGCUGAGCUCAAUUCAUGCUUUACGGAAGAAUUGGUUUCCAUCAUAUGUAAAGCAUGUGCUCUCGGUUGGAAUGUCAAGUAGUCAACGGGCUGAAAGCUGUCAUUCAUUUUUCAAACAAUAUAUUAACCGGAAAAACACAUUGAUGGAAUUCAUUGUAUGUUCUAAAAGAGCUAUUGGUUCACAGAGGCAUAAUGAGUUAAUGGCUGAUCAUGUUGAUAACAAUGAAAAACCUCCACUGUCAUUUUGAACACCAAUGCAACAUCAAAUGGCAUGCAUUUACACUCAGGCAAUUCUUGAAAUGUUUGAGAGGGAAGAAUUCAUAAGCCUUUUAUGCUUAUUCGAACUUGUAGAGCAAAAUGAGACCCACUGCAGGUACAAAGUAAGUGAGUGGGUAAAUUCGGGAGGGACACGGAUGAAGGAGCUUGUGCAUGAUAGAGAUGUCGAUAAAGCUUAUUACAGCUGCAAAGGAUUUGAAUUUUGGGGUAUUCCGUGCCGACACAUCCUAACCUUUUUAAGAAUGAAGCAGGUUGAGCACUUUCCAGACAAGUACAUAUUGAAACGAUGGCUUCAAAAUGCAAAGUGCAUCGUAGUAUAUGAUAAGAAUGACAAAGAAAUUAAAGAUUGCAUUGACGGUUUGCUUUUGGUUAAGAGAUUGAAACUUUGCAAAGUUGCAAGUGAUUUGAUUGAUUCGGCUUUGUUGUGUGAUGAAGGUUUUGAGUUGUUGGAAAAAUCAUUUGAAGACGUUCAUGGGAAGCUUACAAGGUUGGUGUCAUCAAGAGCUCAUAUCGAAGAAGAACCCAAGGAGAGGUAGGAACUAGUUCUCCCCAAGUGAGAAUGAGAGAUCCACAUCAAGUCAAAGCAAAAGGCCAUGUGAAAAGAGUUAAAGGACAAAAAGAGAAGGCAGCGGAACAACAUAAACGUCGGUGCACUGAAUGUAGGUAGACUGAUCAUGAUAGAUUGAGUUGUCCAAAACUUACCAGCCCGUAAGUGAAUAUGUUGUAUAUUGUGCUUUGAAUUUUAUGUCGUUGUUGUUUAUUAUUAUUAUUUUUUGGAUGUGGCUGCUCUUCAUCUUCCGAGGCAGAAGUUGGUGCUCCAAUUGCAGAGAAUUUGUAGCCCACUCAGAGCAUGUAGGCCAGUGAGCCUACUAUGAUAGAGUCAUUUAUGCAAGAGUUUGAUUUCAUUUACGGUCUCGGAGUUUUAAUAUUUGUUGAUACCUAUUUGUGUAAGUUUUGAAUGUAUCUGGAAGCGUUAGUAAAUCUUAGAUAAAUGCUUCAUGUCUAUUGAUAUUGAACUAUGGUCUAUUAAACACAUAAACAGUCAAACUGUGUAAAAACAAAGAUACUUUUUCAUUCGAUAAGUAUGAAGUGUCACACACAUAUCACAUGACUUACAUUAGGAGAUACAAAAUAAUAAUAAUAAAUAAAUAAAUAAAUAAAACUACAUUAAAGUCAACAAUAAGUUACUCGAAGAUCCACUUAGUUCUCAGCAUUAUAGUUAUCACUUUACUCAAAGCGGCCACGUUCCUCCCAAUCUAGAAUGAGUUUGUCAUUGUAGCAAUCCUGACACCACUUUAAGUUUAGGGGUUUACACUCGCAAACAAUGAGAGAUGGGGGCUUUGGGGGAGAAGGGGUUGAGGACCGAUAAUAUUGAACAUUGUCUGGACCUACCGCGAAUAGAUCCCUUCACGUCUCACAAAGACGGUCGUGAAGGAAACCAUGCUUGCAAUAAUUAGGCGUAACUCAAACUUUCGGAUCCAUAUUUGGUUGAAGGUGGAUGUCCCGGAUGUCCUCUGCUGGUUGAUAUGGCUAUUACCAGUCAUUAUCGUUGCCUUUUGCUGGUUGGUGGCCUUUCUCUGUUUGGUGUACAUUGCCGAAGAUGAUUUCCUGUGCAGAAGACGGGGUUAUGGCAUCCCAGUCAAUAUCUUUGUGGACUCUGUAGUGAACCGUCAAAAUUUCUCAAAACCUUCGUUGAAAGUCACAGACAUUGUCUGGCCAUACUUGUUGCCUCCUUUGUGGAUGCUCAAAGAUUCGUACGUAGCAUCCUCCUCUAUCAUAUGCAAAUUCUAUGCUUUGUGCUUUCUUCUCUGGGCACGAAUUCUGUGCAUCUCUUUUCUAUAACGCGCUUUGUUAACUUGCCGUGUCAAAUAAGCCAACUUCUGCUCAGCUUCGACACACUUCUAAGUCCAAUAAUGGGCCAAGAAGGAGUUAUGUUCCAAUUUGUUCUUCAUAUCAUUUAUUUUCAUAGCGGGAUCAUUGGAGUCCCCCUCGCUUGUGGAGGAGGUUGGAAGAGGCGAUGGUGGUGGAAGAGACCUUGGAUAUUCGGGGGCAUAUUCCCAUGACCCAUCGGAGUCCCCCUGAUUCGUAUUGGCACUUGAAUUGGCAGACAUGUUUUGAAAAAAUCUUCAAAUUGGGGGAUUCAGCUAAAGGUUUCUAUAGAAAAAGACAACUCCAAAGAAGAGAAAAGAGCAAAGAAGAUUUGGAUGUAAGACAAAGAGUAUCCCAUAGCCAUAAGGCAACGUUUAUGUAUGAUGCCCGGAAGUUUUCAUUUUUUAUUUUCUUUUUUUGUCCCAUUAGUUUUUUCUUUUGUUUUUUGUUAAGUAAUCGAGUAUUUGGUCACUGGAGAUAUUGUACUCAUAUUUGGCAUUGUGUUUUAACGAGGCAACAUGAGCGCAUUACCCUUAUGUCCCAAAUAAAGUUGUACUCUUUUUCCUUCGCUUAGGUUUUUUCCCACUGGGUUUUUCCAAGCAAGGUUUUAAUGAGGCAACCAAUCUAGGGACAUGUGGUCUUCAAGGGGGAGUGUUGUAAAUAAUAUUGGUGAAGCCCACAUAAAGAGAAAUGAUGGAAGAAAAAUGAUUGUAUUAAGUAUGGUAGUCAAAAGAAGAAAUGAUGGUGUUAGAAGUGGGAUGAUUAGUCAAAAGAUGAAAUUAUAAUGUUGGGGAGAAAUCAUUAUGUCUCCAUUAGAAGCCUUUUACUUUGCCUAUAAAUAGGCUUGCUCAUUCACUUGUAAUACACACCAAAGAGAAGAGAAGAAAGAGUGAGGAAAGAAAGAACGGAAGAGAGAAAGAGAAAGAGUGGGAGUCAGAGAGAAGAGAAAGAGUGGAGUCUAUCUGAGGAGAAAUUCUGUCAGUGUAAACACUACAAAGAGAAAUAUAAUCUCACUCACAAUAUUACAGUGGUACUUCUCAUCAACUGAUUAUUCUAGUUUUAUAACACGUUAUCAGCACGAGAAGCUCUCAGGUGAAGGUUUUUAUCCCCACAUUUAUUUUAUUUAUAGUAUGGAGUAGGUUUAUUACCCAUACGGCAAUAUUUAUUUAAAAGGGUAGCGCGGGUUUAUCGUCCAUGCCUUUACUUUUAUUUAAAAGUAUGGAGCAGAAUUAGUGCCCAUACAAGUACAUUUACUUUUAUUAAAAGUAUGAUGUGGAAUUAACCCUCAUACUUUAUGAAUUUACUUUACUGUACAUUUACUUUUAUUAAAAGUAUGAUGUGGAAUUAACCCUCAUACUUUAUGAAUUUACUUUACUGCACAUUUACUUUUAUUAAAAGUAUGAUGUGGAAUUAACCCUCAUACUUUAUAUUUCCUUUUAUUUAAAGUAUGGUGCGGAAUUAACGUCCAUACAGCAAGCAAUUUACUUUAUGAAUUUACUUUAUCGCACAUUUAAUUUUAUUUAAGGUAUGGUGCGGGUUUAUCGUCCAUACCAGCAAAUUCAUAGCACUUUAUUUUUUAUCAUCAAUUAAUAUACCUGAAUAAUGAGGGCCUGAAAUUCCUAUUAAUAAGUGGCUUAAUGUCCCAGAUCUCGAGCCUAAAGUUUCGGAUGGCAAAUUUGGCAAAACUAGAGUUUGCUGCCUUGGACCUUUCCGGGGACAACUAUUUAUCAUGGGUCCUGGAUGCCAAAAUUCAUCUACGAGCCAAUGGCCUCGGACAAACAAUUGUAGAUGAGAAUGAUGCUUCGCCUGAAGAGAAUGCGAAGGCCAUGAUCUUUCUUCGCCGCCACAUCCAUGAAGCGCUGAAGAGCGAAUAUGUGGUGGUUGAUGAACCGUUGGUUCUAUGGAAAGCUCUAGGUGAAAGAUACGAUCACCAGAGGAUGGUGACUCUCCCAAGAGCUAGAUACGAAUGGACUCACUUGAGAUUUCAAGAUUUCAAGUCAGUGUCCGAGUAUAACUCUGCUAUGCACAGAAUUACCUCAUUAAUGAGGCUAUGUGGGGAAGAUAUAUCUGAGGAGGAUAUGCUCGAAAAAACUCUGAGCACUUUUCAUGCUUCAAAUGUCUUCCUUCAGCAGCAAUACAGACAUAGCGGUUUCAAGAAGUACUCGGAACUUGUAUCCUGCCUAUUGUUAGCUGAGCAGAAUAAUGAGCUCUUAUUAAAGAAUCACCAAUCUCGCCCAACAGGCUCAGCACCACUUCCUGAAAUAAAUGCUGCAUCUCAGGAAGUGAAUGCCACUUCAUCUCGUGGUAGUAUCCACAAACGUGGGCGAGGGGGCAAGCGUGGCCGCUGGCAAGGAAGCAGAAAAGAUCGUGGUGCUCGUUCAGAGGGUUUCGGUCCAAGAAGCGGUCCAUCCACGAAUGGCAAAAAUACAUCCCGUAAUAAGGGAAAGGCACAGAUGAGCCAUGUGCCUAGAAAUGUUGAAAGCACUUGUCACAGAUGUGGUGCAAAGGGACACUGGGUGCGCGCAUGUCGUACGCCCAAGCAUUUGGCGGAUCUCUAUCAAGCUUCACUUAAGAACAGGAAAGUGGAGAUAAAUUAUAUUGAUCAUGCUCCACCAGCCACAGAUGGCUCAUCAGAAAUAUCGCGUCAGCUAAACAAGACGCAUCUGGAUGUUUCUGACUUUGUUACUGAAAAAGGGAAUGAAGCUUCUGAGUCCGAAUUAGAUUAAAUUCCUUAAUGUACUAUUUGUAUUAGAUGAAGUGUUGUUUAAUUUUUCAUCCAAUAAAAGUGGUAAUGUUUUCUUCUUUAUUGAUUACAGUGUGUGUGUGCUUAUUUGAAGGCAUGGAUGUAAAUUAUGGAUGCCCUCAAAACAAAGGUUAUGGCAAAAAUAUUUGUCUCGCAGACAGUGCGACUACUCAUACGAUCCUUCAAGAUCGGAAGUAUUUCUCAAAAUUAAUGCUUACAAAAGCAAAGGUAACAACCAUAUCAGGUCCUGCAGAUCUGAUUGAAGGCUCAGGAAUAGCCCAAAUUAUGUUACCAAAUGGAACAAUACUAUCCAUUCCAGAUGCUUCGUAUUCAUCUAACUCCAGAAGGAAUCUAUUGAGUUUCAAAGAUAUACGUUUGAAUGACUACCAUGUUGAAACAAAGAAAGAGAAAAACAUGGAAUAUCUUUGCAUUACCUCCAGUGAUACCCAAAAGCGUAUACUGGAGAGGCUUUGUGCGCUCUCAUUAGGGUUGUAUUAUACAACCAUACGGACAAUUGAGGCACAUAGUGUCAUGGACCAAGAGUCCAUUGACUCAAAUGCUUUUAAGCUUUGGCAUGACAGGUUGGGUCAUCCUGGAUCCACCAUGAUGCGUAGAAUCAUCACCAACUCUAAAGGACAUCCCUUGUUGACUAAACACAUUAUGUUAUCAAGUGACAUCUUUUGCCAAGCUUGUUCACAAGGGAAGUUGGUGAUCAGAACAUCACAACCGAAAGUUGAUGUUGAGUCUCCAUCAUUUUUGCAGAGAAUUCAAGGGGACAUUUGUGGACCUAUUCAUCCCCCAUGUGGACCAUUUCGGUACUUUAUGGUCUUGGUGGACGCAUCUACUCGAUGGUCACAUGUUUGUCUUUUGUCUACUCGGAAUAUGGCAUUUGCUAGACUUUUGGCUCAGAUAAUUAAAUUACGAGCCCAAUUCCCAGAUUAUCCCAUUAAGUCAAUCAGACUCGAUAAUGCUGGUGAAUUUACAUCUCAAACUUUUGAUGACUACUGCAUGUCACUAGGCAUUGACAUUGAACACCCUGUUCCCCAUGUGCAUACUCAAAAUGGCUUGGCAGAAGCUUUAAUUAAGCGCCUUCAAUUGAUAACACGCACUUUGCUAAUGAAAACAAAGUUGCCAGUUUCUGCUUGGGGAUAUGCCAUUUUACAUGCAGCAUCACUUGUGCGAUUGAGGCCCGUCGCCAACAAUCAAUAUUCUCCAAUACAACUCGUAUUGGGGAAUCAACCAAACAUUUCACAUUUAAGAAUUUUUGGGUGUGCGGUAUAUGUGCCCAUUGCACCACCGCAACGUACUAAGAUGGGCCCUCAACGCAGAUUGGAAAUUUAUGUUGGUUUUGAGUCACCAUCUAUCAUCAGAUAUCUGGAACCCCUGACGGGUGAUUUUUUACCGCACGGUUUGCGGAUUGCCAUUUUGAUGAGACAAUCUUCCCAUCAUUAGGUGGAGAAAAAUCUGUGUCUAAAGAACAAGGCAAACUCAUUCCUGAAAAACGACAUGAAUUAUCGUGGAAUGUAUCCACAUUGUCUCAUCUCGAUCCUUAUACUGCUCAAUGCGAAAACGAAGUGAGAAGGAUCGUUCACCUCCAAAGUAUUGCAAAUCAGAUGCCAGAUGCAUUUAAUGAUGCAGCAAAGGUGACGAAAUCUCAUAUCCCAGCUGCAAAUGCACCCGCACGGAUUGAUGUCCAUAAUGGACAAGGCAAUGUGCCAGCAAAUGGUUCAUCUGUUGCAGGCCUGAAGUGUGGCAGACCACUAGGCUCAAAGGAUUCAGUUCCUCGAAAGAGGAAGUUGAUGGACAAAAUGAAUCCAAAUGAAAUAAAUAGAGAGCCCACAAUUCAUAAUUCAAAUGCCCCCAAAGAGGGACAGGUACUUCCUGAAAAGGAAAACGUCAUUGUCUCAUCUCGAUCCUUAUACUGCUCAAUGCGAAAACGAAGUGAGAAGGAUCAUUCACCUCCAAAGUAUUGCAAAUCAGAUGCCAGAUGCAUUUAAUGAUGCAGCAAAGGUGACGAAAUCUCAUAUCCCAGCUGCAAAUGCACCCGCACGGAUUGAUGUCCAUAAUGGACAAGGCAAUGUGCCAGCAAAUGGUUCAUCUGUUGCACGCCUGAAGCGUGGCAGACCACUAGGCUCAAAGGAUUCAAUUCCUCGAAAGAGGAAGUUGAUGGACAAAAUGAAUCCAAAUGAAAUAAAUAGAGAGCCCACAAUUCAUAAUUCAAAUGCCCCCAAAGAGGGACAGGUACUUCCUGAAAAGGAAAACGUCAUUGGUGAGACAAGUGCCCUUGGAGUGGCAACUGUACCUGAAAGUCAAGAAAUCUCCAUAAAUUAUGCGUCCACUGAUGAAUUGUGGAGUAGAAAUGAGAUAAUAAAAAAUGAUGAUAUUGAGCCAUGCUCUAUUAAUGAAUGUACACAGAGGCAAGAUUGGCCCAAGUGGAAAGAUGCAAUCCAGGCAGAAUUAAAUUCUUUGGAAAAAAGGAGUGUUUUUGGACAUAUUAUUCCAACUCCACCCAAUGUGAACCCUGUAGGUUACAAGUGGGUAUUUACAAGAAAGCGCAAUGAGAAAAAUGAGAUCUCAAGGUAUAAAGCGCGACUCGUUGCGCAAGGUUUUUCACAAAGGCCUGGAAUUGAUUAUGUGAAAACGUACUCUCCAGUAAUGGACACAAUUACAUUCCGUUACUUAAUAAGUUUGGCGGUUUCGGAAAAACUUGAAAUUAGACUCAUGGAUGUCAUUACUGCAUAUCUGUAUGGAGAAUUGGAUACAGAUAGAUACAUGAAAGUUCCAGAAGGAUUCAAGCUGCCUGAAGCAGCCAGAAAUAAACCACGGGGCAUGUUCUCAGUUAAAUUGAGAAGAUCAUUAUAUGGGCUAAAACAAUCUGGACGAAUGUGGUACAAUCGUCUCAGUAAGUAUUUACUGAAGGAAGGAUACACAAAUAAUCCUAUUUGCCCAUGUGUGUUUAUUAAGAAAUCAGAGUCUGGAUUUGCGAUAGUGGCAGUAUAUGUCGACGACAUGAACCUGAUUGGAACUUCUGAAGAGCUUCAAAAGACUGCUGAUUAUCUCAAACGUGAAUUUGAGAUGAAAGACCUUGGAAAGACAAAAUAUUGUCUUGGCUUGCAGAUUGAGCAUAGUGCUAAUGGAAUUUUGGUGCAUCAAUCAAAUUAUACUGAAAAGGUAUUGAAACGGUUUGGCAUGGAUAAAGCCCAUCUACUUAGCACUCCAAUGGUCGUUCGGUCGCUUGACACUAAGAAAGACCCAUAUCGUCCAAAAGGGGAUGAUGAAAUGGUCCUUGGUCCAGAAGUACCAUAUCUUAGUGCAAUAGGUGCUUUAUUGUACCUGGCACAAUGUACCAGACCAGACAUGUCAUUUUCAGUAAAUCUGUUAGCAAGGUACAGUUCUGCUCCAACAAAGCGACAUUGGACCGGCAUCAAACAUGUUCUACGAUACCUUCGUGGGACAACAGACAUGGGCUUAUUCUAUUCCAAUGAAUCGACCAGCUCCCAGAGUAUUGUUGGUUAUGCAGAUGCAGGAUAUCUCUCUGAUCCACAUCAAGGACGAUCACAGACUGGGUAUGUAUUUACAUGCGGAGGAACUGCAAUCUCAUGGCGCUCAACGAAACAAACACUAGUGGCCACAUCUUCCAAUCACUCAGAAAUACUUGCCCUCCAUGAAGCCAGUCGUGAAUGCGUUUGGUUAAGGUCGGUGAUCCAUCACAUCCGAAGCACGUGUGCCCUACCCUCAACAACAGACACUCCAACAAUCCUGAAUGAGGACAAUGCAGCUUGUAUUGCUCAGAUCACAGGAGGGUAUAUCAAGGGUGACAGGACUAAGCACAUAUCACCAAAGUUUUUCUAUACACACGAGCUCCAGAAGAGUCAAGAAAUCAAAGUCAGACAAAUCCGCUCAAGCGAUAACCUGGCAGAUCUCUUCACUAAAUCAUUGCCGAAAUGUACAUUCCAAAAGUUAGUGCAUGGCAUCGGAUUACGACAACUCUGUAAGAAAUCAAGUUGGAGCAUGCAAAAUCAGGGGGAGCAUUCAAGAGUCCUCUAACACAGGACAUAUGCGCGUUGUACUCUUUUUCCUUCGACUAGGGUUUUUUUUUCCUCACCGGGUUUUUCCUAGCAAGGUUUUAACGAGGCAACAUGAGUGCAUUACCCUUAUGUCCCAAAUAAAGUUGUACUCUUUUUCCUUCGCUUAGGUUUUUUCCCACUGGGUUUUUCCAAGCAAGGUUUUAAUGAGGCAACCAAUCUAGGGACAUGUGGUCUUCAAGGGGGAGUGUUGUAAAUAAUAUUGGUGAAGCCCACAUAAAGAGAAAUGAUGGAAGAAAAAUGAUUGUAUUAAGUAUGGUAGUCAAAAGAAGAAAUGAUGGUGUUAGAAGUGGGAUGAUUAGUCAAAAGAUGAAAUUAUAAUGUUGGGGAGAAAUCAUUAUGUCUCCAUUAGAAGCCUUUUACUUUGCCUAUAAAUAGGCUUGCUCAUUCACUUGUAAUACACACCAAAGAGAAGAGAAGAAAGAGUGAGGAAAGAAAGAACGGAAGAGAGAAAGAGAAAGAGUGGGAGUCAGAGAGAAGAGAAAGAGUGGAGUCUAUCUGAGGAGAAAUUCUGUCAGUGUAAACACUACAAAGAGAAAUAUAAUCUCACUCCCAAUAUUACAGUGGUACUUCUCAUCAACUGAUUAUUCUAGUUUUAUAACACAUUGCGACUACUCUGUAUUUUUUUAUGUGUUAUCAAUAAAAUUACUAUCACUUUUAAUCAAAAAAAAAAAAAGUAAUCGAGUAUUUGAUUUAAUUAGGUUCAAUUCAGAUUAAAGCCUCGUAUUAAUCACAGGAUUAAAGCCUCUUAUUAAUCACAGGAUUAAAGUUUCUUAUUAAUCACAGGAUUAAAGCCUCUUAAUUUUCCCUUUGAUUUGUUUUUCGUUGGGUUAUAAAGGAGGAGUGGUGUCUUCCCUUUAAUUUUUUUUUUUUUCAAAGUGUUCAAAAGCUAAAUGCCAAUUAUUUAUUUGGGUUGUUGUUAACUUCAUGGGUAAUUAAUAUAGAAAAGUGGAAAGUUUGUUAGGUUAGAAUAAAGGUAAAUCAGGAAAAAUCUUAUUAAAGUAUUGUUUCUCUCUCAUAAUAAUGUCAUCAAUUAAAUAAAAAAUGAAUAAUUAACUAUAGUUAAACCCAUGGACAUGUGUAAACUUUUGGGAAGGGUGGUGAGGGUACACCUUGAGUUAAAGUUGUGAGCAAAAAUGCACCCUUUACCCAAACCUUUAUUAAUUAUAUUAAAACCAAAAAAUGAAUAAAAAAAUAAUAUCUUUAAAAUAACAAUAAAAGGAAAUCAAAUAAAAAGCAACAAAAAAAAAAAAAAACAGAAAAUACCAUUUUAGUUUUUUAAUAUUUUAUUCAUAUUUGAAUCAAUUUAAUAAAAAAAUACCAUUUUCCCCCUGCAUUUAACAAAAAAAGUUAACAAAAUUGAUUGAAGGACUAUUUGUCAUAAUGAAUGUGAACUCUAAAACGAUUAACCCAAAUACUAAUGAAUACUUCUUAGUCAAAAUAUUAUUUAUGAAGCUUUAGUGAACUCUAAAUGAAGUGUUGUUGAAGCUAUAAUGAAUCAUUUCGAAGCCUUUAUGAAACAUAUUUUGGUGGCAAAGAAGUGAUGCGGCAACAUUGCGAGUUUGGUUGUGUCAUUUCUCUAUUAUUUUAUUGCAUUAAUUUUAAAAUUAUAAAAAUAUAUGAAAGCUUUAAACAAGUUCCUUGCAAUGACUCUUCGUAUUUAAAGUUGUAGGGGUCUUUUUGUUCCAGCAGCUUGACGAAUGGGCUUGGGUUGCUGUAAGAGAAAGACAAACAAAAUUCCCUCAGUGUUUGAGUUCAAAAACCAGGCUCCAAAAGAGUUUUGAAAAGUUUGCUGAAACCUUAGAAAACACUUUUGGAUUCUUUUCACUAAUAACCAGAUAAACGUGAUAGAUUAAUAAGUGACUUGGCUUGAGGAGUUUGUGGCAUGGGAGCUAAGCCUUCACAAGUUUAGCAAUUUGAGAGAGAGAGAGAGAGAGAGAGAGAGAGAGAGAGAGAGAGAGAGAGAGCUAAAAGCAUGAACUUCUUACAGAGAGAAAAGGUUCAGAAUAGGGAAGAGGAAAAUUAGGAAGAUUUCUAUCUCAGGAAGAGAAAGAAAGCAAUGGAAGUAGAAGACGGGGUGUCUUGAGUAAAUUUCCAGUCGCUUGACAAAGCUUGGUCGCGCUCUGGAUGAUGGGUCUUUGUUGGGUAGAGGAAGCUCCUUUUAUAGGCGCUUAGAACCCUAAUUUUAUCGAUCCUUCAUUCUCACUUUUCCUUCGCUUCUUUCCAUUCAAUCCUAUUAAGGGUUCCAAGAGUUUUAUGCAGCUAGACCUCUUUAUAGGGGUGAGGCGCCACCCACUUUUCUCCUUGGUUUCAUAAUAGAGCUCGCAGAAGAAAAGAAGAAGGGAUAGAGCAUUUGCCCAACGGGUACUCCUCUUAUGCACAUGAAUUUCCUUUGAUUUCUGCAAUGGCCUCUUGUUUGACUUGUUAUGGAGCUUUACAAGGGCUAAAUACGAUACUAGAUAUUUUAUAAGGCGCUGGGCUGGGCUUUUCCUAAGGUAUUGGGUCGUUGGUACUCUAUUUCCAGCGGUAUAUGAGUUUUGUUUUGUCAAGCUGCUGGAAGUAGCUCGUUUGCCUUGUUUUGGCAAGGUGUUGGGCGUUUUAACUAAUGUGGGGUUUUCUAAGUGUUGCAGCAGACCCUUAGAUAUUCUCCUAAGGUAUUGGAUCACUUUUCUCUCUCUCAUGCUAACCCAUGUACUUGUGCCUGAGGAAUGGACUUGAGUUUUAAUGCCCUAAAGCGUCCCAAAACUUCCAUUCCUUAAACCCUUAAAGGGCCUUGAGAGUGCUUGUACCCAUCCAUAUCACAACCUUCUCAACAAGCCCCGAAUAUUUACAUGCCUUGGGCCCACUUAAGCUUGUAGCAUGGCUUGGAAUUAGAAUAGCGGUUCUUUUGCUUGGCAUCACAUGUUUAUUUAGCAUGUUUGUACUUGAGUUCUAUUAUGCAAUAAUAAGCUAUGGCCGAGCCAAGUAGCACUUGACAGGUCAGUAAGCGUGAAUUUAGAGAGCUGGUGCGUUUUGACUCUUUUGACGUGGCGGAUCCGUGUGUUUGCUUGGUGUGGCGCGUGGCCCAUAACUCGCGCAGGUGCAUCCCACAAGUUCUCAUAUGUCCCAGUUGGGCUCCUUUUGCGGUUAAAUAUUUGUGCUGGGCUAGGAAUGAGCCUGGGCCCAGCCUUUGGAUUUUUGAAUCUCAACAAAAGUGUCAAGGCAACAAAGAUUUCUAAUUUUUUGCUUUCAACUAACACACACAAUAUGGUUCUUGUUAUCCUGCAUUGAUAAAAUUACAUAUUUGAAAUCAAUAAGCAAACCUCUAAUACCAUAUUACGAACAUAAUUACCAUAUAAGAGAUCAAAUAAAUGCUUAAAUUCCAAAACUCACCCAAUUACUUCAAAAAGGGAGAAAGAAAAAUAGACUUCCAAAUAAAUUUAUUCAGCACUCUAUUUAGUAAUUUAUUUUUGUGGAUAUCAGCAUUAUUUUAUUCAAAUGAACCAAAAUGGAAAGACAGUAGAGUAUGAACCUCAUUUGUUAGAAACGGUAACUGAUUUCAAGCCUUUGAGAAGGUGACCUUCACGAACAACGUAGCGUUUGCGUGAGUACUGUAGCCCAAUCCAAUUAGAACGAACGAGAUAAAGCCAACCAUUCAUUCUUUGAUUACUUUGCAACCUACCCGUUUCGAAAAACCUCGAUUGUCAACAAAUCCACCUAUGUUGUUUCAAUUCUGUGCCUUUUAGGCAUUUUUAUUAGACAAAAGAAAUAUGUUCAGAGAAAAUAAUAUUUUAAAAAAACUUCAAUUAAAGCACAAAAAUUUAUCCAGAGAAAAGUACACAUAAUAAACCAAACAUAUUUUCCCCAUAUUUUUAUAGUUUUUCUUCACAUCUUACAGCUUGGAUACAUAUAGGAUACUGUAUUAAGUGUCCAAAGCAGAAUUUUUACACCUUCAUGAAAGCACAUGCGUUUGUAACAAAUAUGCUCAAAAUGAACCACACAUUUGUUCCAAACAAAAAUACUGAAAAGAACCAAAAAUAAUUUUCUCCAACGAUGGUUUACUCCAUGGUGAUCCUGUCCCAGUUGUAGCUUAGGACAACACAUCUUGCAUACAAAUGGAACAGGUCAAACCCUUUGUGUGCUUCUGCUUCCCUCAUCUGCACUGCCUCAUUAGAACCACUGCACCUUUGAAAACCUUUCCUUUUCGCAAGCCUAACCCUCACUUUCAUUAUUUUCACUGAUCAAAGGUGUAAUUUUACUUUUGUUUUCUCCUUCCCCAAGGUUUCUUCAUACCAUCUUAGACGUAUCUUCUGACGUUUGAUUUCCAUCAUCAAUGCAUCGUACUGCAUCUGUUUGAUACAAGCUGCAUCAUCGUGGUCUUCAGAUGAAAACUUUAUGCAUUUUGCAGCUCAUUCAACAACAUCUUCAACUUUAUUAUUCCUUUGCGACAAAGGCUUCGCAUUUUUUGGUUGAGUUGUUAUAAGUAUGGGGGGAUUUUGAUAGGUGAACACAUUGUGAGUUUAGGGUUGUUUGGAGCAAGUGGUGGUGCAAUGGGAGGUAAAAUAUUGAACUUUGGUGUUUAUAUAGCAAUACCCAUAUUGAUUUUACCCACCAAAAUUAAACUGUUGACUUGGAGUGGGGAGCUGCAACUUUAGUUACCUUCAUAACUGGUAAUGUGAUAUCUGCAUUAUUAGUAUCAUAAACGCUAUUUUCAUUUUCUUUACUGGUGAUAUGCAUUGAUAUUUACUAUCAUAUUUGCCAAGAUGAAACUGUUGACUUGGUCAUAUUCAAAUGUAACUAAGUUACCUUCAUAACUGGUGAUGUGAUAUUUGCAUUAUUAGUAUCAUAAACGCUAUUUUCAUUUUCUUUACUGGUGAUGUGCGUUGAUAUUUAGUAUCAUAUUUACCAAGAUGAAACUGUUGACUUGGUCAUGUUCAAAUGUAACUAAGCCAUAAUUGGUGAUGUGAUAUUUGCAUAAUUAUUGUCAUCAAAAGUAUUUUUAUUUUUUUUGACUGGUGAUGCGCGUUGAUAAUUAGUAUCAUAAAUGCCAAGACCUGUUCGCCUCUAGUUGGGGCAAGAAGAGAAAUUUGCCGCUUCCACCUUCAUCGAGGUGUGUGAAUUGUCCUUUCAGUCACACCGGUUGGCAAACGAAGACAAUAAUACAUGUAUAUCCAAUGUUUUCUUUGUCCACAAAUAGUCGUACCGUGUUAAUUGAAUAAAGUAAGGCGACGACAGUUGGGAAACUUUCCAAUAUAUAGAACCCGACACUUUCUUGUUGGUCCAGAAAGGACACCGUUAACUAUUCCUCCAGAUACCAUUUUUACUCCCUCUUCUCCAACAACCCAGAUGGACAUCCCAAACUUGCCAUGGUUAUCGGUGCUGUUUUUGGUUGCAAAGCACUCCUCUGAAGAUCUAUACAGCAUGUUGGGGACAUACAAGUUAUUUCAAGAAAUGCUCAAUGAUCGUGAGGUUUGGCGAACUGUGUCAAUAGAGAAGUACUAGUGGCACGAGGAUUGGUACGGGUUUUUUUUUUUUUUUGGUUCAAUUGGUAUGGGUUUCAUGAAGGCAAAAUUGUUGAGUUCUUGUAAAAGUGCAAAAAACAUAACAAUCCAGAAAUCACUCACAGACAAGCUUUUCAUGACUUCUUCAUAUGCAAAGAUGAUGAGGCGGUCAACAUGAGGGUGGCAACUAUGGCAGGGCAUAUGGAAUCCUGCUACAUUGUUGGCUUGCUAGAGCUAUUGAACCCUAGUGAGGGCAAGGAGGAUGCAAUGGAAAGUUUAUGCCAUCUAAGUAAAACCAAGAAAAUUGACAUGCAAGCAUGCAUGGAUUCAAUUAUCUAUCGACUGCUGAGGUAUAGUUUGGGUGUGGUGACUCCUCCAACGCUUGCAAAGUUUACUGCUGACGAAAGUUAUUUUCAAGAGUGCUUUCAUUGUGAGGGUAAUUGGGAGUAGUAUUUAUCAUGGGACCGUAGGGUUAGUUACUCUUACGACGCAGAGUCUUGGAAUUACUUUGAACUUGCAAAUGGAAGAGGGAGCUGUUGAUACUCAAAAUGGCCCGGCCAAUAUUGAGUCCAACUUAGUGAUUAGAUGUGCUGGGUCUUCAGCAGGGAAGAGGGCUAAGGCCCUUGGUGAAAUAUAGGUUGAUGGGAAACCUGCAGAAGACAAAGUGGGAGAAGCAAUCGUUAAGCUUCGGACACCGGUGUGGUGCCGGCCGAAGGCUCUCCGAUGCCUAAGUCAGUUACAAGUAGUAAUUCUGGCAGAGUAACAGUAAAAGUGGGAGAAUAGUUGUCCUUUGUACCUGGGUACUGUUCCCUAUUUAUAGGGAGGUGAGGGUAGGAGGUUUGCACAAAGUUCCAAUGUGGGACUUUGUGCAAGUCGUCGUGGUGGCGACACGUGUCCUGGAGAUUAGGUUUGGCAGUUGGGAGCUUCGGCAGGUGUCUGGCACCUCAGAAGUGUGUCUUCCUUCGGCACAGGAGAAGGCGUGGCUGCCUUGGUGCUAGUCACUUUGGUGCUGGGUCUGCUCGGUUCAUUAUGGUGCAAACAGUAGUCCCCCAAGUUCGCGGUCGAGAAGUAACUUCUGGGUUGGGAACUUGUGAGUUUUUAUAAUUGUAACUGAGCAUUCCAGCUUCGUUGGGAGUCGUAGGGCACUCCUUAGUCCCCCAAGUUGGCAAGCUAGGAGUUGCGUCAACACAUGGUAGCUGGGUACCGGGGUACUUGGGCAUGUUGCAGAUAAGAUGGGAGCUGGGUCAGUAGGGGAGCCAGACCUUCGAAGGAGCCAGGUCUUGUGGAAAAAUUCGGAGACUCCAAUUCUUCCAUGGCUCUCGCCGUUCGGCAAGGGUCUAGCUCCCUUCUUUUUUUUUUUUUUUUUUUUUUUUUUUUUUUUUGUGAAUGGCCAGGCCAUUUGGAAAUUUUGGACUCUCCAUAGUUCUUCCAUGGCCCUUGCCGUUCGGCAAGGGUCUAGCCAAUUUUUUUUUGUUUUUUUGUUUUUUUUUUUUGAGCUUCGGGAGCUAGGCCUUCGAGGGAGCCGGAUCUUGAAAAUUUUGGAGACUCUCAAAAUUUUGCCAUGGCCCUUGCCGUUCGGCAAGGGUUUAGCCAUAUACAUAUAUUUUUUGUUUUGAAUGGCCAGGCCUUCUUGAGUUGGGGCUUGGGCAUGUGGAAAGAGUUGGGCCCGUGAUGGGCUUCAGCAAGUAACAAGGCCUAGGGUUUUGGGAGGAGGAGGUAUACAAAUAAGAGGGUGGCCACCAUGCCGUUCGGCAUUUCCUCAUUCGGCACCUUGGAGUAGAACAAAUUCCUGGAAUCCCCUUGCCGUUCGGCAAGUUCUUGGAGUCACGGUUUUGUGCUUGUAUUGAUUUUGGCUUCGGGUCAAGGGAACAAUGCUUCGGCAAGCGGCACAAACUUGGAAGGGUUGGUGACGGCUGGCCAAACUUGGAAGGGGCUGGACAGCCUGUGGCGCAAAGAAACUGCUGGGGUGAAAUUGCCGUUUGGUUGGAAACGGCUGGGCUGUUUUGGCUAGGCGUCGGGGUGGUGCUUCGGCAGCAAGACUCGGCAGGCUAGUUGGGUUGUGCUGUGCCGAUCGGCAGGGUUGGUCCGAGGAGGUGUUGCUGUGCUGCGAGCACAUCGGUAGUGGCUGGACACUUGCCGUUCGGCAAGGGUGAUUGGGGAGCAGGGCUCGGUGUGAGCGAAGUCAGCGGGAAGAGAUUGGCUUCGGCAAUUGAGCUUGCCGUUCGGCAGGAGCCUUGGGGAUGGCUGGAGUUGUGCUUCGGCAGUUGUGAGCACGGCUGCGGCAGUUGUGAGCACGGUUUUGGCACGGGUUGGCUUCGGCAGCAGCACGAUUGUGAUUUUUCUUCGGCAAGCCAAGGCAUCAGCACCGAGUUGGAUUUUGUUUUUGGCAAGGCAAGGUAGCAGCACCAAUUUGGAUUUUGAAGACCCUUGCCGUUCCGCAAGGGUGAUUUGGCCUAGCUGGACGAGUUGGCGCGGUAGCUGGAGCAUGGGGGAGCAAGGGUGAGUGGUGCUUCAUUUUUGUUUGCUCAGCCCUUGCCGUUCGGCAAGGUUGAGGUUUGGUGUAAUUGGAGCCGAGAUCUUGUGUUGUUCGAGGUGCUGGACCUUCGACGCAUCCGGGUGGAGUUAGACUGUCCAUACUCGGCAGGUGAGUUAUCCGUAUGUUUCUGUUCGGGCCUUGUCGUUCGGCAAGCCCAGCUGAAUUAUGUUGUGAAAUUGGUUUGGGUGUCUUGAUAAAAUUUGGGUCUUGGCCUUGUAGUAGGAUUGGGCUUACGAAAUAGGCUAGGACACGUGAAAAUAUGGGGACUCCAUUUUGUUUUUGCACGGGCCUUGCCGUUCGGCAAGGCCCCUAAAUUUCCCUCAAUUUUUGUUUUUGGUUUGUGUAUUUUGAAAAUUGAAUUUCAAAUUGUGUGUAGGUACAAGGGAUUUGGGAGGGAAUAUGAAAGGGUGCUAGGGUUUGUUCGUGAAACGAGGCGUGGGUACCCUUAGUUGGCUACAAAUAGGAACUUGGAGUGGUGAAGGCACCACACUUGAGUUGAGUUGAGAAAAAUUGUGAGAAUUUGAAGGAGAGGAGAGGCGAUUUCCGGCGAUUAGUUUGUGGUGGUGCUUGUGGCUGAGGUGAUUUCCGGCGAGUCGUUCGUGGUGGUGCGAUUAGACCUCAUUUCGCUUGACUUUUUGAAUUGAAAUGUAUUGUUUUGCAUGAACAUGUUGAAGGCUAGGAAGAACACAUUGAACAUGAGCAUGAACAUGAUGAACACGUUGAACAUAUGUAUGAACAUGUAGAAUUCUUGCCUGGAUACCAAAGAACAUGUAGAUUUGCCAAAUUUUUGUUGUUGUGGUUCGAUCCUCCUUGCAUGUGCAUUAGUUCCUUUUUCAUGUUUUUUUUUGCAAAUUGUAGAUGUCUGAAAGUUCUGAUAGAGAAAGUCCUGAGCCCCCUGCCUUUGGCGGGGAUGACACUGAGAGUGAAGAGCCCAGCCAAUAUAUUUGUUCUGAAGAGGAGAGUUCAGAGACAGAGGGUAUGGUAGAAGGAACCAUAGAAAGUAGGAUGAUAGGGCCUGGGGGUGAGAGGGCUGAGCCAUCGGGAGACUCUGGGUCGGCUGCAUAUAGGGAGAUGCAGAGAAAUUAUAUAGAGUUAGAGGCUAUAGCAAAUCGGGUUCUAGCCUUGCCUCAAACGCAAGAAGUGGGUUCGAGCAACCAGGCAUCACCAUCAAGGUCUGUGGGUAUAGCCGUGGCUUCGGUAUCAGAGGGAUUAGACAUCCGGGUUGGUGUCCCGUUGUCGCGGCGGAAUACACUUACAGAAGCGAAAUUGGCCCAGCUACGAACAGAUUUUUGUGUGCCAGCCUAUGUGGGCUUGAGGUUACCCACUGAGGCCGAUAUAGUCAGAUAUCCUUCGGAUGGCUCCGUGAUGAUUUUUACGGAUAUGUAUCGGCACGGCUUCAGACUACCGUUUCAUCCGUGGGUUCAGAUGAUGUUGGCCAAGUUGGGGUAUGCACCGGGGCAGUAUAAUCCCAACUUUUGGAUUCUUCUUCAUGGGGUGUAUAUUGCCUGGUGGUUGGCUGGGUUAGGGGAGCCAACGUUUGAGCAAUUCAUGUACCUGUACUCCAUUUCGAAGCAGCAGGGGAAUUUUGGCUGGGUACAGGCCAAUUGCCGAAAGGCGAAGGAGAGGGGUUAUUUUAUUGGACACAAGCCCACAACGCAAAAGUCCUGGAGGAACAGGUGGUGCAUGGCCUACGGGGACUGGGAGAGUCCUCCAGGGAAGAGCGUUGUCCAGCACAUUCCUACCCACUUCCAGUCUAUAGGUCCUUAGCCCCAUCCCUUAAGAUUGUCUAAUGCUUGAUUGUGUUGUCUUGGCUCCUAUUUUUGGUUCUGUAUUUUGUCUGUGCCAGUAUAAAUGGCUAAGUAGUAUCUGACCUUUGGUGCAGGUUCAGUGAAGUGGGGGCCUAUCUCCAAGGAGCAGGAAGACGAGGUUGAGUGGGUGAGGGCGCAGUUGUCGGAGACUGAGCGUGAGUGCGGGAACCUAGUCACGCAGAAGAAUUUGUUUGAGUCCGGACUCCUUCAAGGAAGUAAGUACCUGGGUCACAUUUAUGAGUUGUGUGCUGGGCCUUUUGUGGUUGUGACUAAUGUAGUUGUUUUGUUUGUUUGGACAGUGGCUGGCAUCAUAAGGGGGAGCACGAAGGUGGCCGUAGACAUUGAUGAGGCCGAGAUGCAGAAGCGGCUGAGGGAGUCUCGGGCCAAGAAAGCUGAGAAGAGUGCUGGAAAACGACCCAGGGAUGAUGACGAGGGUCGGGUCGCGGACGUGCUGGGGAAAAGGAAAGCCUUGGAGGAGGCUCAUCAGCAUGUGAUGGGGUCAGGGCCGAGACUUCCGCCCUUUGAUCUGCAGGCACCGCCGAAGCUACCCUUCGGCAUGGAGGACGUGUUCGCUGAAGGGGUAGAGAAGGUAGACUUCGGCAGGCUACGCCAGCAGAAGAAGGAGGUCAACCUGGCGAUGCACCGGCAGGAGGUGCCUUUAGUGAACGUUUUCCUGGAAGGCGUGAAGAGCGACCCUGAGGCUCUAGCGAGGACUCCAGCUUCUUCCUUCAUUGACCGGGCCCAAAAGACGAUCCUCACCUCUGCCUAUGUAAGUGUUUAGGUCCUUUUUGAAUGUAUUUGUGUUGGAGUAUUUAUGUGUGGAUUGACUAACAUGGUGUUUGUUUUGCAGGCCUUUGGCGAGAUGUACGUCAGCAUGGCCAAGGCUGACAAGGAGAUCCAGAGGCUGAAGAGGCGGGAUGAGCUAGCCAAGAGCAAAAUGGCGGAGGCGCAGGAGGCCAUCCGAGAGAAGAACGCCUUGCUGGUUCAAAAGGCGGCCCUGGCCAAGGAGGUGGAGGAGCUGAAGAGAUCGAGGGCCGAGGAGGUGGCUGCUGCCCGAGUCGAGGCGAUUGAGUCCUUCCGAUCCUCAGAGGAGCUGAAGAGCUACAUCAUGGACCGACUGGUUGAUGAGCAGCUUCGCUGGGAAGAUAGGUUGGUUAGGUUCAACCCCUCGGUGGAGAUUAACUUUGACACCAGUGGCGAGCCUCCUGCACAUACCCCUCCUGCUGAUGCUAGCGCCCCGACACCAAAGGCUGAGCCGGCCAGUGAGAAUGCCCCGUCGACCGAGUCUUGAAGGCGUUGCCUUCGUUAUAUUUUACAGUGAUUUUGUACUUUAGUGAUUGUGUUGGAACACUGCUUAUUUUGUUUAUGUAUGAACACUUGUCCUUGCCUGGAGCAAGGGUGUUUUUAUUUAUGAUAUGAGACUUGGUUUGAUAUCAAUUGUGUUAGUAAAAAUGAUAACAAUGUGAGUGUAUGAGAAUGAGCCGGAGUCAGGCAUUUCAUUGAAAUAGAUGCCGAAAGGCAGAAGGUACAAGUGGUCUAGGGUCUAGAUACCUUACUUCUACCUUACAGUAAAUAAUCAAGACCAAAGUAUUAUCCUAGGGUCUAGAUAUGUUUACUUGUAAUAAUACUUGAGGUGGUCAGCAUUCCACGGGUGAGGCAGCGUCUUGCCUGUGGAAUCACGAAGCUGAUAAGUGCCGGGGCGGCAGAUUUUGAUAAUCUCAUAAGGACCUUCCCAUGUAGGGCCGAGGGUACCUUCGCUGGGAUUUUUGGUAGCCAAGGAAACUUUGCGCAUGACCCAGUCCCCCAUUUUGAAAGCACGGGGCUUGACUCGGGAGUCGUAAUAUUUGGCGAUCCGUUGUUUGUACGCGACAUUACGCAUGUUCGAUUGGUCCCGGAGCUCGUCAAUGAAGUCGAGGUUGAGGGCCAACUGCUCGUCAUUGGCCGUGGCAUCGUAAGUGGAGGUUCGGUAUGUGGGCUGGCCAAUCUCUACCGGAGCCACGGCCUCGGUUCCAAAUGAUAGGGAGAACGGCGUUUCACCCGUGGAUGUGCGGAAAGUGGUGCGGUAGGACCAGAGUACUUCUGGGAGUAGUUCUGGCCAGCAGCCCUUGGCUUUGUCAAGUUUUGUCUUGAGGGUCUUCUUGAUAAUUUUGUUCACGGCUUCGACCUGGCCAUUGGACUGAGGAUGGGCUGGGGAGGCGAAACACAGACGAAUCUUGAGGUUGGAACAAAAUUGUUUGAAUUUGGCGUUGUCAAAUUGCCGGCCAUUGUCGGUGACGAUGGAGUUAGGGAUGCCGAAGCGACAUACAAUGUUUUGCCACACAAAGGAUUCGAUGCGAGCCGCAGUGAUGGUGGCCAAGGCCUCGGCCUCAGCCCACUUGGUGAAGUAGUCUACGGCCACGACUGCAUACUUGACUUGGCCCUUGCCCUCUGGCAUAGGUCCAAUGAGAUCCAGUCCCCAUUGGGCAAAUGGCCAAGGGCUGACGAUGGCAGUCAACGGUUCAGCCGGGAGUUGUGGAAUGUUGGCAAAUCGCUGACACUUGUCGCAUUUCUGGGUGAAUUCCUGGGCGUCAGUGUGGAGCGAUGGCCAGAAGUAUCCUUGGCGGAUUGCCUUAUGGGCCAGCGAGCAUGCGCCCGAGUGGUUACCGCAUAUGCCUUCAUGGAUUUCUCGGAGGACAUAGUGACCCUCCUCUGGAGUCAGGCAUCGGAGGUAAGGAAGGCUGAAACCCCGCUUGUAUAAGGAGCCGUUAAUGAUCAGGAAACGGGCAGAGCGAUGGCGAACGCGUCAUGCUUCUGCCGGAUUAGCCGGUAGUGUUUGGUUCUGUAAGAACUGGAGGAUGGGGUCCAUCCAUGUAAGGCUGUGAUCAAUAGUGCAGAUGAGUGGGGCUUGUGUGCUGGGCUGGGCCAAAAACUCGAUGUGGAUGUGGCGACCCAUUCCUUGUUCCAAGGCUGAUGCCAACCUGGCUAGUGCAUCGGCAUGGCUAUUCUCGGAGCGCGGCACUUGCCUGAUAGAGUGGGCGUGGAAGGUCGCCAGCAAGUGCCGAGCGCGCUAGAGGUAGGCCGUCAUAGAGGCAUCCUUAGCCGUGAAGUCCUGGUUGACCUGGUGGACCACGAGUUGUGAAUCGCUGAAUAUCUGAAUUUGCCUGGCGUCCAUCUCUUUGGCUAAUCGAAGACCAGCUAAGAGUGCUUCAUAUUCGGCCUCAUUGUUGGAGGCUUGGAAUUUGAAGCGAAGGGCGUACUCGAGGGCAACCUUGUCUGGGGAGAUGAGAACAAGGCCGGCCCCACAGCCCUGGGCAUUAGAAGAGCCGUCUACGAAUAAGGUCCACAGGGGCUAGGUUAGGUCGAGAUUGCCUUCGGUGGGGGUUUGGUCCUGGCUGGGAGGGGGAUUGGGUUCGGUUAUGGGCUGGAUGGCUGCCGAAGCUUGAGGCUCCGUGAAUUCGGAUAAGAAGUCAGCAACGGCCUGUCCCCUCAUAGCCGGGCGGGGUUUGUAAUGAAGAUCAAACUCGCCCAGUUCAAUGGCCCAUUUGACCAGCCUCCCAGAAGUUUCUGGGUUCUGCAACACCUGUCGGAGUGGUUGGUUGGUUAAGACAUGGAUGGUGUGAGCUUGAAAAUAUGGUCGGAGGCGUCUUGCUGAGACGACCAGGGCAAACGCCAAUUUUUUGAUGUCCGGGUACCGAACUUCGGCAUCUUGCAAUGCUUUACUAACAUAAUGCACUGGGUGUUCCGCGUUGUCUUUUGAUCGGAUGAGCACAGAGCUAACAGCCGAAGCUGAGAUGGAGAGAUAAAUCACGAGGAUGUCUCCGUGCUCAGGGGUUGACAAUAAAGGGGCCCGGCCCAUAUACUCCUUGAGCUCGCUGAAAGCCGUGUCGCAUUCAGCAGUCCAGGUGAUGUUUCUUUUGGUGCCUUUAAGGGCCUUGAAGAAUGGGGCGCAGCGGUCAGUGGCUUUGGAGAUAAAUCUGGUCAGGGCUGCGACACGCCCUGUAAGGCUUUGGAUAUCUUUGACCGUCUUAGGUACCGUCAUGUCUAAGAUGGCCUGGAUCUUUUCUGGAUUGGCCUCAAUACCUCUCUGGCUGAUCAUGAAGCCCAGAAAUUUGCCGGAAGCCACCCCGAAUGCACAUUUGGUGGGGUUAAGCCUCAUUUUGUACUGCUUCAGGAUGGUGAACAUGGCGGAGAGGUUAGGGAUGUGUUGGUCAGCCGUGCGACUCUUGACUAGCAUGUCAUCGACAUAGACCUCCAUGGUAUUGCCAAUCAAGGGGGCGAAGAGGUGGUUCACCAGACGCUGAUAAGUAGCCCCGGCGUUUUUGAGGCCAAAGGGCAUCACCUUAUAGCAGUAGAGGCCGCGGUCCGUAAUGAAAGAGGUGUGGGCCUGAUCUUCGGGGUGCAUGAAGAUCUGGUUGUAACCUGAAUAAGCAUCCAUGAAGCUAAGGAGGGCGUGGCCGGCUGUGGCGUCGACUAGCUGGUCAAUGCGGGGUAGCGGGAAGCUAUCCUUUGGGCAAGCCCGAUUAAGGUUGGUGUAGUCGACACACAUGCGCCAGCCCUUUCUUGGCUUGCGGACCAUCACGACGUUAGCCAGCCAUGUAGGAUAAUCAACCUCCCUGAUGAAUCCGAUGUUGCUCAAUCGAUCAACCUCCGCCCUUAUGGCCUCAUAGCGCUCGGGAUCAUAAGCGCGGCGCUUCUGUCGGACUGGUCUGACGGCAGGAUUGACGCUAAGCCUAUGGGAUAUGAUGUCUGGUGAUAUGCCAGGCAUGUCAUUGUAGGACCAUGCGAAGACUUCGGAGUUGAGGCGGAGGAAGGCGACCAGGUCAGAGCGAAGUUCUGGCGAGAUGGAGGUGCCGAUCCGGACUUGUCGAUCCGGGAUAUCGUCAUGGAGGGUAACCAGCUCCAGGUCCUCCAUGGGUUAAGCCUGUGGUGCGAUGGACUCCUCCCUUGGGUCUUCAGGUGGUUCUGUGCCAGCUUGAGGAGGGGCGGGAGCCAUGGUUACCGAAAGGGCCUCGCUCCUAGGUUGGCGAUUGGUGGAUUUUACUGCUGAAGCAUAGCAGCUUCGGGCCCCGAGUUGGUCGCCGCGCACCGUGCCUGGGCCAUUAGGAGUGGGAAACUUCAACAGCAGCAUAUGCGUGGAAAUAAAAGCUCUCAUUUGGGCCAGGGCUGGGCGGCCGAGGAUGACGUUGUAGGCUGUGGGGCAAUCGACGAUAAGGAAGGGGGUAGUGAUCGUCGUCCGCUGGGGUGCGGCCCCAAUUGAGAUAGGGAGAUGAAUGCUGCCAAUGGGCUGGACCACAUCACCCGAGAAGCUCACAAGGGGUGUGAUGCUUCGGUCGAGUAGGUGAGGCGGGACCUGGAGUUCAUUGAAGGCUUCGGCAAACAUCACACUGACCGAGCUGCCAGUGUCCACCAGGAUACGCCCAACGUCGAAGUUAGAAAUGUCAGCCCGGAUAAUGAGUGGAUCGUCAUGGGGGAGGAUAACACCACGCUCCUCCUCCUCGCAGAAGGUAAUGGGGGCCCAGCCAGUCCUGUGGGUCUUUGGCAAGCGUCCCUGCUCGGUGCUGAAGACCUGGUGCGCAUAGGUGGAGCGGACAUAAUGUUUGAUGGAGUUGUUGGAGGUGCCAGCCAGGGUAGGACCUCCGCUGAUGGUGGAGAUCAUGUUGAUUUGUCGUUGGUGAGGGUUAGGCGGGGCUGGUAUGUUGCGUACAUAGUUGUCCAGCUUUCCCUCGCGGAUGAGCCCUUCAAUUAUGUUGCGCAAGGCAACACAAGAUUCGGUGUCAUGGCCGCUGAAUUGAUGAAAGCGGUAGAAGACACCCGUGUUUGGCAGGGGCUUGCUAGAUGGUCUCCGGGGGGGUGGCUUGGGGAUGAUAGGAGCUUCACGCACCAGGACAUUCUCGUAGGUGGUGUUGAGGGUGGUAAAUACUUCGAACCUGGGCCUGGGUGUGAAUGGAAGUGGGGCCCGAUCAGCAGGUCUAGGAGGGUUGCCUCCACUAGAGUAGUGGUGGUUGCCAUGUCUGCCACGUUUGUUAUUACCGAAGGGAUGCUGGUAGCUAUCCUUCCGCUUAUGUUGUUGGUUGUCCUGGGCACUCGGGGCAGGGGUAGAAUGCUGAGGUGGGGCUGGGGCGGGUGCUGAAGCAGGUGGAGGAUCAGCGAAAGCGUUGCGCAUCAGGUUAGCUGGGCCACGCUUGGAAUUGAAGUAUUCGGCCUUAGCAUGGACCGCUGCCUGCUUCAUCAGCUCUGCAUAUGUGUUCCAACUGUUGCUAUGAACAAGGUAGCGGAAGUUGGACUCGCGGAGGCCGCUCUUAAAAGCGCCGAACGCAGCGCGAUCGUCAGUGUCUGGGCAGCGGGAGUACUCAUGACUGAACCGAGCUGCAUAUUCCCGAAGGGGUUUGUCCUCAGCCUGCCUAAGCAUAUACAAGUCGUCGGCAGAGUAUAGGCGAUCAGUUUGGAUCAUAAAAUGGUCCAGGAACGUCUGCUUGAGACUAUCGAAGGAGUUGAUGUGCGGGGGUGGAGCCUGUAGAACCAAUUCAGGGCCGCGCCGCUGAGGUGGAAGGGAAAAGGAGGCACAUGCCUUCAUCAGUGAGGCCUUUGCACCCAAGGGCAGACUGGAAGGAGUGGAUGUGGGUGAGAGGGUCCUCCGUGCCAGUGUAGAAAGCGAUGCGGAGUGGCUAGAUAUCUUUCUCCUGGUGGUAGUGGAGGAUGCGUUCGGUAAAGGGCCCUGGUCGUGGUUUUGCCCAGAGGGGUUGAUGGCUGCGUUGUUGUUCGCUUUCCAGGCGCCGGACCUUUUCAAAGAGAAGCCUCAUGGCCGGGUCGGCAUGAGGAAGAGUUUCAGGUGCCAAAGGCCUGGGGGCGGGGCAGACAGGGACUGGGGAUUGUUCCCAAUUUUUCAGCUCCCCGGUGUGGUAAUUUGGCCAGGUCUCUGAAUUAUAAAAUUCCCAAGUAUCCGAGUCCCCGACACCUUCCUCGUCGGGUAUGCGGACGGGGGCUGGCGAAGGGCCCAGGUGUGUCACCCGUGGGUCUUCGAGGUUGACAGGGAUAGGGAUCGGCCUUGGCUGACGGUCCGAGAGGCGAUCCCUGCAAUCUUGGUAGAUCCUGUAAAUACGUAUGGAAUUUCCCCCUAAUUUCGGGAUUUUUCCUACAUUUGAAACUAUUUUUGCAACAAAAAAAAAAAAGUUGAAUAAAGUAAUCCGGAAAUCUCUUUUCACUAACAUAAUGAUUUAAAUAUCGAAUUUAAAAGGAGAAAUAAGUGUAGGGUUUUUCCCAUAUUGAUUAUAACCCAAUAGGAAAUUUCCCCUUUAUUUUCUGAUUUGUCCUGCAUUUUUAUGAUUUUUGCAACAAAAAAAAAAGAAUAAAGUAAUCCGGAAAUCCCUUUUCACUAACAUAAUGAUUUAAAUAUAAAAAUUAACCAAAAACUCCUUGCGAAGUAACCAAAAACUCCUGACGAAGUAUUCUUCCCCACAGAUAAUUAGGAAUUCCCCCCUUUUUCAUAUUUUUCCUGCAUUUUUUACGAAUUUUGCAAACAAAACAAUUAAAAUAAUCAAGAAAUGCCAAGUGGCAGUACUAGAGUGGGGAGCUGCAAACCUCAACGACACGCGGCGCAUUCCCAUGCCACCACACGCCACUUUUUCAAUUUUUUAUUCAUUUUCACUUAAAUAUUCAUUUAAAAAUCGAAUUUAAGGGGGAAAAAUUCCUCCGGGAUCGUGACGAGAUUUCCUUCGAUGACAUAUCCGGAAAAAGGCCGCAGCAUACAAAUUUGGAUAUAGGAUUAGUGUGAUCGAACAAAUAAGAGUGUAAGGUUUACUAGUGUUUUCAUUUGCAUCAUCCACGUCUAGAGUUCGCUCCCUAAUUUUAUUUUUCAGUGACUCCUAAACUCAGUAUUGUAUUUUCCGUAUAAAGUAUUCUUCCCCUUAUAUACUUAGGAAUUUCCUCCAUUUUUUUUUUCAGAUUUUUCAUGCAUUUUUUUUCGAAUUUUGCAACAAAAACAAAAAACGAAUAAAAUAAUCAGGAAAUGCUAAGUGGCGGCGCUGGAGUGGGGAGCUGCAAACCUCAGUGACACGCGGCGCAUUUUCAUGCCACCACACGCCACUUUUCUAAUUUUUUAAAUUCAUUUUCAUAUGCAUCGGCUCCCAAUACUUUGGUUCUUAAGUACUUUUAACAACUGAUAUCUGUGGCUAAAAGUCAAUUUUCACAUAGUGGCUAAGUGACUCAUCGCUUCAUAAUGGUAGAUUUGAAAGCUUGAGGGCCAACGGAAAGAAUUGGAAGAGAGUGGGCUGUUGCCCUCCACGUUUCAUAUUCCUUUUUUAUUUUUCUUUUUUUUUUUUAAUAUUAUAAGGACAAAAAUGUAAAAUUCUUAUAUGUUUUUGAAUAAUUUCAUUUAGAGGGGUGUAUUCAAUUAGGAUUGUAUACGAUUUUGAAAGUUUUUUUUUUAAGUGACAGAUUUUCUGGAAUUAUAUAACUCCUAUAGGUUUUACUAUAGACUUCCAUACUUUUGUAUGAACUUUUGUUAUAGAUUCAGAUAUAUUUGUAUAGACUUCCCAAUACUAUUUUCUUUUAUCGCUCUUUCUUCCCAACACUAUUUGCUUUAAACUAUCUUGACCUAGCCACUAGUCGACCAUCCCUUUUUUUUUUUCCCCCUCCAAAUUCUUCCUCUACUUGUGUGCACAACAAUGAAUUUUCCUUUGAAUUCUCCAUGAGUUGGAAACUUUCAUACCUAAACAAUGAAUUUCCCUUUGAAUUUUCCAUGAGUUGGAAACUUUCAUACCUAAACAAUGAAUUUCCCAUGAGUUGGAAACUUUCAUACCUAAACAAUGAAUUUCCCAUGAGUUGGAAACUUUCACACCUAAACAAUGAAUUUUCCUUUGAAAUUUCCACGAGUUGGAAAUUUCCAUUUGAUUUUGUUCACGAACAACAAACUCUUCGUCCAAAAAUUCAAUUUAAAAAAAAAAAAACCCUUUGUCCAAAAAGCAAGGGCCCUAUCAUCUGGUUGUGUUAUCGGUGAUGGAAAUAUAUCUCAACCUUUCGCCACCUUGAUGUUGGCUUCACACCGAGAGAUCUCCAAGGGAAACUUAUUGGAGAUCGAGAAAUCUCUAGCCGAGCUUUCCUCCCAGCAACUCCAACUGGUUGAUUUGAAGAAAUCACUAAUAGAGGAGCUUUGCUUAAUACAUGACGCUUGUAACCACCCAAGGUUAGUGCAUGGCUUAGUGCAUUGUUUGCCAAACGAUGGAAAAAAAUUUAACACAGAGAGGAAGAAAAAAAAAAACGUCAUAUGAAGUCUUUGGGGUGGAGGUUGGACUUAUGUUGGCCUUUAUUAUUUAUACCUAAACCCUACAAAUUCUCCAAACUCCAACACUUAAUUAAAUCCUUCCAAAUCUAUCUUCUUGGUAAAUUUAUUUGGACUUUUUCCAAGUCCUAAUUGAAUACACCCACAUUUAGAUGGAUAUUUUAAAAGUUCAAAUAAGUCUAAAUUGAAUACACCUAAACCGUUAUAGACUUUUUAAAAGUUUGUAUAAAUCCAAAUUGAAUACACCCGGAUUUUUAAAAUCUUUUUAAACGCUCUAGAAUCCUUAUUGAAUACAACCCCCUUAGUUUUUUGGCAUUGACAAUUUAUGAGUUUGCAGCACAUAAUAUACGAUUAUUUUGAUGAAAAUUAUGUACCUAAAGUUGGGAAAAUAAAAGCCAGUCCCUUAAAAAAAAAAAAAAAUUAAUUAAAAAAAAACCUUGACUAUUUGGUAUGCUCUACUCACAUGCAGGUCGCAUAACUGUUCGGUACACCAAAGUGAACGUUCCAAAUUGUAAUAUAUUUUGGAAGCGUGUAUAUCAAAAGUUUCUGGAAAAUGAUUCAAGCAUUAGUGGACCAGAGCAAUGAACAUAUCAAGCCAAUGCUUUUCGGUUCAAGACUAUCAACCAACAGUGUUCUCUUUGGAAGGCAUGCUUGACUAAGGCCAAUACGAACCCACAAAGUGGCUCAACAAAAUUUGAAUAAAAUAAUCAGGAAAUGCCAAGUGGCGGCGCUGGAGUGGGGAGCUGCAAACCUUAGUGACACGCGGCGCAUGCCAAUGCUGCCACACACCACUUUUCUAAUUUUUUAUUCAUUUUCAUACGCAUCCGUUGCUAAAAGUCAAUUUUCACAUAGUGACUAAGUGACUCAUCACUUCAUAAUGGUAGAUUUGAAAGCUUAAGGCCAAGGGGAAAGAAUAGGAGGAGAGUGGGCCGCUGCCCUCCACGUUUCAUAUUCCUUUUUUUUUCUUUUUUUUAAUAUUAUAAGGACAAAAAUGUAAAAUCCUUAUAUGUUUUUGAAGAAUUUCAUUUGAUUUUUUGGCAUUGAAAAUUUAUGAGUUUGCAGCACAUAAUAUACGAUUAUUUUGAUGAAAAUAAUGUACCUAAAAUUGGGAAAAUAAAAGCUCGUCCCUUGAAAAAAAAAAACUUCUGUUUGUUUGGUAUGCUUUACUCCAGACGCAGGUCGCCUGACUGUUCGGUACACCUAAGUGAACGUUCCAAAUUGCAAUAUAUGUUCUUGCUCACCACUAGUACGUAGCAUGCAGUCGGCAAACCUUUUAAACCUUAAACUAUAGCCCGAUCCAAAUUAACAAAAUAAACGCCAAAUCGGAGAUGGGAUUUGAGCGUGAGCAUAUUGUGCUGCUUCCCAUGAUAGCUAAGGGUCAUCUCAUACCAUUCUUGGCACUAGCAAAGCAAAUGCAACAAAAAACAGGGUUUACCAUCACCAUUGCCACAACCCCACUCAACAUUCAAUACCUGCAAGCUACCAUUUCCUCAACUUCGUCAUCAUCAAACACUCAAUCACACUCCAACAAUUUUGACAUCAACUUGGCUGAGCUUCCAUUCUGCAGCUCAGACUUUGGCUUACCCCCAGACACUGAGAACACAGAGAAUUUGUCUAUGAAACAUAUUGGAGAUCUUUGUGCUGCAACAGUGAAUCUUGAAGGUCCUGCUCGCCGCCUGAUCUUGGAUAUCAUUGAAAAAGAAGGCCGGCCGCCACUUUGUAUUAUCUCUGAUAUUUUCUUUGGAUGGGCUACUCAUCUUGCAAAGAGCUUAGGCACUGAGAAUGUGACUUUCACAACAUGCGGUGCUUAUGGCAGUGCAGCCUUCAUGUCCAUUUGGCUUAACCUCCCACACCGUUCCACAGCUUUAUGCGACGGCUACUUCACGCUACCCGGGUUUCCAGAUCAGUCUCGUUUUCAUAUCUCUCAGCUGGACCACUAUUUAAGAGCAGCAAAAGGUACAGAUUUUUGGCCAAAAUUUUACCAGUCCCAGCUUUCGCUUUCUACCAAAUCUUUUGGUUGGUUGUGUAACACAGCUGAGGAAAUUGAGCCACUUGGAUUGGAGAUUUUGAGGCAUUACUUUAGGCUUCCUGUUUGGUCCAUUGGACCUCUUAUUCCCAAAGAUGCUCUCAAGAACUCAUCCACUUCGGAUUUAAGAGUUUCAAGGCAACCUGCUGAAAAAUGCAUGGAAUGGCUGGACUCACAUGGUUCAGAUUCUGUUGUUUAUAUUUCCUUUGGUUCUCAGAACACAAUCAGUGAAACACAGAUGAUGGAAUUGGCUAUUGGGUUAGAAAAAAGUGGAAGGGCUUUUAUUUGGGUCAUUAGGCCUCCAGUUGGGUAUGAUAUAUGAAGGGAGAAUUCAGAGCUGAAUGGUUGCCUCCAGGGUUCGAAGAUCGAAUGUGUAAAAGCAAGCAAGGCUUGUUGGUGCACAACUGGGCACCACAGUUGGAGAUUUUGUCACACAAAUCCACGGGGGCAUUUGUAAGUCAUUGUGGGUGGAAUUCAGUGCUGGAGAGCCUAAACCAAGGAGUUCCGAUUAUAGGGUGGCCUUUGGCAGCCGAGCAGGCGUUUAACUCAAAGAUGCUGGUGGAGGAGAUGGGUGUGAGUGUGGAGCUGACAAGGGGAGUGCAGAGUGUUAUUGUUGGCAAGGAGGUGAAGAGAUUGAUAGAUUUGGUAAUGGACAAAGGUGGCGAAGGAGGAGAAAUGAGGAAAAAAGCUGGUGCAAUUAAGGCGCAGAUAAGAGCAGCAAUAAGAGAGGAGGCUGAAUUCAAGGGAUCUUCUGCAAAGGCAAUGGAUGAUUUUCUUGAAACCAUCCUAUCAGCAAGACAAGAACAUAAAUCUAUUAUUGGUUAGAUAUCUUUACUAAAUUUUUCUGAUCCAUUUAUCUUUUCCCUUACUUCAAGCCUCUUGUUCAACUAAUUGCGUUGUAUUACCUUGUUAUAAGGUUGAAGAUGAACAACCCAUCAAUUUUCAUAUGCAGCCCAUGUGGAAGGUAAAGAAAGCGGGUCUGCCACAUUAGGACCACUCUCUGGGGCCAAAGCUACAUUGGGACUAGUGUGGUCUCAAGUUUUUUUAUAUUUUAAAAGUAAUAUAUUGUUAUGUAUUUUUAUAUGUAUAUUAUUUGAAGUACUUUGUAUUUUGAUAUGUAUUCAUAUGUGUUGUGAUGGACCUAUUAAGACACAAGGUGUCUACUUGCUUGGCUGGUGGUGUUGCACUUUAGGUGUGCAGAUUACCUUAUUUCUAUUUUCAGUAUUUAAGUAAAUGUCUUUGUCCUUUUAUUUUCAUUUACUUAAGUUUACAAUGUAAAUUAGGAAGUACCCCUUAUUGGAUUCAAAUAAAAAUACUAGAAAAUCAAAUUCUCACCAAAUCAAAAUUUGAAAAAUCAAUUUUAGUGCAAAAUACGAUUUAGGCUAAAAAUGAUGGUUCAUUAAGUCAAUAUAUAUUUCAUGCUAAAAUCUCAUAAAAUCAAGUUUUCUUAUUUGAUGUGUAAAGAAUAAAAGCCGCCAAAAAUUAUAUUGAGAAAAUGAUUAUUCCGAAAAAACCAUUUUUCAUACUUAGAUAAUAUUUUUACAUAAAAUAUUUUUUCAUGUAUGAUAUAAAUUUAUGAAGGGACCUAAGGUUUUUUUUAAUUUGUGAAAUUUUGAUUUUUUUUCUUUCUAUUGGGUUUAAUGGGGGAAAAAGCUUUAAAGAUAUUUGCUAAAUCGCUACUCUUUGUCUAUCUCUUGCAAUUUUUCUUGUUCAGAAUGUAUUUGUCUAUUCCUUUGUCGAGGACAAUUAUGAUUAUAACCAAUAAGCAACAUAAUUCUUGACAUAUGUGAAAUAUAUAUUAUUUUUCGUAUGUAUUGUGAGUUCGAAUUUUUGAUUCUUUAUAAUUUGUAAGAGACCUCUACACACAUGAAAUCAUAACUUCGCCACUGCAACUCUCCCAUCUUUCCGUAAGCUCCUGAUCCUUUUUUUUAAUAAAAAAUUUCCAACAGCUACUCCAAAAAAGUUGCUGUUUCAUUUAUUUUUAAUUCCAACAUAUACAACGGGAAAAAUUCAUAUCUAUACUAAAUCUAACUCUGGAUCAACCUAGCUAGCCUGUUUGAACUUUUGACAUAGAAGCAUUUCUGGCAGAGCUUUCCUUUUCCUUUUUUGUCCUGUUGAUUUCAGCUUAAACAUAAAACCCAAAUAUUUAAGUACAAGUCACGUUCCUGUUUUACAAUAGUAUAAUAUCUUCAGCAGAAAACGAUUUCCUGCGUUCAUUAAAACACGCACAGGACAUUUCACUAGUACUACGUUGUUGAGAGUAUUUUUUUAAUAAUUUAAUGGUAAUUAAUCACCAAUUAAGUGUGGUGAGCAAAAAUAUUCUCAUAUGACAUUAUCAACGAAUUUAUUAGCCAAUCUCGUGUAGUCUUCGCAUUGCAAAUUAAUGGUGAGUAAGAACCAACUGGAGUUGCGCUUAGCCUGAGUCUUGAUGGAGACACAACGGGAGACCUCCUAUUUCUUUGGUCUGCCACGACACCUUUUUGGUGAAUGGCAGGCAGAGAACUGAAUAAUAGGCAUAAUAUCAAAGGGCUCAGAGGUUGCUGAACCUUGGGAGACUGGGGGAGGUGCCUGAGAGAUGGGAUCAUUUAACGCUGGAACCACAUGGGCCACAGUGAUGUCUGGCUCAUUCAGUGAAACUGACGGAACACGCGGCGCAGCAGUAGAACUCUCAGACUGACAUCGAAGAUAGGCCACUGCAUCAAGCACUGUGUCAUUGUUUGGGCCAAAAUCUUGUUCAUCCAAUCCAACGCUACAGGCCUAGAAUAAUAAGGACAAAAACGCUGGGCCUAAAAAGUCUGGAUUCUGAAAAUAAACAUGAACCAAAGGUCCAAAAUCCAACAAAAGCCCAGCCCAGAACCUAUCUCAAGCUUGGGCUUCGAAGAAACUAAAUUGGGCUUGGUAUGAUCAAAGUAAAAAGUGUUAACCCAAAAGAAAAUAGACCCACGUGAUUUUUUUCUCUCCAACUUGGAAAAGUCAAACAAUUUCAACUGGGUUGAUAAAGAGUUGACAGAGGCAGGCAAAAAGAAGGGACGUCUCUGAAAUCUCUACCACCACAAGAUCAAAACCCUUUUAUACAUUCAGAGAUAUUGUUUCUUCUCCAAAGAAAAUAUCAUCUUUCAAGGGAUACGUAGGCUAAAGUUCUCAAAAAGAGAUAAGCAGGAAAACAGGGAGUUGUUCAAACUGGAAAAGCAAACUGAACAUCACGGUUUGAGCACUCACAAAGGGGCAGUUGGAAUUAAAGAGGGGCUAGGUUCUCUUCCAAAAAACAGAGAAGUGAUUGGUCUUAAAAGAACUGACUAUUGAUAGCCUAUCUGUCAGAAUUGAUAAAAACCCCUUCUUCUUUGUAUUUAAAAAUGGAAGAUCUUUUGAGAAUUUUGCCGCCCAUUAUUGAAAGAAAGAAACCUACUCCAGAACAUUUCUUUAAAUAUAAAGAGAGGGUGAACAUAGCAGAGGACACUCAUUUUCAACAAUCAAUCAAACAAUCAAAAAUCAACCAAAGGCAAGAAACUCAAAAUGAUCACUUGAUCACUGAGAACCUUCAAACAAACUGGAGCAACCAAAAGCUCAUUUGAGCCACAAAAGAAGCCAGCUAUAGAUCAGAACUUCCAAAGUUCAGACUUAGAGAAAUAAGUCAUUCAAAACGAGACUUGUCUCGUUAUAAAUUUGGUUCAGCAAAAGCCAAGACAAGCAGAGUUUGAGUUUUCACAAAUAUAAAAACCUCAACGAAUUUUAUAGUGUAGUUCCAGCUUAUUAAGUCCUCAAGUCCAACCACUUCUGCCCCUUCAAACUAAAGAAGCUGCAGUUCUGCCCGCUUAAAAGCCUCCCAAGGCUUGAAGUAGAUUAAAGCUCUGCCAAAAUUGAACUUUGGUGUCGAUUUAUAGCUAAAGUUAAGCAGUUGAAGUUGUUAACAGCUCAGUCCAGCAUAAAUAUACUCAGUCCAGCCCGGAUCAGAAGUUUCUACCCAAGCAGAAAUGGAAUUCUAGCAGUCUUUUUGUCUUUCUAGAGUUGAUUUUUCCCUUUUUAAUUCUGUAGAAGGCAGUUCUGCCUAAAACAGUCCACUUUAUUGUCAUCUAUUCUGGCUAGAACUACCAAUUUUAUACUGUGAUAAAUUAUGAAGUCCUCAACAUUCUAAGGCAGGAAAAGAACUUACUUGGGAGAUAUACCUCACCCAGAUUCACAAUCGCUUGUUUAGAAAUCAGUAACAUGGGGCGGGAGUUAUCUGUUUCAAAGAAGUCUGCUAGGAUUUCUAGCGGUGGCACGCUUGCACACCAAAGAAAGUUGGCUUGUUGACCAGUCAACGGUUUUCAAGGCAAUGGGGAACUUGGCCUUUCCAUCACAGGAAUAAAAACAAAACGGGUGAAUAGUGGCGGAGAGGUAGGACCGAGGGAGAGAUGUGUUAGCAAGAUCCUAGUGUAAUUAGGAGAUUUACUUCCUAAUAUAUUAUGAUUCUAUUUAUUUACUUUUGUAUAGAUAUUAUGUAAUUAGGACUUUAUCUUAGUUUCCUAGUAUAACCCUAAUAGGGUUUGUACUCUUGUAUUAUAAAUACCUCAUUUUGGAGAAUGAAAUAUAAUAUGAAAAUAUUCUACCCACUUUAUUUGACAUGGUAUCAGAGCAAACUUUUCUAGUGACCUGUGUGUUGUGCCCACCUGUAUUCUAGCCCUAUAUUUUUUCUCUACCUGUGCCGUGUGUGCCCCCUUUGGGUUUGUGAGUUGUGUUGUCGUGUUCAUGUCAUUCCUGUCUUCAUGCAUCUGCCGUAUUUGCGCCUUUGCUGUGUUCUGCGGUGUACUCUGCUGUGUUUAUACCUCUACUGUCUUCGUGUCUGUCUUCGUGCAUCUGCUGUAUUUGUGCCUCUAUUGUGUUCCAUUGUACACUCUGCCGUGAUCUGUUGAAUUUCUGCUGCAAUCAUGGGUGAUAACUCCUUUGUUGGUGCUGUUGGUGCUGCUUCUGGAAAUUUAUUUGGUUCAGACUCUAUUCCAGGUACUGGCUCCAAUACUUGGAUAAUUGAUACUGGUGCUUCUGAUCAUAUGACUUAUGAUGCUACAUUUUUUGAUGAGUUGUCUAGUAACACCCGUGACCCAUACAUAACUAGUGCUAAUGGCUUGCCCUUUUCAAUUACUGGCGAGGGCACAAUCUCUCUCACUCCUACUCUGUCCUUGUCCCAUGCGUUACUCGUUCCUAAUAUCCACUGUAACUUGUUUUCUGUUGGCCAAGUACUUGAUACUCUUAAUGCUUCUGCCACUUUCUAUCCUACACAUUGCUCUUUUCAGGAUCUCAAAACUUGCGAGACGAUUGGGCAUAUUAAACGGAUAUGGGGGUUAUAUUAUUUGACAUUGCCUUCUGCACCAGUUCGUGAUCGUGUUGUUCAUACUAUUCAAAGUUGCAGUGUCAAGGACAAACAACAAAUUUGGUUAUGGCAUCGUCGCUUGGGACACCCGUCGUUCGGCUACCUUGAGCAUCUGUUUCCAUCUCUAUUCAUCUUUUGUGAUGAGUCCCGUUUUAAGUGUGAGACAUGUAUUUUGGCCAAGAGCCAUCGCACUGUGUUUCCUUUUGUUCACCCGUUUUCGUUGUUUACUCCUGAGGUGGAAGGGCGAAGUUCCCCACUGGCUUGGAGACCACUUGUUGGUCGACAAGUCAGCUUUUCUUGGUGUGUGAGCGUGCCACUGCUAGCAAUGUAAAUUCUAGCAGACUUUUUUUUUAGAGUGGAUAACUUGCGCCCCAAGUUACUGACUUCUAAAACAAAUGAUUGUGAAUUUGGGUGAGGAAUAUCUCCCAAGUAAGUUCUUUUCUUGCCUCAGACUGGUGAGGACUUUCAUAAUUUAUCUCAGUAUAAAAUGGUUGUUCUGGCCAGAAUGGAUAAUAAUAAAGUGGACUGUUUUCAGGCAGAACUGCCUUUUACAAAAUUAAGAAGGGAGAAAUCAACUCUAGAAAGACAAAAAGAUGGCUGGAAUCCCAUUUCUGCCUGGGUAGAAACUUCUGAUCCGGGCUGGACUGGGUAUAUCUGUGCUGGACUGUGCUGUCAACAACUUUAGCUGCUUAGCUUCAGCUGUAAAUCGAUACCAAAGUUCAAUUUUGGCAGAGCUUUAAUCUACUUCAAGCCUUGGGAGACUUUUGAGCGGGCAGAACUGCAGCUUCUUCAGUUUGAAGGGACAGAAGUGGCUGUUCUCGAGGAUUCAGCAAGCUGGAACUGUGCUGUAAAAUUUGUUGAGGUUUUCAUAUUUGUGAAAACUCAAACUAUGUUUGUCUUGGCUUUUGUUGAACCAAAUUUGUAAAGAAAGGGAUCUCGUUUUCAGAAGACUUAUUUUCUAAGUCUGAACUUUGGAAUUCUGAUUUGAAGCUGUUUUUCUCUUGGGAUCCAAGUGAGCUUUUGGUUGUUUUCUUGUUUGUUUGUUUUUUUCAUUGAUUGAUGAAUUGAGUGUCCUUUGUUUCCUUGCCUACUUUCGUUUUUAUAAGAGACCCUCCUGGGGAGGUGAUUUUUAAUCCUAAAUAAUGGGCGGCAAAAAAGAUCUCUUAUAAUGUAAAGUAAAAAGGGUUUCUUAUCAAUCAAGGCAGAUAGGUUCUGAGCAGUCCCUUCCCUGGUUUCCUGGGUGGCAGCUUUCUAAUUCAUCCAACGCCACCGUCUAUGUGGGCUUUUUAUGGCGGUUUGGCUCUUUUUCUUUUGUAUUUUCUGAAUGGUUCCCCGUUUUUCCGUUCUGAUUUAGAAAGCGUGAUCCGUGAAUUUCUUGGGAGAUGGUGUAUUGAUUUGGAGCAAAAUCUCGAACACAGAUGGGUUUUUGAUCUUCAAUUGGCAGUGUUUCAGAGACGUCCCUCUCACAUUUUAAACUUUAGUUGGAAUUGCUGACUUUUUCAAAGUUGAGGCAAUCACGUGGGUGUGUCUUUGAUCCCUUGGGUUUGAACCUAACAAAAAUUACGGGCUGAUCUUUGAAGCCCUUUUCGGAAGUUUCCACGUCUGGGCUUUCUUUGGGCUGAGGCUUUGUUUUCAACAUUUUUGGUGUGAAGCCCAAUCUAUCUGGAUCCCAUUUUUGUUUUUCUCAAGUCUUUGGGCUGGGCAGGCAAUUUUAUCAUGGGCCCGUCUUUUGGACUUUGGCGUGCUGAAUUUGGGCCCAAACACCUUUGAGUGACAGUAAAGCUGCAAAACCUUUUGAUUUAGUACAUUCGGAUGUAUGGGGACCUGCUCGUGUGACUUCUAAUGGUUUCCGUUGGUUUGUCACUUUUAUUGAUGACUGCACUCGCCUAACAUGGGUGUAUUUGAUGAAGGAUAAACAUGAUGUUGCUUUUAUUCUUUCUGAAUUUUGUGCCAUGGUGUCUACUCAGUUUCAUGAUCGAGUCAAAGUGUUUCGGAUUGAUAACGGAGGUGAAUAUGUGAAUAAUCCCUUGACCAUUUUUUUCGUAAUCAAGGCAUUAUCCACCAAACUACUACUCCAUUUACUCAUCAACAGAAUGGUGUGUCUGAACGCUAGAAUUGUCACUUACUUGAAGUUGCUCACUCCCUUCUAUUAGACAUGUCUGUUCCCCAUCAUCUUUGGGGUCAUGGUGUUUUGGCCGCAACCUAUCUGAUUAGCCGUACCUCUAGUCGGGUUCUUGAUUUCAAGACUCCGCUCGAUGUAUUGUGUGCCCAUACUUCUCCAGUCUCUGUCUCUUAGUUGCCUUCGAAGGUGUUUGGGGUUGUUGCCCACGUUCAUGUCUACUCUCAUCAACAGAGUAAACUGGAUCCAUGUGCUCUCCGCCGUGUCUUCAUUGGUUAUUCUACUACUUAUAAGGGUUAUAAAUGUUAUCAUCAUCCUACUUAGAAGGUGCAUGUUACUUUGGAUGUGACUUUUCAUGAAGAGGUACUGUACUAUGUUACUCAUUCCUCUCCAAUUCAGGGGGAGAGGGGGAGUAAAUUGGAGAGUAUCGGAUUGCAGGAUCUUGAACUUAGAGAAGUGGGUGAGGAUGAUACAAAUGAUGAUCUCGGAAAGAAAACGACUGGUCGCCUAGUAGAUAGCAACCGGUCGCACAGGUCUGGAGCAAAAGAGGACGCACUCUGCCUAGAAACAACCAGUCGCCCAGAUGGACACAACCGGUCGCGUGACUCGAUGCCUGAUGAUAAUACACUCUGCCUGGAAAUGACCGGUCACCUAGAAGAUAGCAACCAGUCGCGUGACGCUGAUUCGGGUGUUGAAAGGCUGGAAACGACCGGUAGCCCAGAUGGGUGCGAUCGAUCACCUGGGUCAACUGAUGCUAUUCCAUGUGUUUCCUGUGAAUACGAGUUUGAUACAAUACCCCCUUUACCCUGCCAUUACCCUAGUCCAAUAGUGAUACUGAGUCAAGUGAGUUAAUUUAUGAUGAUCUGUCUGUGUCUACUUAUCAAUUACCCUCACGAACUACUCGUGGGAAACCCAAAGUACAAUAUUCUCCUGAUAUACAUGCCAAAUUGAAAUAUCCCAUUAGCCAUUAUGUCACAACUCAUCGUUUAUCUAAGUCAUAUGCAUCAUAUUUGUGUCAAUUAUCUAGUGUAUGUGUGCCAACUAAGCUGUAGGAUGCUCUAUCUAAUCCAAAAUGGACGGAUUCCAUGAAUGUGGAAAUGGAUGCCUUAAACAAGAAUAAGACAUGGAAUUUAGUUCCUUUGCCACAAGGGAAGAAAGCAGUUGGAUGCAGAUGAGUGUUUACUUUGAAGCAUAAGGCUGAUGGUUCCAUUGAUCGUUACAAGGCUUAAUUGGUAGCCAAAGGGUAUACUUAGACAUAUAGAGUGGAUUAUCUGGAGACAUUUGCUCAAGUGGCAAAGCUCAAUACUGUGCGUGUGCUUUUAUCCCUUGCUGCUAACCAUGAUUAGCCCUUAUUGCAGUUUGAUGUCAAAAAUGCAUUUCUACAUGGCAACCUUCAGGAAGAGAUUUACAUGGAUCUUCCUCUUGGUAUUCAUGUGACCUCUAAGGAGGUGUUGUAUGUAGAUUGCGGAAGCCCUUGUAUGGAUUGAAGCAAUCUCCAAGAGCGUGGUUUGGAAGAUUUGUUAUAUCUAUGUAGAAAUUUGGGUAUGUGCAAAGUAAUUUGGAUCAUGCUUUGUUUCUGAAGCGCCACAAGGGUAAAUUGACAACUUUAAUAAUUUAUGUUGAUGAUAUGAUUGUAACUGGAGAUGAUCAGACAGAAAUAUAGAGUCUCCAGAAAUAUCUGGCGUCUGAGUUUGAGAUGAAAUGAUUAGGUGACUUAAAGUAUUUUCUCGGGAUUGAAGUUGCCAGAUCUAAACAUGGUAUAUUCUUGUCUCAAAGGAAGUAUAUUUUGGAUUUACUUGCAGAAACUGGAAUGUUGGAUUGUAAACCAAUUGAUACUUCUAGUGAACAGAAUCACAAGUUGGGGUUAUAUCCUGAUCAAAUUCCUACUGAUAAGGAGCGCUAUCAACGGCUUGUGGGGAAAUUAAUUUAUUAAGCUCAUACACGUCCUGACAUUACAUAUGCAGUGAGUGUAGUGAGUCAGUUUAUGCACUCACCUAAUGAAGACCAUAUGGGAGCUGUGACGCGUAUUUUGAGAUAUCUCAGAGUUACCUGGCAAGGGGUUAAUAUUUUCCAAGUAUGGUCAUACAGAUGUGGAAGGAUACACAGAUGCUGAUUGGGCAGGUUCAGCUACUGAUAGGCGUUCUACGUCUGGGUAUUUUACGUUUGUUGGUGGUAAUCUUGUUACUUGGAGAAGCAAAAAAUAAAAAGUGGUGUCUUGAUCUAGUGCUGAGGCUGAGUAUCAUGGGAUGACCCAUGGCGUAUGUGAGUUGUUGUGGUUGAGGAGAUUAUUGAGAGAUCUUGGCUUUGGACCUAAGAAACAUAUGGAUUUAUAUUGUGACAAUAAGGCUACGAUUGCAAUUGCACAUAACCUGGUGCAACAUGACCGUACAAAGUAUGUGGAGCUUGAUCGAAAUUUCAUUAAAGAGAAGUUGGAUGUGAAGACUGUUUCCUUCCCAUUCAUCAGUUCUGAGUAUCAAUUAGCCGAUGUCCUUACAAAAGCUGUUUCUACCAGUAACUUCCUCAACUCGCUUGAUAAGUUGGGCAUGUGCGACAUCUUUGCUCCAACUUGAGGAGGAGUGUUAGCGAGAUCCUAGUGUAAUUAGGAGAUUUACUUCCUAUUAUAUUAUGAUUCUAUUUAUUUCCUUUUGUAUAGAUAUUAUGUAAUUAGGACUUUAUCUUAGUUUCCUAGUAUAACCCUAUUAGGGUUUGUACUCUUGUAUUAUAAAUACCUCCUUUUGGAGAAUGAAAUAUAAUCUAAAAAUAUUAUACCCACUUCAUUAGACAAGAUGGAGUCACCUUGGUCUGUUCACGAGAGAACGACCGCCAAGACCAAGUGCCCGAACUAAGACCAAGUGCCCAAACUACUAGGAUCGCUCGAACCAUCAUUGAUCCACAUACCUGCUUGUGGAGGAGAAUGAAGCGGACUCUUAUAUGGGGGUGAAGGAGCCGAUGUACGGCGUGCGGAGGAACCUAUAGAAUUGCCCCGCAAGUUGGUACAACCUUCUAGAUCAACCAAAGCAGAGGAAAAUUGUGCCAACAGAGAUGGAGUGAGUGAACCCUGAGAAAGCUCGUACUUAUCAACACACGCCUAAGUAGGAUGACCAAUUUUGCGAAAGGAAAACAAUAUUUAGGGAGAUAUUCAUACUUAAAAUCCACUAUUUGCUCCCCACCUCAGUAAAGGUAACAGGUGUUCGGCGGAUAAGAGGCUGGGUGACAUCAAACCUUAUACGAAUACGGAUAAAAUGCCUCACACAAUUAGUACCAUUACGAUUAUCCACCCAAAGAACUUCUCCGAGAAUAGCCCAAUUGCUUUAGCAACAACAACAGUCAUGCAGAAGGCAGGAACACCAUGGAGUUGAACUCAAAAGGUACCAAGAGUUAAGGGCAACGAGUCCAUAUUCCCAUGAUUCGGGAUAUCCGCCAGUAAUAUCAAUGAGCACCCAGGGCUCGAUAUCAAGAACCCGCUUCUUAUAGUGAGCACAAACAAAUAGAUAAAUAAAUAAAUCUUCUCCACCCUUGACUGCCCUAUGUGCUAUGAGGCUUCUGAAACUAGUACGUGCAUGGUGAGGCACGUCAACUGUGUAAUGUGUCUGGUUUGGUGGUUUAUUAAUGUAACACCCCGACUCCAAAUUAAAUGAUUAUUUUAAUCGAUUUUUUUAAAAUUACGAAUUUACCCUUGGGAUAGGGGUAAAUUGAUCACUUUCUUCUUCGGAAGGAUUUUGGGACCACGAGUGGCAUUUCUGGGUAGAUGGUACUGAGACGAAUUCAUAGACACGCGGUAGGCUUGAAUCGGGGUUGUAACGAAAAAGUUACGGGCAAAAUAGUGUCAGUGGCAAACUUGUAAAUAUUUCAAAAAGUUUGGUAAAAAUCAGAUUUUCACCUCAGCUCUCUCUCUCUUCGCGCGCGACACUCUCUCUCUCCUCAGUCUCUCUCUCUCCACGACGUUCACUCUCUCUCUCCUCGGCUUGCUCAGUUCCGGCCACGGCAGGACCCGAGAUCGGUCCCGUUCGACUCGUCUCGUCGCCCCGGUCAAGCUCUGCCCGUUUUCCCCGUCGGAAACCAGGGAUUCCGGCCGCGAGCUCGACGGUUUUAAACAGAAGCAUUCCAGCCGUCGCGCCGCCGCCUCCACCGCCCAAACCCGGUGAUUGAGGUAUGGUUUCUCUUCCAUUUUCCGAGUUCUAGCUGAUGUUGGUAUAGGUUUUGAUCGAUUUCGAGUCUAGAAAACUGAUUAGAAAUCUAGGUUUUGGGCCGAAUUUCAACAUGAAAUUCCAGCCAGUUGCCGGCCGAAUUGGAGCUUCUCGUAGUUGAAUGAAGUGAUCCUGACCUCAAGUAGAAGCUAGGGUAGGAAGGGUGAGCUCGGGUGUGGAGUUUUUUCGUCACCGGAAUUACUCUGCACACUUAUGCGCUGCCGGCGCGUGUGGCGGCGCGUGGGCGAGUCUGGUGAGGAUGUAAAUUGACCCGAUGAGAUCCUUAGGUUGUCACGAGCGCAUAGGAAUUCGCGGAUCUCGAUUCGGAUGUCGUUUGGCUAUCGAACGGAUUUUCGCAUAUUAUGCGUUAUCCGGGUUCGAUAGGUUCCGACCGUUAGAUCUUUCCCAAUUUAAAAUAUGUUGUUCUAGGUAUUCCUAGGACCGUAUGGGACUUCACGAAUUCUGAAUCGGAGCCCCGGAUGUUCCGAUUCAAAAAUGUAAAGUUUGCGGGUUAGCGAUAACCGUAAAAUCGUGAACGCUUCCUAAACCUGUAAUCGGACCUUAGGGUACCAUCUUCGACGUGCACGUAUGGGAAUUUGGGGAGUUAAGCAUUUAAUUUGUAAUUUCCGCUUAGACGUGGUUUUUAUAUUAAUUAACGAUUCGUAUUUCGAAAUAGGUAUUUCGACUGCACGCACGCAGCAAGCAGGACCUUCACGUGGUCAGGCAGCGAGGGAAUACUUGUGAGUGGACUUUGUUUUAAUCAUAUGCCUGGUUUUAAUUAAUGAAAGAUUUUGCAUAAUGUUUUAAUGGCUCCUGGAUUUUUUUAUAUAUUUUGGGCAUGGAUUAAUUCUGAUGGGUGUAUAGCAAUUGGCAACAUAUUAUGAGUUUGGCCUUUUGGGUUUUGAGAGUGUAUUUCAUAUAUGGAUUGUGGGGAGGUAUAUUUUGAUAUAUAUUCUUUUUAGAUGAGAUAUUUGGGUUGUUGGAGGGUGACAUGGAAGAGUGUGUUUAGAGAGGAGUUGUGGGAUUACACUACGUAAGUACCUUCCCCAGUUACUAGUCUCACUAGCGGCGUUGGAUGUUCCGGCGGGUGAGACACUUUCCGUAUGCAGCGUUGAAUGUUCUGGCGUACGGAAAGAUUGUGUAUAGAGUUUAGGGUCAUCACCAUGGCGUUGGAUGUUCCGGUGUGUGAUGAUCCAGUCUGCGCGCGUAGGACAUAGUUUGAGAGCUACACAUGGCGUUGGAUGUUCCGGUGUGGGAGCUUUGGAGUUUCGUCCCCCGGUUGGACCGCUCAUCCCUAGACGCAGGAUAGCACCUGGAAAUCCUGCGGACUAGUCAAACGAUCCCCCAGUUGGAUUGUUUUCCCCGGUACCUAGGUGGUGUGAUGAGUAUAUCGUAUAGCUAUUUAUAGUUAUUUAUAUAUAUAUUUAUAUGUAUAUUUAUUGAAUAUGUAUAGUUGAGUGUGAAAGGAAUUGGAGUUUGUUAAUAGUUGACAGGAGUGGUGAGUUUGAGAGAAUGGGUUCUUUUUGAAAGAGAUAACUGAUGUUUUUAGAUGAGUUUUACUGAAGCAUGUUUUGAGUAAUUUCUUAUUGAAUUGUGAACCUGCAUGACUUGAGCAUUAUUUUACAUGGUGGGGUUACUAUGUUGUUUUUAACUGCAAACCUGGUUUUUGUCCACUCACAUAUUUUCUGUUUUGCGCCCCCCAGCCAGUAGUUGCUCUUGGAAGUGCAAGUGGUGUACGAAGCGGAAUCGGUGCAUCUUUCUAAUUAGGAACUGUGUAAAUUCUUCUACUCAACUGUUCUUGUAAUCUAAAUUCAGUAGAUGCUCUGUAUUGCCAUGGUAGAUUUUACUUGUGAGGCCGGAGGCCACUCUAGUAUGACUUAUGUAUGUAUGAAAGCAUGCUGCUGGUUGGGAUUAGUAUUACUGUGUGUUGCAGGUUGAAUAAAUUUUGUUGGGAUUGCUUAAAUUGCAGGGGAGACUCUGCCAAAUUUUUGGUAGAAAGUCUCGAUUAUUUAAUAGGUGGGCCCAGCAUCGGGAUGAUGUCGGGAUCAAGACGGAGUCCGCCUCGGUCUUCGAGAAAUUCUGGGGCGGGUCCUGUCAAUUAAGCUACAUCUAAGAAAACUUUUCAGUUUUCUCUCCUUUCAAGCCUCAUGUUGAACUAAUUGUGUUGUUUUAGGUUGUUUUUUUAAGCACAUGGAAUUGGGGAGGUGUGUUUACACAUAAACGUUUUUGGGUAAUUUGGGGUUUCGAACCACUUGUCCACAUGACUUGAGGCUAAAGAGCUCAACCAACUGAAUUAUACACAAGUGGUCUUUUUUUUUUUUUAAAUGUUGUUAAAGAUGAAGAAGAUAUACAACGAACAAAAAAACAAAAAAAAAACCAAGAACUUAGAUCAUUAAAUGGAGAUGUAAAAAGCCGACAGUUUCGAUCAUUGAACUAUUAUAAUUACCAAUUAUCAAACUCUUCGAAUUACCAUUUGCAAAGCUCAUACAACCCAUCAAUUUUCCUGUCCAUAUGAGUUAAUCAAAUGGAUUUGAUUUUCUUUACUUUGCUAAGGUGUUUUAAUCCUUUACAUUGAUUUUCUUUAACUAUUUGUGCCAAGCGCAACAUGGAAACUGCAAUUUCCUUAAUUUCUUUAAAACUUUAGCUCAUAUUCCUUACUCCAGCUAUUACUAUCCACUGCUAAAAAAAGGGCUAAAAGCACGAUCCAAAGAGCACAAAAAAGAGAUUCAUAUCGUUUUGAAUCAAAUUUGACAAUAUAUGUAGUAUUUGUGUGAUAUACAGAGAAGACACAAUUGUUUUGUGUCCAAUGCCAACAUAAGAAAGAAAUAAUUGUGCCUAAGUAGUUUAAGCACAAAUUGUGUGGCCAAUUAUCAUAUUAGCAUAUAGAGUUUGUCACUUCAGUGCAAGAAUAGUUGAAGCUUUUGUAACCACAAAAAAUCUAUUUUUGUGCCAUUUUGCUUAGAGCAUCUCCAAGGGAGAUGUCAAAUACCAAACAUCAAAUUUAAAUUUGAUGGCUGAUGUGGCAAUUUGACAUCUAACACAGUUUUACACUCCACCUGAUAUAUCAAAUUAAAUUAUUAUUUUAUUAAAUUUUAGUGUUGAUUUAUUUACUACUUCUUAGAAUAUAAUUUUUAUAUUUUUAAUUAGAAAAAAAGAAAAUACUAAAAGACAAUCAAUUAAUUGAAAAAGAAAACUACAAGACAAUCAAUUUAUUGAAAUAUAAUUCACAAUUCACCACCUCGAAGAAUUUUCAUUCUAAGUUGAGAACAAUAUAGUAUUUCCUCAUCACACAUUCCAGAUGUAUCCAUAGACAUAAUUUUCGUCUCAAACUCCAUUUGUUUGAGUCGAAGUUUAUUUUCAUCUUGCUCAACUUUCUUCUUAAUAAGCUCCAUUUUCAUUUCAUCUCUUUCCUUUUUCUGUUCAUGUAAUGUUUGAAUUUGCACCAAAAUAUAGGAGUGGGCUCAUCGCUAGUGGUUUCUUUCAUCUUUCUCUUUUCGGCCUUCUUACCUAGUGGUCUUUUUGUGGGAGCAUAAGUAUCGUUGGUGUUGUCUUGGUAAACAUCUAUGGGAGUUCUUUGAGUAGACAAUGAUGAGAAACUAGUCAAGCGCUUCUUACUCACUGAUUCUUGCGUUUGUAACCACUUUGGUUGGUGCCUCAAUAAAAUCCAACCAUCAGGGGUGAUGCCACAUACAGGCCUGCAGUGGUCAUGACCCCCGAAAGCUCCAUGAAAAAGCCACUAACUCUUAAACACAUGCUGCAAUAUCAAUUAAAAUAUAAGUCUAUAAAACUUUAUAAUUACUGUAUUGACCCCCCAAAAGACAAGCUACUAGCUCCGCCACUGCCAACCAUAAUCAAGGAUGAACUUUGCUUUGUGUUUUGCUUCAUAUGUAGCCUUCGCAUCCCCAAUCUAAAGAAUAUUAAAAAAAACAAAACAAAACUCCACAUGGGAAUAAAUUUAAUAAUUAAAUAUACUAAUACUAUUUAAAUAAACCUUAUCUUGCUCGGUUUUGCCACUCUGAUUUCUCUCAUUUAUAGUGGCAAUACAUCCAGAAAAUCUAUUGACCUCCUUUUGAUUUUUUUGCCAUCGUUGAGACAGCAUUCGGUCGGUUCGAAUACUGUCGAACCACUUAUUUUGGUUGUAAUAUUCCACAAUUCGUGCCGUUUUUGCUCAUUUCCAUGUAUAGCAUCCAUACUAGUGUUUAACCAUGCACUAAAAAGAAGACGAUCCUCAUCUUUGUUGAAGCCAGCACCUCGAAUCUUUUUCCUUUUAGACACUUCCACAUUGACUUGAUCACAUACUUCACUUGAAAAUUGAGAUUGUUGAGUAGAAAAUUUUGGAAAUUGGGAGUAUUGAGAAUCCAUAAUGUUUAUAGAUGAAUAUUUGAGAGAUUGUACGUAAGGAUGCACAGGCAAAUAUAAAAAUGUGGUAUUUAUAGAGAUCAAAUGUGAGGUUGGAUUUACAGAAUUGAAUUCUGGCCGGCUGGACUGGGCUUCUGGUAUCCAUAUAGAAUCUUCUUGCAUUAGAAUUGCACGUCAGUACAUUCAACUGAUGAAGAUCAGUUGGAAAUCGAUACCAAUGACAGUAUUGGCAUAGCUAUAAUCAGUUUGAGUCAUAGAGAGGCUUAAAAAGUGGGGCAGAACUGAGAGUUUGCGUCCGUUCUGCCUGUUCUGAGGACUAUCUGCAUGAGAUUAAGACAGCCUGGUGUCUCUAAGCAUUUGUUAUGCUUGAAUUGAGAUUUAUCAAGUGGCUGGAUUGGCAGCGACUGGCCUGGAAUUGCAUUUCAGUACCUGGUCUGCUUGACUGGGGAUGAUUUGUUAGCUAUUCAUAUGAGCUUAAGACAUCAAGGUGUCUCUGAGCAUUUGUUGAGGUUUUCAUAUGAUGAAUAACCUGGCUUCUACCUAGUUCAUUUGUUAUGAACCUAAUUUGUAACGACAGAAAUAUGAGUUCUGCUUGAUUCUGUUGAUUUGAAUCGCAUUUGCAAUGAGAGAAAUCUUGUUUUCUUCUUGGUGAGUUAUUUUUCUAAGCUGAGCUUGAAGUCAGAAAUCUGAGUUCUGCUUGAUUUUCUUGAGAGCUGGACUGAUACUGUAAGCUUGAUAUCUUGGUUGCUUAUGAAUUUGAAGGCUUUUGAGAUUGUGUGAUCUUUGAUAUUGUCAGUUUGACUAAGAAUUUUUGGUUGUUUGUUUUUGUUGGUUGACUUUGGUUGUCCUCUCUCCAGUUCACGUAUCCUUGUAUUUAUAGGAAACAUGCAUGAAGAUGAUCCCGAAAAAUCUAAAGAACAAUUGUUGGGAAGUGUCACUCCACUGACCCUUAGCAGAUAAGGAAGCAAUAACUGUUUUGAUAAAAGCAGCAAAUAUCAAGAGCUAGCUAUGGUGAUCAAUUUUGUCUCUUUGCCAACCAAUUCUCUUGAAUGCCUCCUGCCCGUUUCUUGUGAACUGGGAUUAAUUGUCUUGCCAAUGAAACUACACGAGUGAACUCUGCCUUGACCUUUCUAGCUUCAAGGUUGUCAAUUUGGUUUUGGUUUUGGUUUUGCGGUGGUGAUCAACUUUCUUUAAGAUCAAAAGAAGGUAAAUUUGGGUAAAAACUAAACCAAAUUAUUGUGGGUCUUAGAUUAAAUUACCAUUGGGGAUAACUAAGAUCUAUUUACUUUAGGUAAUUGAUUUAAUUUUACCCCACCUGUUUUGAAAUGCGUGUAGGGUAUUCUCCAUUUUUGGCAAAUAGACUUUGAUCGCAAAGAUAGUCCACCAGAAAAUUGGGCCGGUGUACAGAAAUGAGGCCCAAACACAUGACCUUGAAAGAAAAAAAAAGUAGCAACAAACUUGUGCAAGCAUAAAUGAAACGAUUCAAAGUGAUAUGCAACGGUAAUAUUUUAUAAUUUGUUUUGUUUUGUAUUACAUUGUUUUCUUAUAGAAAUUAGAUUUUACUAUGGACUGAGAUAAGAGUAUGAGACUAAUCAAACGUAAAUGAAACAAACUCUUAAUGUUGUAUAUGAUAGAGCAAUGAUCUUAUCACAAGAAGAACAAACAAAUGGAUACGGACCAACGUUUUCUCAGAGUCCAAAUUAACACCAAAUACACUUCUGAUUUAAAAAACUGAAAUUUAAAACAAGACAUAUGCAACUAAAACUUGAAAUAACAUAGUACUGUAUUUAAUUACGAGUAUUGCCACUUCUCUGUCACGAAUAUGAUUUCGAAUAAAAUCUUGAAAUUUCAUUGUCCGCUUAUGUGAGAUCAUAAGAACAAUACUUUCACCUCUUCUUGCAUCAUAAUCUCGAGGAAGGCGAUCAUCACGAUUCACGUUCAUCUUCAAUGAUCAUGUUAUGCAUUAUGAUGCAUGCUUUCACGAUUCGUUGAAGCGUUUCACGAUCCCAAAAACGAGAAGGACCACGAACAAUUGCAAAAUGUGCUUGGAGCACUCAAAAUGCCCAUUCAACAUCUUUCCCUCGAAGACUCUUGAGCUGCUGCAAAAGUUUUGGCCUUUGGUCCUUGGGGGCAUGGAAUAGUUUUGACAAAUGUUGCCCAUGAUGGAUAAAUUCCAUCAGCAAGACAAUAACCCAUUGUAUAGUCGUGACUAUUAAUUGAGUAAUUGGGUGGAGGAGCUCGGCCUUAUCGGAGGUCAGAAAAUAAAGGAGAAUGUUCUAAGACAUUUAUAUCAUUAUGUGUUGGAAAUCACAGUCAUCACAGUCAACGCCAAUCAAAGCUUGAUUUGUGGAUUGAAUCUCAGUGAAUAAAUCAAAUUGUAAUUGCUGUAAUUAGGUCCUAAAGUUUAGAUGUUUGUCUGACAGUUUACCUCUUUUAGACUAGACGUACUCCUUUAUAACCAUGUAUAUGAGUUGUACAGACAUACAAGAAAAUACAGAGAAACCUUUCUCAUUCUUUUCUCCAUUAUCAGUUUCUUUAUGGUAUCAGAGCUCUUGAACAAAACAGAACAUGGACUUUAUGCCCCUUACCACAGGGAAAACGAGCCAUUGGGAGCAAAUGGGUCUAUAAGAUUAAAUAUCGUUCUGAUGGCACGAUCGAAAGAUACAAAGCCCGCCUUGUCGCCAAGGGUUAUACACAAAUGGAAGGUCUUGACUAUACCGAAACCUUUUCACCCGUAGCCAAAUUGGUCACCCUCAAAUGCUUACUUGCUGUUGCUGCUGUGCGACAUUGGUCUUUGCAUCAAUUUGACGUCCAAAAUGCCUUCCUCCAUGGCGAUUUGGAUGAAGAGGUUUAUAUAUUGCCUCCUCCAGGCCUUCGUCGACAGGGGGCGAAUAUGGUGUGUCGACUUUAGAAGUCACUUUACGGUUUAAAGCAAGCAUCACGCAAUUGGUUCUCAAAGUUCUCAACAGCCAUCAAACGAGCCGGAUUUCAACAAUCUAAGGCAGACUAUUCCUUAUUUACUAAGGUACGAGGUGCUUCUUUUACAGCAGUGUUACUUUAUGUAGAUGAUAUGAUCAUCACAGGAAACGAUAACACCGCAAUUGAAGAGCUUAAGAGAUUUUUACACAACAAUUUUUGGAUCAAGGACUUAGUCCAUCUAAAGUACUUCCUUGGAGUUGAGGUUGCCUACUCAAAGCAAGGUAUUGCUAUUUCCCAGCGUAAAUACACUUCGGAUAUACUUGAGGAUGCAGGUAUGAUUGGAGCAAAACCAACUAAAUUCCCAAUGGAACAAAAUCAAAGGCUCACACCUUCAGAUGGUGAACUACUCAAAGAUCCAUCACAAUAUAGACGCCUCAUUGGUCGGCUUAUAUACCUCACCAUCACAAGGCCGGACAUCACAUUCUCGGUCCAUGUUCUCAGCCAAUUUAUGCAACAACCAAGGAAACCUCACCUUCAAGCAGCGUACCGUGUCCUACGUUACUUGAAGAAGGCACCAGGCCAAGGUGUCUUAUUCCCAUCACAUGGUAAGCUGCAAUUGAAAGGAUACUGUGACGCUGACUAGGCAAGUUGUCCAACAACCAGACGAUCCGUUACAAGAUUUUGCAUCUUCCUUGGAGGAGCACCUAUGUCUUGGAAAAGCAAGAAAUAAUUAAUCGUGUCACGCUCCUCAGCAGAAUCAGAAUAUAGAUCCAUGGCAUCUCUUACCUGUGAGUUAGUGUGGCUCAAAUACCUUUUGCAAGACUUGCAGGUAACACACUUGCAACCAGCCCUCUUAUAUUGCGACAACCAGGCUGCUCUACACAUUGCGGCCAACCCUGUGUUCCAUGAACGCACGAAACACAUUGAAAUUGACUGUCACACUGUGCGUGAGAGAAUACAAUCAGGUUUAAUCAAGACAGCUCAUGUUUCUUCAUCUCAACAGAUAGCCGAUAUAUUCACUAAGCCACUUGGCAGUGCAUUAUUUCAUGCUCUCCUUCGCAAGCUAGGAACUUUGGACAUCCACGUUCCAGCUUGAGGGGCCGUGUUGGAAAUCACAGUCAUCACAGUCAACGCCAAUCAAAGCUUGAUUUGUGGAUCGAAUCUCAGUGAAUAAAUCAAAUUGUAAUUGCUGUAAUUAGGUCCUAAAGUUUAGAUGUUUGUCUGACAGUUUACCUCUUUUAGACUAGACGUACUCCUUUAUAACCGUGUAUAUGAGUUGUACAGACAUACAAGAAAAUACAGAGAAACCUUUCUCAUUCUUUUCUCCAUUAUCAGUUUCUUUAUUAUGUGAUCUUGGUAGCCCAAAGAAAGAAUGCCAUAUCCAUAGAUCUUGAAGCCAUAGCUUUGAGAAUCAACAAAGGCUCGCGAUGGUCUCCACGAGCAUACACCCCUUAUCAUGCAAUCGGACAAUUUUUCCAUUUCCAAUGCUUACAAUCGAUGCUACCAAGCAUUCCUGGAAAUCCACAACUCUCAACUAUUAAUAACCUAGAAAUAUCCUCAAGUAAUUCCCACAAAAAAAUGUCAAUAACCGCUUGAUCAAACCUUUUCAUUGAUUCAAUUGAAGUAGUUUCACCUAUCUGCAUAUAAUCAUCGACAGCAUCAGCUGCAACUCCAUAAGCAAUCAUUCUCAUCAAAACAGUGACCUUUUUUAAAGGUGAUAAACCAAUUCGACCAGCUCGAUCCCUUUUUUGGGCAAAGUAUGAGUCAUAAUCUUCUACCGCAUUUACAAUUCAAAGAAAAAGUGGUUGGCACAUUCAGAACCUUCUUCGAAAUUGAGUUGGAGAGUACCUAGGAUUCUCAGCAAAAUAAUCAUCAUAGAGUCUUUGGUGCCCUUGUAGUCAUCCUUUGUCGAUAUAUCGGCACCACGAUGUUUACUCAUUUCUCCUUCCAUAUUCUUUUGUUCCUUUUGCAAAGCAACCACUUCCAAUAUUUUCGUCAGACUCUGAAUCAACAAGAUUCCAAACCUGUCGAAUCAGAAGAUGAAUCGGAGAAAUGAUGAGACAUGUUAGGGUUCUUCACAAUUCACAGUAAAAGAAAAGAAAAUUUUUUGGUAUAAAAGAAGAAUUGUGUUUGAGCACAAGUUAUUUUUUUAUUUAUAGCUUUUUGAAGAAAAUUAAAUGAAAGAGGUGUGUUUUAAAAAAAAUUGUUCAACAGUAGGAAAUAAGUUGGAAAGAGAAAGAAGGAAAAAAUUUGUAUCGGCCAAAUCAUUCAAGAUAAAGAAGAAAAAAAUAAGUGAAAGUAACACUCAGCUGUCUUUAAAAAAUAAUAAAAUAUUUAUUUGACAUCUUGCUUUUGGAAUGUCAAAAGUAACGAUUGAACCUCCAGCCUUAAUUCCACAUUAGCUUUGACAAUUCGGUUGGAGGUUGGAGUGAUGUGAGAUAUUAUUUCUUGCCGUUAAAUGUCUAUGUGGCACUUAUCAAUUGGAGAUGCUCCUAGAGCAUCCCCAAAGGAGAUGUCAAAUACCAAACAUGAAAUUUAAAUUUGAUGGCUGAUGUGGCAAUUUGACAUCUUACACAAUCUUACACUCCACCCGAUAUGUCAAAUUAAAUUAUUAUUUUAUUACAUUUUAUUGUUGAUUUAUUUUUAAUUAACAGGAAAAGAAAAGAAAAAAUAAUAAAAUAUUCAUUUGACAUCUUGCUUUUGGAAUGUCAAAAAUAACAUCUCAACCUCCAGCCUUCAUUUCACAUCAGCUUUGACACAUUGGUUGGAGUGAUGUCAAAUGUUAUUUUUAGUCGUUAAAUGUCUAUGUGCCACUUUUAACACAUCGAUUGGUGAUGCUCUUAUAAAUUAUAACCGCAAAAUAUUAUUUUUCUUUUAUUACCAAUAAAAAAAAUAUUUUUUUGAUACUUAUAUACAUAUUAUUUUAAAUAUUAUGACAUAGUAUUGAGCACUAAUAUUGAAUUUUAUAGUUAAGUCCACACACAUUUCAAAAUAUAGUUGCCUAUAAAGCACAAAUACUGGAAUUGUGUCCUUUUGUGACCUAUAGAGCACGAAUACUAUAAAUUGUAUCUAGAAUCAUUUCAAAUUUGGCCAAGUGGCAGUGAUCUACGUUUGCAUGGAAAAGGUGACCUUUCCUGUUGAAAUGAUGAAGGGGCAGGUUGGCCUUACCUAUAUUUGAUACAUUCCUGGGAAUGCGGCCAGUCCAAGAAUGGAUAUACGGUAAAGAUGUUUUGGCAGAAAUUCUAGAAAAGACAAGGCACAAAAGGAAUUUUAACAAAAGGGCUACUUAUUUUAUUCAGAAAAGUGUCGCCUGUAGGCUGUAAGGCCAGCUGUGGAGAUUCCGUUUUGACGUAACGGUUAAGUGAUCAAAUGCAAAAUUAAAACCAAGGCCACGUUUGGACUUUGGCCUUUUGGAAAACAGCAUGUUCAUACGUGCGGGAUUAAUCAUGACUACGGCUUUUUGAGACGCAUCGGAUCAUUGAUAGUUCUGUCUUGAUCGAGGCACCUCCUAAUCGUUUGAUUCAUAAGAGAAGUCAUUUUAAUACCCAAACCUCCUAAUGGUUUAGGCAAACAAACUGUAUCCCAUUUACCUAAAUGAGUUUUAUGAUGGGUCUCACUACUUUCCCAAAGAAAACUUUUAGAAGAUUUGUCAAGGUCUUCACAAAGAGCUUGAGGAAGCUUAGCCAUCUGCAUAGUAUAUUGAGGAAUAGAAGAAGCAACAGACUGGAUUAAAGUGAUUCUUCCAGCCAUAGAAAGCAAUUGACUUUUCCAAGCAGAAAGUUUAGCUUGAACUUUAACCAGAACCCCCUUAUACGUAGCUUUGGUAACCCUCCCUUGAACAAGGGGAACACCUAGAUAAUUCCCCAUAUCAGCGGAUCUGGAGGCACCACAAAUUAACUCAAUUUGAUCAACAAGGUCAGACUUAGUAUUGGCAGAUAUGUACAACAAAAAUUUCUCAAAAUUCACUUGCUACCAAGAGAGCUCACAUAACUCCUCAAGAAAAUUUUUCAUAACCAUAGCUUGCUAUUGAGACCCAAAAAAUUCACGGUUGGGCCCGAAUAAAUUAUUGGCCCAAAGCGAUGCUCUAUUAAGAAAAGACGUAAAGAGAAGUGCACAAAAAUCCACCACAUGCGAGUUACAAUUCACGUGCCACGCUAAAUAAAUAAAUUGUUGUGCUAGGAGUUGAGAUAAAAUAUGCCUGAUUUACGAACCCAUGCUAAAAUUAAACAUGGCAACCCUUUCCAAGGAUAAUAAAAUAAAAACAUGCCAAGCGACAUACCAUGCCAAGCAUGAAAUCGUUAUUUCGCACACAACCACACUACAAACCUAAGUGGGCCCAAGCCACUCAAACGCACGGGGCUUGCUUGAGUGGGUUGUGGUAUGGAUGGUAAUUAAUCAACAUGAGGCCCAUUGAUGGGCCGAGAAAUGGAAGGUCUCGGGUUGCUUGGGAGCCUCGAGACUCAGGCCCAUUUCUUAGGCCCAAACAUGUGGGUGAGAACAAGAGAGAAAAAAAUAGCCCAAUAGCCCAAGCAAAAUAGCCUAUUGACACAACCAAAAAAGCCUAAUGUUUAACAAAAAUAACCCACUUGCUUAAGGAGCCACCUUGGCCCAUACAAAACCCCAAAAUAAGCCACAAAAAACCUCAGCCCUUUGCUGAAAAAUAGAAGCUAUGUAGAGAAAGUCUGCAGGAUCAUUGAACAAAGCUGCUGGGAGGUUCCAACACAUGGGAGGAGCAAGUUCCAAGCAAGAAACAUUCAAGGAACCAAAGAAUAUUAGCCUGCGAGCUGCCAGAAGCACCCUUCGAACCAGCAUAUAUAUCCUAACUCAUUUUCUCAUCAGACUUAGCCAUGAAAAAAAGGGAAGAAAUCGAUAAAAGAGAUGGCUGGGAAUGGAAGUCUCCCAUAGAGACAGCUACGGGAAAAGGAGGCCUUGAGCUCCAAACUCUGAUCUGGUGCAAAUAGGCAGAAGGGAUUUCAUCAAGAGGGGAAAAGUCAAGGAAGGAGAUGAGAAAGGAAGGGAAAAGCUUGGCCAAGAUGGGUAGAAGCCAUUAGGAUUUCUUGGGAAGUGAUGGUUUCCAACGGCUAUAAAAUGAAGUCUCUUCCACCCAACAAAACUCAACUCAAACCCACGCCUAGAGAGCAAGCUUUCUCUCUAACUUGCAAAAAUCCAGCAAUCUCGUGCACUGUUCACCCUCUUCUCCAUUCUUCUCUUCUGGUAGACAGAGUAUCUGUCAAGCUGGCAGAAGAGCACUGUUCUUCAUUUCUCUUUUCCUAAUCAAAUCUCCUACAAAUCCCUCCUUUCUCACCUUAACACUUCCCUUUUUUCCCCUAAGAAAGCCUAAAUUUCCCCUAAGUGCUAAACCCAUGUUGAUUUUGCUUCCAUGCCAUAUGCCACUCACGCUGAGCUUAAAAGUUUAUCUGUAAGCAUGAAGAAAUUAUCUAUAAGCUGUCAUUAUUUUGGUUGGUGAAGGUAGCCAAAAUACUUCCUAAGGCUCUGCUGCCCUUUCGAAGUGUUUUCGGGGCUUAAUUUUCGAAUUCAGACAAGGGGGAUAAUUCCAUCAGUCUGCCCUUUACGGCAGCCCAGCCCAUUUACAGAUGCCGGAAGAAAAAGCCCUUACAUAAAUUGGCGACUCUGCUAAGGAUUAAGCCAUUAUCUUCAUCAAUGCCUCCAAAGAAGAAGACCAGAAGCAACAACAUGACCUCCUAAGAUGGGCCAAGCCAUGCUGACUCAGAAUCAAGGCAACAUGCCUCAUCUAGAGAAGAAGAACGUGCAAGUGAGGGAAUUUUCACCCUCACAGACCUUGUUGCAGCCAUCCGUGCAAUGGGAGAAACUCAAAGGGAGAUAGCAAAAACAAUCAAGGAGCUGAAAAACUCUGCUGCUAAGCCAAGCGAAGAAAACGAGAGACACCCACAAGAGGAAUCUGCUGCUGGUGGAAAGGGGUCUGAACAAAAGGGACCAUCUUUUGUCACCCAAGAUGAAGUAGUUGCCAUACUGGAAAAAGAACUGAGUCGAAGUCAGGAGGAUUGGAAGUACCUUCCUUAGCCACCGUACCCAUCAAGCUUGCUUCAAUAGCCGUAUCCUAAAGGCUACGAGGCACCAACCUUUGUCCUCUUUGACAGAAGGAAGGGGAGCCCGAAGGAGCACGUCAAUCGCUUCAUUGAUGCCUUGGGACCGCAUGCCGAUGAUUAUAAUCUCCGACUUAGAGAAUUUUCAAAAAGCCUUACCGAUCGUGCUUACACAUGGUAUACGACGUUGGCACCGGGCUCUAUUCACUCUUGGGAAAACUUGGCAAGCAGGUUUUGUAAGAAGUAUUUCCAGCAUGAAGAACGAGUCACCACUACUUAACUUAACAACACUCGUCAAAAACAUGGUGAGGAUCCCGUGGACUUUGUGUACAGGUUCCGGGACCUGGCAUUGGACUGCUACGAUGAGAAAGAUGAGAAGGCGCUUGUCGAAAUUUGCAUUAGCAAUAUUGUGGCAGAUUAUAGGGUUUAUUUGGAGAAUAUUGGCAUCAGUCAAGUUUCAAGGCUACUGGAAGUAGUAAGGAGGACGAGCAUGUCUGUCAAGCCAAUGGGACAAAGGACUUGGAAGAACGAGAAGAAGGAGACGCACCAAACAUUGGCCAUAAACAACAAGCCAUCCAACAAUUACAACUCGCACAAACGGAAGGAUAGGGAGACAUAUCCGCCACUACCAUGCAAAGAUGAGGAAUUUCAUGUUAUCCUUGACACGAUGAUUGCUGAUGGUGCAAUCAGGCCUGUUAGACCCCACAAAAUUCCUACCCAAGAAGAAAAGAAUGAUCCUAGGUACUGCCGUUAUCAUCAAUUUGUGGGGCAUCCAACUACUGCGUGUCAGAGUCUAAGGAGGAUUUUACAUGCCAAAAUACAUGAGGGAGUCCUUGAGCUUCCCUCAAGGAGGCAAACAAUUGAUGAAGACCCAUUGCCAAAAUGAAGGGGAAAAGAGGUAGCUGAUGUCGUUACAUGUUCUGAUGAUGUGCUCGAGGAUGAUGAAUUGUGCCACCUAUGGAGGAAUGACCCAAAGCCACCAGAAGCUAUGUGGGAACGUUGGGGAAACAUGGAGAAGGCAUAUUGGUGUAAAUAUUCGAAGCCUUCAAGUUACAACGCUCCAUGGCCACUCGCUGGUGGGUGGGGUGACGACUUGGGCAACGAAGUGUUCGUGUUAGACAUGCCGGAAGAACGCUACUCGGGGCCUUCAUCGGGGCAGUAGGAAACAACAACCGUGACGUUUCAUAACCUUACAGAGGCUGAAACAGGUGUGAUGGAACUAUAUUUAAGUUUGAAGCAGGGGCCCACAGCUUCGCAGGUCCUCCAGAGAAACCUGAAGUUCAAGUCACUCUUUGACCAACUCGGCUUUGGGCCUCAAGACAGAGAAGUAGCUGCUGUAGCUUUCAUGAACAUCUCUGCAGAGUCGAAUCCCCAUUGCUUCACCGCUCAACUACAAAGGUCAUUUUUGGGAAAUGACAAUGCUAUCGUCUUCACGGACGAAGACAUGGAAGUGCCACAUUCGGAUCAUAGAAGGCCACUUUACUUGGAAGGACAAAUCAACGAUGUGUUUAUAAGAAGAGCUUUGGUGGACACGGGUUCCUCUGUCAAUAUACUACCUCUAUUUAUGCUUACGGCAACUGGUAUCCAUUAUCCAAAAUCGUGCAAUCUCAAACAAGCAUCAGCGGUUUCAGGAAUAAGAGUGAAGUCACAGUCGGGCAUAUGCAAGUAAAUUUGAAGGUUGGGCCAAUUCGGUCGCUUACCAAAUUCUAUGUCGUAGACGUGGAUGUGGCAUACCAUGCUUUGCUUGGAAGGCCAUGGCUCAACAAGCAUAAGCUCGUGGUCUUUACUUAUCAUCAAUGCGUGAAGGGAAGGAUUGGGCUGAGACCAUUACGCAUACCUAGGAAUCAAGCACCAUUCAAUAAAAAUGAAGUUCGCUACUCCGAGGCAGAAUUUUACACCGAAUGCACAGGUGCUGGAAGUAACCCAUCCAAGGAUUUCGGGACCUAUCUUCCUUCAUGGACUGAAAUUCGUGAUCUAAGCAAUGAGGAGCUCAUCACCAUUGUCGAUCGGGAAAGAAAGAAGCACUCGGAGGUCAAUAAUCAUGCUUACGAUCAUCCCCAAUGCUCGAAAGUGACACUGCCAAAUGGACUCACAGUGUAUCGCUUAUGACGGGAUUGGGGGCUUAACCGUGUUCUACGGGAAAGCCCCGAGUAUGGAGGAGAAUCAAUGCCAACGAACAACCAUGAGGAUCCAGAUGACAAGGCACCCACGCCUUGUGUUUUCCAAGAACGAAUGACGGCAUCUAGACACAUGCAAGAUGGAUCAACAGCGGUAGCUGAGCAGCUGGAAACAAUUGAUUUGAGUGGAGAUCCAUCUGCCUCAAGGCCCAUCUCCAUCAGCAUUCAUUUAACAAGUAAAGAGAAGGAGGCCUUGGUAUCUUUGCUAAAGGAAUUCCGAGAUGUGUUCACUUGGAGCUAUGAGGAACUGCCCGGCUUAAAUCUAAGCUUAGUAAGUCAUACUUUGAAUAUCGAGCUUGGUAUAAAACCUGUUGUGCAGCCAAGGAGGAAUUUUUCAUCUUGAAAUUUAAAAGCAAAUCAAGGUGGAAAUUGAAAAGUUGUUAGCUGUUGGAUUCAUCAAGCCGAUCAAGCAUCCAACUUGGCUAGCAAAUAUUGUUCCCAUGAAAAAGAAGACUGGUGUAAUUAGAAUAUGCACAGACUACCGAGACCUCAACCGAGCUUGCCCAAAGGAUGAAUUUCGCUGCCCAACAUAGAUAUCUUGAUCGAUUCAACCUCGGGUCAAGGCUUGCUGUCAUUCAUGGAUGGGUUUAGUGGUUACAAUCAGAUCAAGAUGUCACCCAAAGAUGCCGAAAAGACAGCCUUUCGAACGCCAUAUGGGAAUUUUUAUUACACGGUCAUGCCAUUUGGUCUCAAGAAUGCUGGCGCCACCUACCAAAGGGCCAUAACGGUAGUAUUUCAUGACAUGAUGGGAAAAGAAGUGGAAGACUAUGUGGACGAUCUCGUAGUGAAGUCCAAAACUAGAGAAAUCCAUCAAGAAGUUUUGAGAAGGGUGUUGGAAAGGUGCCGGCUAUACGAGCUAAAGAUGACCCAAAGAAGUGCGCAUUUGGAGUUUCAUCCGGUAAAUUCUUGGGGUUUCAAGCACACCAGCGUGGCAUAGAUGUGGAUCCCGAAAAGACUAGAGCCUUAAAUUCUCUUGCGCCACCUAGAAACCCAGAGGAAUUGAAAAGUUUCAUCGGAAGAUUAUCGUAUAUUCGACGGUUCAUCUUAGGUCUCGCUGCCACUAUGAGUGUUUUUACUCCCUUACUCAAGAAGGGCAAGCCGUACGAAUGGAGUAAGGAAUGUCAAGAAGCCUAUGGGCAAGUGCAACAAAUAAUCACCAAGCUGCCCACUAUGAGAGCACCCAUUCCGGGGCUUCCUCUCAAGCUUUAUUUGGCUGCAACAAAUACAGCUGUUGGAGCUUUACUUGCUCAAGAUGACCACGGUGGAGAAGAAAGUCCUAUUUAUUAUGUGAGUAGGCAGCUAAGGGGAGCUGAAACGAGAUACCCAAGAACCGAACUCUUGUGUCUUGCCCUUGUUUAUACUGCACAACGCUUGCGACAUUACUUCCUUGCUCACAAGUUGCAGCUCAUAGUAAGGUCUGACCCCGUAAGAUACUUGCUCACAAGGCCGGUGUUAUCUGGACGUCUUGCAUGUUAGUUGCUACAGCUGUCUGAAUUUGAUAUCACAUGCAUCACUCCGAAAGCCAUCAAAGGACAAGCCGUGAUCGACAUGCUGGCUCUAUUUCCUGAAGUUGAAGAAUCAAUGCUUUCUAAGGAAGUUCUGGGGGAGGUGCCGGAAAUAGUUGCUGUUGUUACAGAAGAGGAACCAUGGACCCUCUACUUUGAUGGGUCUUAUACAUCGAAAGGUGGAGGAGCAGGUGUAGUGCUUGUCCCGAGGGGCAGGCCGCGGCCCUCUCAUUCAAGCUAAAUUUUCCAUGCACAAAUAAUACGGCGGAAUACGAGGCCUUCAUCAUGGGGAUGUCUACAACAAGGGAGAUGGGUGUAGAAAGAAUUAAAAUUAUAGGGGACUCAAACUUGGUGCUGAGUCAAUUGCAAGGGAAUUUUGCUAUGAAGGAGUCAACAUUGGCGCCAUAUCGCACAGCCGCUGAAAGGCUUGUUCAGUCUUUCAAACAAGUUGUCUUGGAACAUAUUCCUGGGGUUACUAAUAGAUAUGAUGAUGCGUUGGAUACUUUGGGAUCGAAGCUUUCAUUUGUUGAAGAACAACCCAACAUUGCCGUAAUCAAGAAGGACAUGCCGGUGAUCGAAGCAAUGGCCCAAGAGGAGCAGCUGGAAUAGGACGACUGGAGGAAACCUGUGAAAGAAAAAAUAAACAAGGGAAGCGACAUCAAAGAAUUGAAGGAUUAUGCGAUCAUCUUCGGGGAGCUGUACAGACGCCUUCCAGGAGGUAUUUUGACCCGCUACAUAGGGACAACAGAAGCACGAGUGAAGCUCCAAGAAGUACAUGAGGUCACUUGCAAUUUGGAGCCAAUAAUCAGCUUGUAUCGACGUUUGCAACGCAAGGGUUAUUACUGGCCAGAGAUGAAGAAACAAGCAGCCGAAAUGCAAGCCAAUUGUCCCAAGUGUGCAACGAUACCCUCCACCGAGGAAUCAUUCACCAUCUCGUUUGCGGAGGACUGGAGGGCUCUGUACUUGGCAUCCUUCAUCAAUGGAGUUUUGCCAACCAAUCCCAAACAUGCUCGCAAGCUCAAAAAGACAAUGAAAAGGUAUUUCAUAGAUGGGUGGACUCUUUACCGCAAAGGGUUCAAUUGUGAGCCAUUAAAAUGCUUGGGAGAGUCAGAAGCACAGCAGGUCAUGCAAGAAAUUCAUGCUGGAGAAUGUGGUGAGCACUAAGGGAUGAAGAGGCUUUACCGACAGCUGCUGAGUGUUGGGUAUUAUUGGCCUACUAUGACGAACGAUGCGUACAACUUUGUGAAAAAGUGCCACACAUGCCAAGUCCACGCCAAUUUAAGUCACAAGCCUCCCACCCUGCUGCAAGAUAUGCGCACUCCUUGGCCUUUUCACACUUGGGGGCUUGACUUCAUCGGGACUAUCCAUCCACCAUCCGAAGGCUAUAUAUGGAUCCUCACAGCCACUGAAUAUUUCACAAAGUGGGUUGAGGCGGUUCCUCUUCGGAAGGCCACGAGGGCUGCUAUUGCAAACUUCAUUCGUGAAUAUAUUGUAUGCAGAUUUGGAAUCUCGUAUAAGAUUGUCACCAACAAUGGCACCCCGUUUGUCAAUAAGCAAGUAGGCUCGACGCUUAGUGGCUAUGGUAUCAAGCAUCGCCACUCCACGCCUUAUUACCCACAAGGAAAUGGUCAAGCAGAGGCCAUAAACAAAACCUUAUUGAGGAUCCUAAGCAAAAUGGUCUAUGAGUAUGAAGGAGGUUGGAGUGUUCACCUGCCGGAUGCCUUAUGGGCUUACUGCACCUCUCCAAAAAGUGCCACAGGUUUCUCGCCUUAUUUGCUUGUGUAUGGGUCUAAUGCCAUUUCACCAGUAGAGAUUACCAUCCCCACUGCCAGAGUAUCAGCCGUUAACGACCUCGAAUGGGAGACAAAGUCAUGCUCGGAUUGGCGCCUUCUGGACCUCGAAGCUUUGGAUGAAAAAAGAGCGGAAGCCGAGAGGAGGAUAGCGUUGUACCAUAAAAAUGUUGCCCAAGCCUAUAACAAGACAGUCAAGCCUUGAUCCUUCAAGCAAGGAGACCUCGUGCUAAAAGUCGUGGAGCAUGUAAGAAGACAAGUGUCGGGACCUUCCAAGUUUGCCCCGCAAUGGGAAGGCCCAUUCACAGUCAAGGAGGUUUACAGCAGCGGCUAUUAUCGCUUGGUCUCUGUCAAAGAAGGCAUGCUGACGGAUCCCAUCAAUGGGAAGUGGCUCAAGCCCUAUUACUGCUAAGUUAAUUUUAUGCCUUAUACUUUUAUUAUCGUAUUUUCCCUAUGUUUUAAAAUGAACUCCUUCUCUCUUAUUUUCAUAUUUUGAAAAAGAAACUUUUGUAUGAUGCAUCAUCAUGGUAGCAAGGGCUUUGCAAUGAGAAUGAAGGAAUAUUUUGAAAAAUAUAUAUAUUGUGUCUCUAAAGUUUUACUGUUUGCAUAUUUCAAAUAUCCUUUACAAAAAAAAAAAAAGAAGAAGCAAAAACGUGCCGCUUAGCAGUAAGGCAUGCCAAGCAAAGUCACUUGGAUGGGGUCCCAAACCAUCAACAAGCAUCAUGCUUAAGAAAAAAAGAAUAGUAUAAGGCAUGAAAAGUCAAUCUAUUAUAAAAAACACUCAAUUUCGAGGUGCUCGAAUAACAUGAUGCGCACAACACCUGGGAGUUUUAUAAAGCCUGGGUAAAAAUCAUUCACAUACUAGCUUGGCCUUUUAGGCAAGGCUAGAAGCUAUUUUUCAAGCCUAAAGUCUAAAUAAACCAUGCAAAAGAAACUUCAGAAAAAUUCUGGUCCUGUCAAAAUUUUGGCAGCAUAUACCUUGUUUUUAAGGGUAUCCAACCUGUCAGAAAAUCUCAAGCAGUUCACAAGGACAAGAUUUGCCAACUAAGCAGUACAUAUAUAUAUAUAUAUAUAAGACAUGCGAAUUACAAUAUGCCUCAAGCAUUCAGAAAUUAAUAUAAGCUUCACUGGUUUAAUACCAAAUUACAAAGUCAUGAUGACGUAGCAGCUAGAAUGUCGAAAAAAAAAAAACUACAGGCAAAGCAAGAUAAAACUACACAUGCUAAAAGUUCAUGUGUCCAGUAGUCUCAAAAAAAAAAAAAAAAAAAACAGAACCAUGGGCCAAGCUAAUUGGUUACCAAGCCAAGGAGGGAUGACUUGAAAAAAAAAAAAAAAGUAUGUGUCAAGACUAGCUGAUGCCGGAAGGAGUAGCAUGAUAAAAAUAAAAACAAAUAAGGAAUGAGCUAAAUACCUUGAGGCUACGGAGAACGCCCGAAGAGGACAGAGGAGGCCCUGGGAGAUGCUCUGGUUGCUACUCCUGCCACGCAUUCAGCAUUGUCAGCAGAAAUGCCUUUAGCAAGAAGGAGGGCAUGUAAUUCCCGACGUUUGUCCUCUAAUUCUCGCUGUUUAAUAUUCAAGGAGUUGGUGGCAGCUCUUAUCUCAUCAGGACCGUGUGAUAAUGUCAUACUACGAAUGGCCCGUGCUCCGAAGACAGCGCGUGCUAGGUCCUUCACAAGGUUGAAAAGGAAGUCCACAUGAAAGCCUAGGGUUAUGGCCUCACAUAUCGCGUCCCGCCAACAAAAUAGUUUGUGAUCAGUGAUAUCAAGAAGCUGCAUGGUGUUUAUCCUGUGAAACACUAAGCCAAGGGCUCGAAAGGCAGUACACCUUGAGAAAGAAGUGGUGAUGUCGGUAGCUUCCAUGAAAUUGCCGUAGUUAUCCAUGAAUUUCUCAAGACCGCAACUGUCUCUGGAUACACAAGUGCGCCUUGGAAUGCCACAUAACCGUUGAAUUUGUGGCAAAGCGAAAGAAGCUCGUCGACGGACCGAAGAAUUAUGACACCCCCAUCGAAAAAGGCUUUGAAUGCCAUGAAGGAAUUUUCCCAAUCCUGCCAAGACAUGCUUUUCCCGGAUGAAUGCCUGCCGGAGGUACCUGCGAUAAAGGCAUCACCAUCCUUAUGGCUAUUGUCAAUGAUCUCAGUAGGAGGAAGCACUGCCGGAAGUGGUGGAGAGGCGUCGACAGCCAUAUCGGAUGUGCCCAAGAUAAGAGGAGUCAGAGGUGGCACUGCCGGAAGUGGUGGAGAGGCGUCGACAGCCAUAUCGGAUGUGCCCAAGAUAAGAGGAGUCGGAGGUGGCAUUGCUGGAAGUGGUGGAGAGGUGUCGGCAGCCGCGUCAGAUGUGCCUAGGACAGGAGGAGCAGGAGGCCGCGCUGCUGGAAGACCCAAGAUGGCGUCAGCAACAGUAGCAGGAAAGUCAAGGCCGGCCUCCGAUGAGUAACCUGUAGUGGGCACAACCUGCGGGAGAAGAACGAGGUAUGAAUUGCAAGUCACAACAGGCAGCAUGCAAUGUAAAUAUAUCAAGUAGAACAAGCAAGAAGGUCAUUCGAUACCAAUGUAAUGUCAACACGCUGCCCAUGGUCACUAGCAAACUCAGGAGGCAUGUCUGAGGCACCUGGCUCCUCCAAGGGAAUGUCGAAAUCCAAACAUGUGUCUUCAUCAUGGCUAUAGUAUUGGCCUUCAUCAGGGUCCUCAUCCAUGCCACUUGUGCCAUGAGUGCUCUCUUGCCUGUGGGUGCUAAUCUCAGCCUCUGCAGCACCACUUUCGUCACUGCUAUCAUCAUCAUCAUCGAUUGUUACAAUUACCUCAGGUCCAGAGCCUUCACCCUUGUCUUUGCGGGUACUAGCAAAUCUUGUUCGAAGUAUGCGCGUACUUCGGCGCUUUGGAACCAUAUGGGUUACUUUGCCUUUGCUCUUGGUUUUGGAUGAACCUGUAAAUCAAAAGAAGGGGGAGAGAUGGCGAAACAAGCUGAAAACGAAGUAAAAAUAAAUAAAUAAAUAAAUAAAGACAAAAGCCAAAACUUACUGUGGGGAGACGAAGCUUCCGGCACCUUGUCAAUCCCCUUGCUGCUGCCAAAACCCACGGGUUGCUGCUGUGGUAAAGGUUCUGAGAGAGUAUCCCUUUUGGGGCUGGGGGGACCACUUGCUGCCACCUUGGGGAUAAAUUUUUUAGGUCCCUUUACAGCUUGUCUUUUCUCAUCAACGUUGUGGCCCUCCUCCCGCUUUCGUUUUCCAUGUGCAACAUUUUUCCCGACACUAUGAGAGCCUGAUUUCUCUAACUUCCGCUUUAGCUUCAAAAAAUCACCAACAAUCUCUCCGCUUUUGGAAGUGAAAGGCAGAUUCCGCUUCUCACUUAAGGCGAUGACCUUCUCUUCUGACACUAAGCGAGCAUGACGAACUAUGGUGGGAAGCAAUCGAUCGCAAUGGGCAGCAUGGAAUCGAUUAAAUGUAGCAAAGCAGCGAUUCCAGUAGUUUUGGUAGGCUUUCGAGAGACCGCCAACACGCCCUUUGUUAGCCAAAGCAAGGGCAAAAGGCCUGCCAUCUCCCGACACUUGGUCCUCAGUCCAAAAGACUUUAUGCAGUGAAGAGGGCUCUCCGUGGAUAGGACUGAAAGGCACACCCUGAUUGAACCCAAGCUGUCAUCUGAUUCGGUAAGGCGAAUAAUGCACGAAAAUUUUCAAGUGGUCAUCACCCAGUGUAGGCAAAGAAAGGCACGCAGCGCUUAGCAACGCUUCCCUUCGCAAUUGACGGCCUUGUGCUGUCAUUAUUGGGGCCCCAACUAGAUCACCAAAAUCAGCAUAGAAGGGUAUACAUUUAAAUCCCUCCGUUAAAGCACAGUAAGGGCGAAAGAUAAAUCUCUCAACAUCGUCCAGCAGCUCUAGGAAAUUCUGGCCCUUCCUUUGCAUCAGUCGUGACCAUCUGCAAAUCAAAGGGAGACUCUCUGGUACGUAGGAACUCGCAUUAGAACCAGCGAGUGUCUUAGCCUUCGAGUAGGGAACUGGGGAUACCUCUAUCCCUCGGAAGCGCUCCCAUAAAAAGACUUGCAGGAAGCUGGAAUUCAGGAAAGUUUCCACAGCCAUGGUUCCUGCCGCUCCUUUCUCAAGAUUUUGAACCUGGUCAAGCAAGCGGUAUAGGUGCCCCAAGAACAUAGGGGCUAGAGGAAGCAUGCUGCCAUGUGCUAUCACCAAUGCCAAAGAAAAUACCCGCUCGUGCAGACAGUCUUGAGAAAAAUCACAGAAAGUGAAUCUUCCAAGCCAUAAUGAUAUAAACGCUGCAAGGCGACAUGGUUCAUUCCUACUAACAUCCCCGAAAAAUUGUAUCCAGUUGCUAAACCGCAAAGAAGUGCUAGGAGAAGUCGGGGCGCUCUUUCGUAAAGCCUCAAGCUUUAGUUUAUCUUCUGGAGUCAACGCAAUGUGAAAGAGGUCUUGGCUGCCGCAAAGUGGGAGGUGGAAGAUGUUAGCUACAUCCUCAAGUGUGGGAGCAAACUCUCCCCACGAACAGGUAAAGGUGUGCGUCUUGGUACUCCAUAGCCUAACCACAUGCCGGAGCAUCUUGGCUUCAAUAUGAAUGUUGCAAGCUUUAGAAAUAAAAAUCGCAUCCAACACUCGUGCCCGACUUAGAAUGUCACAAGUGGAAGGGUCUCUCAAUUCACGGUCAACCCACUCUGACCAACCCUUGCUGGUGCCACACGGAUAUUGAAAGAAUAAAGGGACUACCGGAAAUAGGCCCCUCUCUAUGCAGCAUCUCGAUAUGGAUGCGGGAUCAACCACUGGAGUUGUUUCCGACGCUGGCUCCUCUUCAAUGAUUAUAUCUUCAUCAGUGCUCUUAAGCAAAGGCGGCGGCCUCCCUAUUUUCAAUCUGUCAUCUGUGGAGUAGAGAUGAUCCCUAAGGAUGGAUGACGGAUUAAUCGAUGUCAUGGUAUCAUGGUACCUCUUGGCGAAAUGAUAAAUACCUGCACAUAGAAAUGUGGAAAGAAGCAAAAUAGAAUUAGCACACGUAAGAUACGUGUCAAGCACGGCUAGUUGAACUCAUCCAAGCAAACAUGCAAUUUAAAAUUCAAGCUCAUGACAAAUAAAAGUCUCACUCUGUGGUCAACAAGCAUGACAAGCAAGUCCCUUCUCAAAAUAAAAAAAAAAUUUCAACCAGGCAGUACAAACAUGCACUCUGUCAGUUUCUAUUCUGCACAAGCAACAGACACAAAAUCCAUGAUUGAUUAGGCAUGUGUUCUCAAGGAAAGAAAGCCUAGGCCAAGCACCAAUCUACACCUAUUCUAAAGUACCCAAAGUUGGCAGAGUCAUUUACCAAAAGGCUAAGACAGAAGCACCAAAAAUCCAAGUUAGAAGACUGAAGGAUUUGAAGGUUCCAGCAGUAGAAGCGUCAAGGGUUUCUAGCACUUACACCACCUAUGCCUGAGACGUAUAUACCUGUACAGAAAUAAACAAAAAGAGAAAGCACAUCAUGCCAAGAUUAGCCUUUUCACAUACAAAGAGGGAGCCCAUGCAAGAUAAAAGUGAAGAAAAUGGAAAAAGGGAGAGGGAAAACAAGAGAAAAUGCAUACCUCGUUGAAUCUCCCAAGGGAUGGCCUUGAAUGUAACAAGAAGAGAAAAAAAAUCGAGGAUUUGAGGAAGAAAUCUGCACCAAAGCAAACCCUUCCAGCAGCAGCGAACGGGCUUCUUUUGAACGAAGACGGGGUCGAGUCUGACCGGGGGCUUCCUUCCCAGCGGCUGGAGUUUUGUAAUUUCUGUCUGAUUGCACUCUCUCACUUGGUUCGAAUUCGUGGAGGAGCAAAGGAGAACGAAGGGAGGAGAGCUGAAAAGAAGUUUUGGUCUGGUGCGUGAAAGAGAAAGAAAUUGGAAGAAGUUAGUGUCUGGUGCAAGAAAAGAGAAAAAGAAAGGAAGAGAAAGAAGAAAAUAAUAAUAAUAAAAAGGGAAGAAGAAGGCGGUUGGUGUUGGGAAACUGCAAAUAACUGCUGGGACUAAUCAUGACACGCCGUCAUUUUGCACCCGGGAAGAAGAGAAGUUUCUUGCAAAUACAAAUCUGAUUUUUUGGGUUGGGUUUAAUUACUCAACCCAUUCCAGCACCUGCUCAUGGCCCAUAUAAUUAAGGGGGCUAAUGUUGAGACCCAAAAAAUUCACGGUUGGGCCCGAAUAAAUUAUUGGCUCAAAGCGACGCUCUAUUAAGAAAAGACGUAAAGAGAAGUGCACAAAAAUCCACCACAUGCGAGUUACAGUUCACGUGCCACACUAAAAUUAAACAUUGCAACCCUUCCCAAGGAUGAUAAAAUGAAAACAUGCCAAGCGACAUGUCGUGCCAAGCAUGAAAUCAUUAUUUCGCACACAACCACACUACAAACCUAAGUGGGCCUAAGCCACUCAAACGCACGGGGCUUGCUUGAGUGGGUUGUGGUAUGGAUGGUAAUGAAUCAACAUGAAGCCCAUUGAUGGGCCGAGAAAUGGAAGGUCUCGGGUUGUUUGGGAGCCUCGAGACUCAGGUCCAUUUCUUAGGCCCAAACAUCUGGGUGAGCACAAGAGAGAAAAAAAUAGCCCAAUAGCCCAAGCAAAAUAGCCUAUUGACACAACCAAAAAAGCCUAAUGUUUAACAAAAAUAACCCACUUGCUUAAAGAGUCACCUUGGCCCAUACAAAACCCCAAAAUAAGCCACAAAAAACCUCAGCCCUUUGCUGCAAAAUAGAAGCCACGUAGAGAAAGUUUGCAGGAUCAUUGAAUAAAGCUGCUGGGAAGUUCCAGCACAUGGGGGGAGCAAGUUCCAAGCAAGAAACAUUCAAGGAACCAAACAAUAUUAGCCUACGAGCUGCUAGAAGCACCCUUUGAACCAGCAUAUAUAUCCUAACUCCUUUGCUCAUCAGACUUAGCCAUGGCAAAAAGGGAAGAAAGCGAUAAAAGAGAUGGCUGGGAAUGGAAGUCUCCCAUAGAGACAGCUGCGGGAAAAGGAGGCCUUGAGCUCCAAACUCUGAUCUGGUGCAAAUAGGCAGAAGGGAUUUCAUCAAGAAGGGAAAAGUCAAGGAAGAAGAUGAGAAAGGAAGGGAAAAGCUUGGCCAAGAUGGGUAGAAGCCAUUAGGAUUUCUUGGGAAGUGAUGGUUUCCAGCGGCUAUAAAAUGAAGUCUCUUCCACCCAACAAAACUCAACUCAAACCCACGCCUAGAGAGCAAGCUUUCUCUCUAACUUGCAAAAACCCAGCAAUCUCGUGCACUGUUCACCCUCUUCUCCAUUCUUCUCUUCUGACAGACAGAGUAUCUGUCAAGCUGCCGAAAGAGCACUGUUCUUCAUUUCUCUCUUCCUAGUCAAAUCUCCUACAAAUGCCUCAUUUCUCACCUUAACACUUGUUUUUUCCCCCUAAGAAAGCCUAAAUUUCCCCUCAGUGCUAAACCGAUGUUAAAUUUCCCCUAAGAAAGCCUGAAUUUCCAUGCCACAUGCCACUCACGCUGAGCUUAAAAGUUUAUCUGUAAGCAUGAAGAAAUUACUUCCUAAGGCUCUGUUGACAGGACCCGACCCAAUUUCCGCUUUGGAAUCCGAGCCGAAUCCUGUGCGUGUCCGACACCUGGCGAAUGCCGGGCACGAAUGACCUUUUUACCCUUUUCUUAAACAAAUUUCUUAAAAUUUACUUUCGACUUCUGCCGAAAAUCCGGCAGAGUCUACCCUGUAUUUUGACCAACACAAAGUCUUCCACCUGUCAAACAGUCUCAAAAAUCCUACCAGUUCCUUAUGUUCAACAAGAUCUCAGAGCAUUUCUAUACAAAUUUACAGGAUUUACAAAAGAGUUACAACGAACUCCUACACUUUGGUGGUGGGUCGGAAGCUAGGAUGAUGGCCCGAGUGGUUUCCUUUGUUCUUCUACGGCCUGGGGGGCGCAAAACAUUAAAAGUGUGAGUGGACCAAAAUAGAGUUCUCAAACAGUGUAUGAACAUAAUAACCCCCACUGUAAAAACAAUGAUAAUCAUAAACCUGAAUAUGUAAACUGCACUGAAUUAGGGUAAAUUCAAGCAUUCACAUAAAUAUAUACAUGUAUAUAUAUAUCCAGAUGUAGGAUAUGCUCAACCAAGGAAAUAUUGAGUAAAAUCAAUGAAAUCAAUAUUUGCAUAAAAGCACUGAAAUUUCUUUAAAACUACCACCUAGGUGUACCCCUGUAAAACUGUCAAAUCCUCUGUAAAUCUGUCAAUUCCCCUGGCAGGUCUCGGUGACACAUAGUGUAUCCGAGCCGCAAACUGGCAGGAUUCAGGAGACCGUAGUCAGCCUGAUCCGCAAUCCUGGCACUCACGGUCCGGGCGUCCCCAAAACUCGUGAGGCAAAUGUCAAUUGCACUGACGUAACUGAAAGUAAACUGGAUGUCUGUAGACAUCAUCAUAUCCGAAGGCAACAUAAACCGAAGGCAAUCUGGAUGUCCGUAGACAUCGUCUUAUUUGACGGCAACCUGUUUCUGUAACCGGGUACCCACAGUGGUUUAAGGAAAUAUUAACUGCUGAGAAAAUAUCAAAUAUAAAUAUCAUAAUAUUUCUGAAAGAUCUGAUGAAUAACUGAAUCUUUAUUCAAUCUAUAACUGUGCUGCCCUUUCUAUCUGAUAGAAAACUCGAACUCUGCUUUCUAUAAUUCAUGGUGGUCUAAAAUAAUUAUCUUGGAUAAAAUCUGACAUCCUCUGUAUUCUGAUAAAAUCUGAGCUAGAUAUUUCUGAAUCAUAAAUCUCAAAGUCUGUUGUCCAAAUAACUUUAGCAAAAUCAGCUAAGCAAUGUAUAGAAGGAAUCUUUAAAUUCAUAGGAAUAAAUCACACUGAAUAAAACUGAUUCAGAAAAUCAUUUAAAAAAAGAAAGGUCCACUCACUGCUGGUCCGAGCUAGCUGGACCUCUUGAAGGUCCCUCCUGUGGUUCAGUUUGGCCUCUGAUGCCUGUUUAACUAUGAAUAUUCAAUUACUAAACUGCUCAAUAAAAACAUUAAAUUAAAUACCCUGACCCCCGGCUCCUAGAAAUGCGUUCUCUCAUUGUAAAGUCAACUCUAUGCCCACUGUAGCAUUUCAGAUAAUUAGAAUGGCCUUAAAAGACCGGAAACCUUACCAAGCGAUAAACUGUUAGACCGGCCGAUCCGGAACCCCGUGGGGUCCACGAUCUCCGAUGGCCGAUCUGGGAUUCUCUAGAGGUUCCUCACUGUGUAAAACCCAUGUCCUGCGAGUUUGGUCCGAAAUGGACGGUCGGAUUGGCCAAAAUCGCGCUAUCGCUUAAAACCCUAACCCUAGCCCUAGGGUUCGCGAUUCCGGAGUAUCCGGGACUCCGAUUCGAAAUCCGUUGAAUCCUACACGAUCCUGAAACAAUGUAGGACAACAUAUCCGAAAUGGGGUGCGAUCCAACGGCUAGACGACACUGCACCCGGAAAUCGCAUAUUAUGGAAAAAUCCGUUCGGGGCUCAAACGGACUCCGAAUUGAGUUCCGCGAAAUCCUACGCGCUCGUGAUGGCACGAGGGUCUCAAAACUGGCCAGAGCCGUGCCACCACCCUGGCCCACGCGCCGCCACACGCGCGGACCGAUCGGGUGUCCAAAGCGAUCGGGUGUGCAGGAAAAAUCUUGGAACCGAGACUCCAAACUCCUACCCUAGGUAAAACACCCCAUUUGGAGUCACUUUUGUUCUUGGACAACCCCCAAAAAGUGGCCGGAAAGGGCCGAUUCCGGCGGCCGAAGUUCGGCCAAUUUCAAAUCGAAAAUUAAGCAACCUAAAGGUGAAAUCGAUCUAAACCCAGCCAACCAUCAGUUAGAGCACGAAAAAUAGCUAGAAAUCGAUACCUCACACGACUGAUUUGGUGUCCGGAUGAGGGAGAAACUGAGGUUGGAAAAUCGGCCAAAACUGCUGCGUUUUCCAGCAGUUUCCAGCGGCUCCAGCAGGGGCGGCGGACGGGCUGAGGUUGCUGGCGGGAGCUGGCCGGUGCUGCUGGGUCCGUUCCGGAGGGUCGGGGUGGCUUGGAAGGUGGCUGCCCUUCUGGUUUUUCUGAACUCUCGGGAGGGAGAGAGAGAGGGAGAGAGAGAGAGAGAGAGAGAGAGAGAAUGAGAGAGUGAGAGAAGAAAACAGAUUUAAAAAAAUGAUCUCCCAAAAUUUCCAUUUUGCCCUCGUGAGUAUUUUGACCGUAACUUCUUCAUUACAACUCCGGUUCGGGUCUACUCCAUGUCUACGAACUCGUUUCGCCGUGCUCUACGCAACGGCAUAAGCGGAAUUGCCAAAUUCUUUUCCGAUCAAAAAGUCAAAUUUUCCCCUUUUAAAAUAUGCGAGGGCAAAAUCGUCUUUUGGCUCUCAAAUUUUAGAUAUUUUGGCUUGGGUUCUUACAUCUGUUGCCCUUUCAAAGUGUUUUCGGGGCUUUAUUUUCGAAUUCAGACAAGGGGGAUAAUUCCAUCAGUCUGCCCUUUACGGCAGCCCAGCCCAUUUACAGCUGCCGGGAGAAAAAGCCCCCUACACUUGCUAUACAGAAGCCUCGCCAAAAAAAUCAAGUCAUCCGCAAAGAAUAGGUGCGAAAUUAAAUGACCAAACCGCAAUGCCCUAACAGCGUUCCACUCAUUCUUUAACACCCUAACAGCAAUGAUGUGACUAAGCUUUUCCAUACAUAAAACAAAAAGGUAAGGGGAAAGAGGGUUACCUUGUCUAACACCUCUUUGAGGUUUGAAACUCUCAGUAAGCUCCCCAUUCUAGAUAAUUUUGUAAGAGACAUUCUUGACACAGCUCAUAAUAAGUUGAAGAGAAGUUUCCCCAAUACCAAUUUCUGCAAGAGUUUGCUCAAUAAAAGACCAUUUCAAUCUGUCAUAAGCCUUAGAGAGGUCAAUUUUCCAAGCUAUAUAUUCGGUUUUACCUCUUGCUUUAUGGAAUCUAUGCAAAACCUCUUGAGCAAUGAAAAUAUUAUCUGAAAUUUGUCGUCCAUGAACAAAGCUAACCCGAUUGGGGCUAACAAGCUUACACAUAAGAGGUCUGAGCCUUCCAACAAUGAUCUUAGAAACAACUUUGUAUAAAGUGUUACAUAGACUAAUUGGACGAAACUGCAGCAUGCUCUGAGGAUUAGUGAUUUUAGGAACUAGAGUAACAAGAGUACUGUUCAGAAACUCUUGAACGGAACCAGUAGAAAAACACUUAAACACCAAAACUUCAAUAUCUUUCUUAGAAAGAGACCAACAAUUAUGGGGGAAAAAAAAAACCAGAAUAGCCAUCGGGACCAGGAGCCUUGUAGGGACCAAUAGCAAAGAGAGCAUCCUGCACCUCCUUUCAGUCACCUCUUUAUUGAUAGUAGCCAAAUCAGCCUCAGGAGUAUGAAGAAAAAGAGAAGGCAAAGGACUAUGAAUGAUAUCAACAGCAUCAUCCAAAAAAAGCCCAUGAAAAUACUCAACAGCAAGCGCUUUCAAACCUUCUUUACUAGAGAUCCAAUCCCCAUUAUUAUCUUUAAGCCUUUCAAUCCUAUUCCUUCUUCUUCUUCUGACAAGAGUAGUAAUGUGAAAGAACUUGGUAUUUCUAUCCCCACCCUGCAGCCAAGAAACUCUAGAUUUUUGUUUCCAAAACACAUUCUCUUGAUCCAAUAAAUCCUCAAACUCCUGUUGUAGAUGCUUCUCUAGAUUGCUAAAAAAAAUGGGAGAAACCCUUACAAAGAGGCCUUUGAAUACCUUGAAGCCUAGCAAGAAUUCUCUUUUUCUUUUGAAAAAUUUUACCAAAGAUUUGAGUAUUCGACUCCCGAAGCAGGGGAAUCAACAUGUCCAAUUUAUUAGAAACUGAACCUUCCAAAUUCUUCCACUUAACUUUAAUGAACUCAGGAAAUAAACAAUGUUUAAGUCACAUUGCCUCAAAUCUAAAAGGUUUAAGCUCAGCUGAAGGACUCUUAUCAGAAAUAAGACUAAUCAAAAGAGGACUAUGAUCAGAACAUCUUCUAGGCAGAUGCCUCACGAAAGCUUCAGGAAAUAAAACCCUCCACUCCUUUUUACAAAUAACCCUAUCCAAUCUCUUCAUCACAAAAUCAUCACCAACUUUCUUAUUAACCCAAGUAAACUUGGGUCCCAAAAAUCCCCAAUCAAUGAGCCCAUGCUGAUCAAACUAGUCCUUGAAACCUCUACUUUUACUAGAUAAUUUUCCAAAUUUUUCAUCCUCAAACAAGAUAUCAUUAAAAUCCCCACAGACAACCCAAGGAAAGAUUCCAGGAAGCAGCAAUAAUAGAUCAGUUUUGUCAGAGAUAAGAUCUCCUAGCUGGGCAAGGGUACCCAUACAUAGCAGUAAAUAUCAAAGAAAUACCUCAGAAGUCUCAACACAAACAGAAACAGCUUGAUCCAUGUAAUUAAUGACGCUCAAGUUGAAUUUAGCAUCAUCCCACAACAACUAAGUACCACCAUAGAAGCCUACAACAUCAGAAAUUUCAGCUUUAGGGAAGCCAAGUUGAGAAAUGACUUUCCGAGCUUUACUGGAGCUAAUUCUAGGCUCCAAAAUAACCAACAUAUCCAACUUAUGUCUAUACUUAAGAUCUUGCAUAGCAAGCAAGGAUCUCUUAUUACCUGCCCCUCUAAUAUUCCAACAACCAAUCAUUAUGAUGGAAGGCAAAGAGAAACGGUCAAAAAAGACCUAAUCAGAAUUGGCAGACAAAGGCCCCAUACACUUGAGACCUUGAGCCUUGCCAUCCUUUGCACAACAAGCAGACACACCAAUGAUUAAAGCUUCACAAACUUUAGAAUCUAACUGCACACUCUCAGAAUCCUUCAAAUCUUGAAUUUCCAUAUCCUGAUCAACAACUCUGUAAACCACAUAAAUAAUAUUUCGAGCUUGAGGCUUAGAAAUGGAAUAAUAAUCAUUUCUACGAGCAUUAACCUCCCCAAUUUCCAAACCACCAUUAUCAAAGCUAGUCACAGGCCUCCUAAGAUUACCCAAAGCUUGGUCCAACUCAGACAUAGAAGUUAUAGUGGAAUCAUGAGGCAAAUUCUUAGAACUAGGCCUCAAGACAAUAGCAAGCCUAGAAGAAGAUUUAUUUGAAAUAUCAGACAAAACUUUUCUCAGCCUACCGACCUUUUUCUUGCCCUUAUUAGGAGGAAUUAGAUCAUUCCAACCAUCAUCAUCUUUACUUUGAAUAGCCUUCCCAUUAAUUGACAGAAGAUUCUCCAAAGUCCCAAAAACAUGUUCUUGCUCACUAUCAAAACAAUCGUUCUCCAAGAUAUUAAAUCUAGAACCAAAUGCAUCAUAAAUCCCAGCCUCAGAAUUAAACUUUUGAACAACUUCCUUUUUAUCUUUCUGAGGCAAAGCAUUGCUGGAAUGAAAAACUUUCUCCUGUCUCUUGUGGACGACCUCAGGGCUAACACCCUUUCCUUUAUCUUCACUAGCAGUAGUCCCAUUUUUAAAAUUCUUCUUCCAAGCUUUUCUAGUCGAAACAACAUUCCAUAUACCAAAACCUGCCUUAUCCCCAGUAGGGUCAAUUGGGCCUUUUUGAUUAUCAUCAAGCCUCAUCUUACGUAACUUCUCCACUUGAUGAGAACGCAUCUCUUCUUGAAUAUCCCCAGUCAUAUCCAUAUCAGUCUCAUUGUUCUUAUGGAUAGGGUUAGCAAAAGGACAAUACUCUUUAUUGUGCCCAACUCUGCAGCAAUUAAAACAAAUCACAGGGAGAUUUUCGUAUUCCACUCUAACAGGCCUACCUUCAACAACUAGGUUAGGGAUGAGAGGCUUAUUCAAAUCAAUUUCAACACAGACCCUUGCAAACUUACCUAUCAUUUGACCUACAGUAUGAACAUCCACCUUAUAUGAUGAGCCAAUCAAAUCCCCAAUACACUUAAUAGUCUCAGAAUUGAAAAAUUCAACUCCCAUACCAGAUAAUCUCACCCAAACAGUAAUGCGGGAGACAUGCUCCUCAGCUGCACAAAAAUUAGGUCUCCAUUUUUGGACAGCAACAUACUGUCAUGCACUACCCAAGGACCCCCAGUUAACAUAUACAACAAGUCCUCCUCAAGAACAAAACAAACAAUGAAGAACCCAUUGUUUAAAUCAACCAAUUGCAUUGGUCCCUUAAGUCUCCAACGCUGCUUCAACCGUGCAAGGACAAAAUUAUAGGUAUGAGUCUUCCCUACAAACUGGAUAAUCACAGAAUUUUUCCACGGUCUAUAGAUCUUAUUUUUAAGAUGUUCAGAAAAACGAAUCGAAGGACCACAAGGAGAAUCCUUAACUUCAUAAUCACCAGAUUCAAUAAAGAACCCAUCCUUCUCCAUUCCUUCGGUAUAUUCAAAACAAGAAGAGCUUAGUAACUUAUCUUUGAAAUUGACCUCUGGCAUGGGAGGGAUUUGAUCGGACUAAUCCAUGCCACCAUCAUCGCUUCCAGGAGGCGCAAAAUCCUCUGAACGGAAUUGUUUGGAUGAACCAUCCUUCAUGACAACAGGACUCUCCGUAGGCCGGUGAGCCGAAAACUUGAAACCAGGAGACGCAGAUGCCUUCGAGCCGAUUGGAUCUGAAAGAGUUGGGCAAGAGAACGCAGAAGGAAAGGGAGCCUGUGGAGCGCGUUCGAACACACUCAUAGUGACGACCUCAUUUUAUCUUUUCGGCACCUUUCCUUUUCCUUAUAAAAGUUUAUUUUCAAAACGAACCCAACACUUUCUUCUUUCUGCAACCUUUCUUCGCUGUAAAAAAUAUAAAUAUGAGAAGCAAGAAGAGAGGAGGCUGAAUUCAAGGGAUCUUCUGCUAAGGCAAUGGAUGAUUUUCUUGAAACCAUUCUAUCAACAAGACAAGAACAUAAAUCUAUUAUUGGUUAGGCCAUCUCCAAUCCAUGAGGCUAAACCCAAAAUAUCCCAAAGUAUAGCCUAAAAUGUCUCCCAACCUAAGAAAAUGAAAGGGCCAAAAUUUGGAAAAAGUCAAACUUGGGCCCAAAUAGCAGUACAAGUAUUGCCUGGACCUAAAACUAUUCGGUGGAGCCCACCUGCAUCUGAAGCAGCCACCAUGUGCAAAGAGUCUGAUGUGGGCCCCAACUCAUGCUGUGCUGCUGAUGGUUGGGUUCGUUGUGAUCAAUUUUGAAGUUUUGAAGCUUAAUUUAGGAUCUAAGUUUUGACCCGUUUUUGGCUUGAUUUUCUGGCAAGCUCCGGCCAUUUUUUGGCCAUGGCCCAAGACCAAAAGUUGCUCCCUUAAUUGUCACAAACAUGUAGGUAUAGGUAUUGUCAGGUGUUUCGAGAAUUUUUCGGUCGCUGAAAUUUUCUCAAGACACCCACACACAAUCGGCUCAUGGGCCAUGGUGUGGUGGCCCAUUUCGCUUUUAAAACGUUCCCCAUGUCAUCCUAAGCACGAGGUAUGCUCGGAUUCGAAUUUGGUUAUCGUUUGACAGUCGAACGGAUUUACGCAUAUUAGGCGAUAUCUGGGUUCGACAUGUUUGAACUGUUGGAUCAGCUUCAUUUCCAAAUAUGUUAUUCUCUGUACCUCUAGGAUCGUGUAGGAACUCACAGAUUGAGAAUCGGAGUUCCAGAUAUGCCGAAUCAAUGAUUCAAAAAUUAUGUUAAACGUUGACCAUUUGAUCGUGUGAUCGAGAGCGAUCUGAUCGCUCGAUUGAGACCAAACUUGCAGAAUGGGUUUUGCAGGCUUUGUUGAACUCAUAAGAACUUUUAGAUCGGAAAUCGGAGGUCGUGGGCCCCGCAAGCACAGUUGACCAAGUUUAGGAAGUUUGACCAAUCAGUUGAUAGAGAGUCUUCCAAGGUUAUUUCACCUUUCGAAACACGUAGUUGGACCUUAGAAACUCUCUGUUCAUCGUACGCACACUUGAGUCCCGAGAAAACUAGGAGUUUAUUCUUAAAGUUCUCAUUCGUAGUAUUUUAUUUAAUCUAGUCCUCAUAUUCUUUAAUUGGUACUCUGGCUUAGCGUACCCAGCAAGCAAGACCUUCUUAGGGUCACGCAGCGUCGGACUUUCUGUGAGUGGACUUUUUUUGAAGAAGCAUUAUUUUCAAUGAUUAAAUUACCAUGCAUUUAAAAUGGAUUAUGUUGACUAUCGAGUUUAUAUAUAUAUCGUUUAAUUAUGGAAUUUGCGGUUGUUGAUGCUCAAAAUGGCCCGGCCAAUAUUGAGUCCAACUUAGUGAUUAGGUAUGCGGGGUCUUUAGGAGGGAAGAGAGCUGAGGCCCUUGGUAAAAUAUAGGUUGAUGGGAAACCUGCAGAAGACAAAGUGGGAGAAGCAGUCGUUAAGCUUCGGACACCAGUGUGGUGCCGGCCGAAGGCUCUCCGAUGCCUAAGUCAGUUACAAGUAGUAAUUCUGGCACAGUAACAGUAAAAGUGGGAGAAUAGUUCUUGCUUUUACCUGGGUACUGUUCCCUAUUUAUAGGGAGGUGAAAGUAGGAGGUUUGCACAAAGUUUCGAUGUGGGACUUUGUGCAAGUCGUCGUGGUGGCGACACGUGUCCUGGAGAUUAGGUUUGGCAGCUGGGGGCUUCGGUAGGUGUCUGGCACCUCGGAAGUGUGUCUUCCUUCGGCACAGGAGAAGGCGUGGCUGCCUUGGUGCUAGUCACUUUGGUGCUGGGUAUGCUCGGUUCAUUAUGGUGUAAACAGUAGUCCCCCAAGUUCGCGGUCGAGAAGUAACUUCUGGGUUGGGAACUUGUGAGUUUUUGUAAUUGUAACCGAGCAUUCCAGCUUCGUUGGGAGUCGUAGGGCACUCCCUAGUCCCCCAAGUUGGCAAGCUAGGAGUUGCGUGAACAUAUGGUAGCUGGGUACCUGGGUACUUGGGCAUGUUGCAGAUGAGAUGUGAGCUGGGUCCGUAGGGGAGCCAGGCCUUCAAAGGAGCCGGGUCGAGUGAAAUUUUUGGACUCCCCACAAUUUGUCCAUGGCCCUUGCCGUUCGGCAAGGGUCUAGCCAAAUAUUUCCCUCGUUUUUUUUUUUUGGUGUGCUCGGGAGCUAGGCCAUCGAGGGAGCCGGGCCAUUUGAAAAUUUUCGACUCUCCAAAAUGUCUCCAUGGCCCUUGCCGUUCUGCAAGGGUCUAGCUUUUUUUUUUUUUUUUUUUUUUUUUUUUUUGUUUGAAUGGCCGGGAGCUAGGCCUUUUUGGGAGCCGGGUCGUUUUUGAAAAUUUUGCUCUCCAAAAUUUCGACAUGGCCCUUGCCGUUCGGCAAAGGUCUAGCUAUUUUUUGGUUGCUCGGGAGCUAGGCCUUUUU